AGGGUAUAAUUAAUCAAACUGAUUUGGACAAUACCACACGAUUUUUUUUUUAUUGACAAACCAACAUAAACAAUAUAUUAACGUAAAUAACGCAUUCACAUAUAAUUGUUUUAUUUAAUUAUUAAGAAAGACGAAGUACAUGGACGGUGGACACUAAGAAAUAUAAUCUCUUGUAUAUCAAGAGAUUUUAGAGGUUGAAAUGAACUAAACUGACCCUCACACAAUUAAUUGACAGGUAAUAACAGUACCCAUCCUUUUAUUAACCAUAAUGGAAAAGAGUAAUACUGCGUGCGUGCGUGAGCUUAUUAACCAGUGUGGUCGGGAUUUCUUCCAUAUUGAGGGACAGCAAUAAGAUCAAGAUUGUCAACUGUCCCGUCCUUAUCAUCAGCAAUACCAUAUACAGGUACUGGAGUACCCUCCAACCAUUCAUUCUUACCUGAAAGUUUAACAUUAGAAAAUGGAUUCAUAAAUGCUUAUAUUAAUAUAUGAAUUGUAAAUGAUAUCCAUUCAGCUGAAAUUGGCUAAAAAACCUGCGCAAGGAAAAGGAGUUUCCAUAUUCUUCAAAUCAGAAAAGAUCUCCAGGUGAAGCGUAAUCAAAACUCAAAAAUAAGUAGAGCUUGAGCGUGUUCUUAGUUCUGGUUUGAUCUGAUAUAUAUAGAUUCAAGAAGCCGAUGUUGCCGAGGUGUGGGUGAUUGUGACGUAGCAAAACAUAUAAUAGUUAUUUAAGAUUAACGGCCAUGGCUAAACUGCACGUCGAAACGUGUUAGCAUGGGUCCAUAAAAUAAAUAAUUUUAUCUAAUUAGGAGAGAAAUCGAUUCAGUAACAAGCUGCUGCUUGCACUUCCUAGAAAUUUUAAAUUUAUGAAUUGAAAUUACUCACGCCUUUUCUUGUGUAGUUAAUUAUGCAUACAGUUCAAGCUGAGGGAUACUGAUGUGAAGUGUAGGGACAUGGAUAUAUACUAUCGUUUACAUUAUUUUACAGCCUUGAUGUAUUAUUUUAUUUGGCAAUCAUAUAGUCACUGUCUGCACUACACUUUGUCUUCCCUACACUUGUCUCCACUUGAGUAUUCUUGAGUGGUAGCUGAGUCACAAGUCACCUUCUCAUGUCUGCUGGGCUUGCCUGUCGUGCUUGAUUUACUUUGUUCUAACACCCCGGCUCAAUCUCAGUUUUCUUAGCAUACUCUCAGGUCAUGUUUGGUUUGUAAAAAAUGGAGAAGAGGAAAAGUGUGGAAUGGAGAGGAAGAGAAAAGAAAGGAAUGGAGAAAAGUAGUAGUGAAAUCACAUUUUGUUGAUUGGUUUGAUAUAAAAUUUAAUAAGGAAAUGAAUUAUAAUUUUUUUCUUUAGACUAAUUUACAAUUUACCUCAAAUAUUUAAUUAUUUAUACUAGUAAUAAAAUAUAUAUAUAUAAAAAUAAAAUGACGGUCCGGUGGCCGGCGGUGAAGGUCCGGUUACUUUUCGGCGAACGUCUGGCAUCUUUUCGGCGAAUGUCCGGCAUGAUUCCGGCGAAGUUCGGUGGGAUUCCAGCGAAGUCCGGCAGCUUUCCGGCAACAUCAGGCGACUUUCUGGCGGUGAUCCAUUUAUGAUAUUAAAUCAAUAAAAUAAAAUUAUAAAUACUAAUUAUUAAUGAUAUUAAACAAAUUAAAAAGUUGAAAGGUAAUUUUAGAAACUUUAGUUUCUAACUUAAGAGGAAUUUAAAUUUUCACUACUUGGUGUGGAAUUCAAAUUCUACAUUAUGAUGGAUAUUAAAUUUUAAUGGAAAUUAAAUUCUUAUAUAUUUUGUCAAACCAAACAAUGGAAAUGAAAAGAGAAUUUAAAUUACUUUCCUCUUCUCCAUUCUCUCCUCCCAACCAAACACCACCUUAAUUUAUUUGUAUGGAAUUCAAAUAGCUCAUGUCCCAAUGCCUUUGUCAUAAUGUCCGCCACUUGCCUUUUACUCAGCACAUAUUUAAGAAUUAUUUCUCUUUUCCCGAUUUUUCAGUGUAAAUAAAUUAAGCCAAUAUCUUGAGAAUCCAAGCGAUACAUACAGUAGAAUUUGAAAUGGUGCAAGACCUAAUCAAGUUUGAUAUUUACUAAGUUACAGAGGCCAUUGAUGACAUACAUAGGAAAUUAUCUGUAAUUGUUGCUUGACUCCCACGUAUGUGUGUACAUAUAGUUCUUUUCAAGUGAGGGCAUCCUCAUUUUGUUAAAGUGAGGAUGCCCUCACUAGAAAAUUCCAGUAGUGAUAUCGCUGUUGGAUUUUUUAAUCUAGUAUUGUUGGAUCCUUAAUCCAAUACUGGGUUUAUAUGUGAAAAUUUUAUAUAUUGCAGACUGUCAUAUAAGAUUAAGUACAAUUAAAAGUGAACUAUUUAGGUUUUCGGUGCUAUGGACUUUAAUGUGUCUAAUAGGGUGUGAGCUUUAAUGUGUAGAGAUUCAAUGAUAUUUUAAUUUUAUGAUGGACAUAAUUAGAAAUAUCCAGUGACAAUAAGAAAAUGUUGUCUAUAUAAGUGGUUAUGGUUCCCAAAUCACAAGUAUGUUUCUAUUCUAUAUUGACAUCUCAUCAUCAGAGAGAGAGAGCGCAGAGAGAAUUAAAGGACUUUCUAUUCUCUUUUUAAGUGAGGAUACGCUCACUAGAAAAUUACAAUAGUGAUAUCGCUAAAAAACCUAUUUUAGAGUUUGAUUAUUUGAACAAGUAAUUUUAAUUCUGCUUGGCUAGAAUGAGAGUAGUAUGUUAUUAGUCUUUCUAUUUAUAUUUAGGUAGAAUUCUAUUUCUAUGUUUGAGUGUACAUUGCCUGGUAGAUUUACUCAAUUACAAAUCACGUGGUUACAUAAUAUGUUUGAAAACCUCUAAUUAACAAAAUUCUUAUUUUAUUUUCUUUCGUAAUAUGAUUUACCUAAGUCUCUCUUAUAAAAUCAUUUGCAUUAAAGCAUCAAUUAAUCUCAUUACUAUGAUGUAUUAUUUGUCUUGGACUUCUUAUUUUGGUCUAUCACUAUAUUACUUACCUUGGGCUGUCUCACUAUUUUCGCAUAAUAUUAUCUGCCUUGAGUCAUUCAUUUUUGUAUAGAGUGGUUAUAUUAUCUCAUCAGUUUUUAUAUUAAUUUCUAUUUUGCCGCUGUAUGAAAUUACUUGUUUUGGUGAAUUACUAUAUUAUUUCCCUUGGGCCGCCUCACCAUUUUGUUGCAUAAUCUGCCCUGGGUCAUUCAUUUUUGUAUAGAGUGGAGAUAUGAUCUCAUCAGCUUUUAUAUUAAUUUAUGUUUUGCCAUUGUAUGAAAUUAUGAAAAAUGGAUAUUGAAGAGUUUCUUGCCACAAAUUGAACCUGCAUCUCUGGUAAGCAUUACUCAUGCACUUUCGCGGAAAAGGCAGUAAGUGAAUGACCUAAACUCAUGGUUCAUUUCAUAUUAUGGAGUUUCUUAAUUUCUUCAGGAUUAUUUCGCCUGGAAUUCUCCAAAAAUCCACUGCUGAUAGGGUUGGUGCUUGCCACAUUGCCUUUGCGGCUGGUAGUGGCUUGUAUGCUUGUUGGAUUAGUCAGAAAAUUCAAUUGGCAUUGGUCACAAAUUUUUUUAUUCAAAUUUUUAUUCGAGCUGAGGGAUACAUAUAGUAGUAGACUUCAUAUACUAUGGGUGCGUUUUUGGGAUUGAGGUUGGGUAGCUGUGACUUUUAAGUUAGAGCACUAAAGUGUUUGGUAAACACUAGCUGUUGUACCUUUUAAGCUAUAUUAAUAUGAUUUUUUAUUUGUAUAAUGAAAAAUUUAUUAUAUCUUUAAUUAUUAUUUAAAAUUUAUAUUUACUAUAUAUUAUUAACUUUUGUUUGAUAGUUACUAUUUUUUUUUUAUAACAAUUGUAGUUUUUAAGUUACAGCACCUCAAUUCCAAACAAGACCUAUAUUGUCUUUCUCAUAUAUAUAAAAUAUAGUAAGAGAUAUAUAUUGCUUUCAUAUAAUUCUCAAUAUCAUAGGCGGUUAACCUGGACUCUUGGCCUAAAGACAAUAUGAGCAUGAAACCAUUUCGCGUGGGUGAUCAGUUAAGCCACCAAUGGGCUAUAAACAGAGCUUCAUUCAAGAGAGUUAAAGGUAUCCCAAGUUCUGAAAAUUGAGAGCAAGUACAAGUGAGCUUUUGCAGAGAAUUUUGAGAGUGUUUUCUUAACUAUUCUAGCGGGUAUUAUAUUGGGUGUAUUUAGGUUAUCGAGUUUUGAGAAUUAUUCCCGUUCAAAGCCCAACCCCAAUUUCAUGAACCUAAAUAAUAAACCAAACAAAAGAGAAUAUUCUCUCAAUUUAUCUAGAAUUAUCUUGGGUAAUAAUAUCCUGAAUAAUUGGCGCUGUGGCAGUUUUAAAAAUUUGGUGAUUGUUAAGAAAUUAAUGACAAUAAGUUUAGGAUGUCGUUACUUGUUAGGACCUGCAUUUAAAAUCUUAAAUAUUCGUAAUUAAUUAUAAAGAUCUUGGUUCACAUGCAAGCUACAACAAUUAGCCAACAAAUAUAUGGUAUUUUUGACAAAACUGUGCAAAAAGAAAGAGAAUAUAAUCAAUGAAACUGAUUUGGACAAUACCACACGAUUUUAUUUUUAUUGACAAACCAACCUAAAUAAUAUAUUAACGUAAAUAACGCAUCCACAUAUAAUUGUUUUAUUUAAUUAUUAAGAAAGAUGAAGUACAUGGACAUUGGACACUAAAAAAUAUAAUCUCUUAUAUAUCAAGAGAUUUUAGAGAUUAAACUGAACCAAACUAGCACUCGCAUGAUUAGUUGACAGAUAAUAACAAUACCCAUCCUUUUAUUAACUAUAAUAUAAAAAAGUAAUAUUGUGGGUAUGUAUGUAUUUAUUAACCAGUGUGGUCGGGAUUUCUUCUAUAUUGAGAGACAACAAUAAGAUUAAGAUUGUCAAAUGUCACUUCCAUAUCAUCAGCAAUACCAUAUACAGGUACUGGAGUACUCUAUGACCGUUCACUCUUACAUGAAAGUUUAAUAUUAGAAAAUGAAUUCAUAAAUGCAUAUAUUAAAAUAUGAAUUGUAAAUGAUAUCUAUUCAGCUGAAAUUGGCUUGAAACCUGCGCAAGGAGGAGUUUCUAUGUUCUUAUUUCUGCUUUGAUCUGAUACAUAUAGAUUCAAGAAGCCGACGUUGCCAACGUGUGGGCGAUUGUGACCUAGCAAAACAUCUAAUAGUUAGUUAAAUUCCACCUGCGACACGUGGGAGCAUGGGUCCACAAAACAAAUAAUUGGAACUAAUUAGAACAGAAAUCGAUUCGGUAACCCGCCGCCGCAUGCACUUUCUAAAAGUUUUAAAUUUAUGAAUUGAAACUACUGACGCCUUUUUAUGUUUGGUUAAUUAUUCAUAUAGUUCGAGCUGAGGGAUACAUACAGUAGUAGACGCCGUGUACCAUGUUCUCUUUCUCAUAUAUAUAAAUAUAGUAAGAGAUAUAUAUGGCUUUUAUUUAAUUCUCAAUAUCAUAGGCGGUAAACACGGACACUUGGCUUAAAGACAAUAUGAACAUGAAACCAUUUCACGUGGGUGCUCAAUUAUAUAACUUUCAUCCUUCUUAUGGAAGUCAGAAGAGGUGUGUACCUACCACAUCAACCGUGUCAAGCGAAGAUAUUGGACAUUUAAUAAUGAAAAAAUUAGGAAUUUUCAUGGACACACCAGUAGGUUCCGUAAAUAUAUAGAAUCAAUUGAUUCUAGGUACCUUACAAUGUGACUUAUUAUUUUUUUUUUUUUGUCCCUAAAGAUCCGGACUAUUUUUGAGGAUACUGGCCGUUGAGGCUUUGUUUAUAAUUGUGCAAGAAAAUGGAAAAGAAUGGGCUAAAGCGCAAAAAGUAAAGCUAACAGUUGUUUAAUUUAUUUUUUUAAGAUUGUUUUGAUGUGGAAUUUGAUUUGGGAACUUUUUUGUAAUUACAAGAAACAGCCACACAGGGUGACAAUUAUGGCAUUCUUUCGUCAAUUGGAUAUUAAUAGUACAAUGAGGAUGGCUAAAUGCAUAAUCACCCUAUUAAUCUUGCAGUCCAAAGCAAAAGCAAUAGCAUUACAAACAGUAGAACUCUCAGAUUGAUUCACUGUAUCUAAACGAUAGGUCAUCUGAUUACUAAACUAUCUGACGUAACUGAUUCAGAAAUUUAAUUUAGAGAGGAUUUGGUACAAAUAAAAUGAUUCACGAGGCGCGUUCGAUGGUGCAAGUGAUCGGCGGCAACAACAAGCAAGUAAGGUAAUGAUGAUGUAUAUGUUGGAAAUAUGACUUAAUAUUGUUUAUUAAAAGUUCAAAACAUGAAUAAUAGUUGUUGGUACUGUUCACUUAGCAACAAUUGUAAAUUUGUCAAGGCGUGUUCGAACUGUCCUUAAAACAAAUUUAAGCUCUUCUAGAAAGAUUUCUCGAUGCAAAAAGGAUAUAAAUAAAAUGGAUUGAGCUCCAUGAUACAAUGAUAUUGUUGCCAGGUUGCACUCCAAGUACAAUAGUUUAGAAAAGAAAAAUUAAUGAAGAAACUAUGAGAUAGAAGGAGAGGAUAUAGUGGCUGUGCCUUGAAGACUUUGUAUUUUAAAAUACCAAUAAAACUCGAAGAAUAAACUUAAAUAAUUUUGAUCAAGAUUGCACUUUAAGAUGAAACACUAAUUAGAGGCCUUUAUGUAUAACUUAAUAAUUUGAUAAAUAACUUCGCACUAGCAAAGCCAAGAGUUUCAUUUAAACCCCUAAGAUUCAAAUAUUCUUUCACCCUUUACUACUGGCAAAAUUUGGCAAUCGAUAUUUCGGAAGACAUCACACAUGUAAAAAAAAAAAAGGAAAAAAAAAUAGCUAGUCCCAUCAAAAUCACCAAAUGCAAUCCAAUAACAUGCUCCACUUAAGUAUAGACUUUCAUGAGAAUCGACAGAAAAAAUAAAUAAUAAUAAGUUCAUUUAGUUAAGCAAAUAACAGUUUGUGAUUGUUCUUUAACCUUAUUAAUAAUCUAAUUCUUAGUUUCUUACUAUUGUUCUUUUACUUGAUUAUGUUAUCCCCUAAAUCUUCAUAACAUCCAGAUUAAAUUAUUGAGAAAUACGAAAGCGGAAGCGUACCUGAAUCCAUGGUGAUUCGUAGUGGUUCUUGAGUGUAGGAGAUGGACUUCCAAUCUUCUCUUUCUCUUGAGUUUAGAAUUCUCUUUGAGAGGAUUAGAGAAUUGCAAAGGAUUAGAGAGAUUGGGGACCAUAACCCCUUUUAUAUAAAUACCGUGACUAUUGGUUUUCUUUUAGAAAACCCAACAGUCACGUUAUUUAUGAUAAUAAUUAUCACUUCAGCCCCUCAUUAAAGUGAUGAUUAAAUUCUGGUAUCUAUGCAUUUAAUCCACAACAAUUAUACCCUUAGCCAUUUAAUUAACUUCAAAUAGAUCACUUAAUUCUUGGCUUAUUAAAUAAUAGCACACACAUUUUAUUUAUUUCAUGUGUGGCCCCAAAUAUAUUAGAUUAAUAUAAAAUUGAUCUAACAAUCUCCCACUGGGCCAUAAAUGAAAACUGAAAUGUGUUUAACUUAAUGAGCUCAUAAAAUUGCUAUUAUGUCCUUAGAGUAUAUCUGAACAAUCUAGUUCAAUAACCACAUCGGUAUAUGAUCAUAUCGGCCUUUGUUACAUUAAUCGUAACUCAACCAUCCAUGGUCACAUAUAUCAAUAUAGUUACAUGACAUAGAUCAAUUGUGGAUGCAUAGCAUGGAAAUUACAUGCAAUGUGAUCUAAACAUGUCUAUUCCCAACUGGUCCUAAUUUACUUUAUUGAGAUCUAAACUUAAGUUAGUCUAACAGAGUGUAAGGAACUGAAAUACUUUAUUUCUGCAGAAAAUAAUCCGAAUAAUAUAAUCAAAAUAUAAAAGUCACACUUAGUAAUUAUACAAACUCCCACUAAAUCUGAAUAUCCUCAAGUAAAAUCACACCCAUACGAGCAGUGUGCUCAUGAAAGACUUUAGGUGGUAAUCCUUUAGUGAGCGGAUCCGCUAUCAUGGAGUUUGUCUCAAUGUGCUCUAUAGAUAUUUGUCCACUCUGCACUCUUUCCUUCACAACAAGGAACUUGAUGUCAAUGUGUUUUGACUUUGUAGAGCUCCUGUUGUUGUUGGAAUAUAAAACUGCUGACUUAUUGUCACAAAAUAUCUUGAGCGGUCUUUCUACACCCUCUAGAAUGCGCAGCCUAGUGACAAAAUUACGCAGCCAUAUUCCUUGAUUGGAUGCCUCAUAACAUGCUACAAACUUUGCUGCCAUAGUCGAUGAAGCUACAAGUGUCUGCUUGGCAGAUCUCCAAGAAAUUGCUCCACCAGCCAACAUGUAAAUAUAGCCUGAUGUGGAUCUUCUGCUAUCUUGGCAUCUAGCAAAAUCAGAGUCAGAAUACCCAAUGAUCUCUAACUGAUCUGACCUCCUAUAUGUGAGCAUGUACUCCUUUGUUUUCUGUAAGUACCUCAUAACCCGUUUGGUUGCUUUCCAAUGAUCCAUCCCGGGAUUGCUCAAAUAUCUGCCCAACAUGCCAACUAUGCACGCAAUAUCUGGACGCGUACGUACUUAAGCAUAUAUAAGACUCCCUAUAGCUGAAGAAUAAGGAUUCUUCUCCAUUUCCUGGAUUUUAAGAUUGGUCUUAGGGCAUUGACUAAGGCUGAAUUUAUCUCCUUUGGCGACAGGGGUGUUACCUGGUUUACUGUUUUGCAUGCCAAACCUCUUCAAAACUUUAUCGAUAUAGUUCCUUUGUGACAAUCCCAGAAUACCCCGAGAACGAUCCUAAUGUAUCUCGAUUCCUAAAACAAAGGAGGCAUCACCAAGAUCUUUCAUCUCAAAAUGUUUUGAUAGAAAACUCUUGGUGUCGUGCAGUAUGCCUAUAUCAUUUGUGGCAAGCAAUAUGUCAUCAACAUAUAAAACCAGGAAUAUAUGUUUACUCCCACUAAACUUGUGAUACACACAUUCAUCAAUAACAUUUGCCUCAAAACCAUAUGAGAUAAUUAUUUGAUGAAACUUAAAGUACCAUUGACGAGAAGCUUGUUUGAGCCCAUAGAUGGAUUUGGUUAGCUUACAAACCAUUUUCUUUGGGUCUCCCAACACAGUUUUUUGGUUGUACCAUAUAAAUUGUUUCCUCAAUGUCACCAUUAAAGAAAGCAGUCUUAACAUCCAUCUGAUGUAACUCAAGAUCAAAAUGUGCAACAAGUGCCAUAAUUGUCCUAAAAGAGUCUUUCGUAGAAACCGGAGAGAAAGUCUCUUUAUAGUCAAUUCCUUCCUUUUGAGUAAAGCCUUUAGCUACAAGACGUGCUUUAUACCUUUCCACAUUACCAUUUGAAUCCCUUUUGGUUUUAAAUAUCCAUUUACAACCAAUGGGCUUCGCACCGGAAGGUAAUGAGAUGAGUUCCCAAACUUUAUUGUCUUGCAUUGACUUGUACUCUUCAUUCAUGGCUUCGAUCCAUUUAUGAGAAUUGGAGCUUUGCAUGGCUUGAUGAAAGUUAAUUGGGUCAUCUUCCAUCACUCCAGUUUCAUCCUCAUGUUCCUGAAGAAAUACUAUAUAAUCAUCCGGAAUAGCAUUUCUCCUUUCUCUUGUGGAUCGUCUUAAUUGCGCAGGCUCUUGAGGUUGUUGAGUUUGUUCCUUAGGAACAAUCAUCUCAUGUUGAUUCUGGGGUUGAACAACAUUGUCAGAUGGUUGAGGAUCUGAAUUUACUUCAUGAUCAAUGACAAGUAUUAAAACUUGUACAUUGUCAAAAGCAACAGUGGAUCCCUCUUCCUCUUCAAAGACAAUGUUUCUUACUGGAUUUCUCCCCCCAAACUCAACAUCCUCAAAGAAUGUAGCAGUUCCCGUCUCAAAAAUUGACCUUGUACUGGGAUCAUAAAACUUAAAACCCCUUGAUCGCUCUGCAUAGCCAAAAAAGUAGCUGCUUACAGUUUUGGAAUCCAAUUUCCUUUCAUGAGGUCUAUAAGGUCUCGCUUCAGCUGGACAUCCCUAACUAUGUAAAUGGUUGAGACUAGGCUUUCGACCCGUCCAAUGCUCAUAAGGUAUUUUAGCAGCCGCUUGAGUUGGCAUUCGAUUUAGGAUAUAAGCUGCUGUUUUUAGUGCUUCACCCCAGAGUGAUUCUGGUAAAGUAGAAUGACUGAUCGUACUCCUUACCAUAUCCUUAAGAGUGCGGUUUCGUCUCUCAGAUACACCAUUCAUGCUAGGCGAUCCUGGCAUAGUAUAUUGAGGGACAAUUCCACAUUCCUCUAGGUAUUUAGCAAACGGUCCUGGACGUUGUUCUCCUGAACCAUUAUAUCUACCGUAGUAUUCACCACCACGGUCAGACCUGACAUUUUUAAUCCUUUUGUUGAGUUGUAACUCAACUUCGGCUUUAAACGUUUUGAACACAUCCAAAGACUGUGAUUUUUCAUGAAUCAGGAAUAUAUAGCCAUAUCUUGAAUAGUCGUCUAUGAAUGUAAUGAAAUAUUGUUGACCAUUCCAAGUAGCUGUAUGGAAUGGUCCACAAAUAUCUAUAUGAAUUAAUUCUAAGACGGCUGAUGUUCUGUAGGCUCCUAAUUUCUUACUUUUGGUUUGUUUUCCCUUGAUACACUCAAUACAAACAUCAAGGUCUGUAAAAUCAAGAGAUCUUAAAAUCUCAUCAGACACUAAUCGCUCAAGUCUAGCUUUAGAGAUAUGACCUAAACGUUUGUGCCAUAAUGAGGCCGAAUUUUCUUUCUCUAAUUUACGUUUUAUACCUCUGGAACUAAAAUGCAGGUUUUCAUUAUAACUUGAAACAGUGUGUAGCAAAUAUAGAUUGUCAUAAGCAUUAAGCAAACCGGUUCCAAUAACAUUAGAAUUGAUAGAUAAACUAAAUUGUCUGUUUACAAAUGAACAAGAAUAACCAGAUUUGUCCAAAACAGAAACUGAAAUCAAAUUUCAUCUAAAAGACGGAACAACAAAAGUAUCUAACAAAUCCAAAUAACAACCAGUUUUCAUAAGUAAUCUAAAAUGCCCAAUUGCUUCAACUUCUACCGUCUUACCAUCUCCUACAUAAAUGCAUCUUUCAGCAUCACUUGGCGGCCGGUAGCUCAGGCAACCCUGCAGUGAAACACAAAUGUGAGUAGUAGCACCCGAAUUUAUCCACCAUGUGUUUCUUGGUACUGAAGCGAAAUUAGUUUCAGAACAAACCAAAGUAAGAAAUGUACCUCUCUUUACGCGCCAUGCGUGAUAUUUUUGACAUUCCUUCUUCACAUGUCCAGGCUUGCCGCAGAAGAAACAACCAUGCUCGGCCUUUGGUUUCUUUGGCUCUGGACCCUUACAAGCAGCAGCUUCACCCUUUUUCUUUCUUUUGCCCUUAUCUUUAAAAGUGCUUACGAUAUGUGCAUAUUCGGAUUUCUCUUGCUUCAGUCUCUCUUCUUCUUGCACACAAAAGGAAAUCAGUUCAUUAAGAUUCCACUUCUCUUUCUGACAGUUGUAACUAACUUUGAACUGAUUAAAUUGUGUUGGGAGAGAGAUAAGGACCAAAUGCACAACCAAAUCAUCAGAUAGGUCGAGCCCUAAUGCCUUAAGCUUAGAAGCAAGAUGAGACAUCUCCAUGAUGUACUCUCGAACGUUUCCCUUGCCUUUAUACUUCAUUGAAAUCAAGCUUGCUAAAUGCAUACUUGUUUCAGCCUUAUCGUUUUUUGUAAAACGUUUAUGAAUUUCGGUAAGAAACUCACUAGCACUUGUAACCUCAUCAGUUAUAGCACUCCUAAAUACUUCUGGAACACCGCGCUUCAUGAUCAUAAGACUCAUCAUGUUAGAUCGAUCCCACUUCUCAUAGUACAACACAUCCUCAGAUGUACUAUCAUCAGUGAGUUCGUCUGGCUUAGGGUGUCUGAAUGAUAAGUCUAGAUCCAUGCAGCCUAAGAGAAUCAUCAUAUUCUCUUUCCAGUCAAUAAAAUUAGUCCCAUUUAGAACCGGGACACUAUUCAUAUUUGCAGAUAUAGAAGUCGCAGAUAGAAAAGCUAAAUAGAGAACAAAAAAAUAAAAUAUAAAUAAUGCUCACAUUAAACAACUCAAUUAAUAAUCUUUAAAAAUUUAAAAACAAAUUAUAACAUUUCAAGAUACCUAGCACAACAUUAGUAACAAGUCUUUGGACUAUAAUACUAACUGUAAAUGGUACUCUUGUUGCAAUGAUCAAAUUUUGACAAUAAAUUAUGUCAAGUAAUGAACCAAUCUUUGGAUUAGUACAUUACUCACAUUAAGUUAUCUUAAUAAUCGUCACAAAUUUACCAUCACAAGUGUGUGUGCAAUUAGGCCAAAUAUUAACCUUCCUUUGGGUCGAUUAACAUCCGCAGGAAUUACACAAACACAAACAUCUAACACCCCAAAUAAACUAAUCUACACAGGAGAUAUCACUUUGGUGACUUCCUGCUUUAAUUAGCAUAUCAUCAGUGUUAGACCAAUAAUCAUUUUAAUUUAAAGAUUAUAAAACCAUAACCGAAAUAAUUAAUAAAACCGAAACCGAAACGUGGUCUAACCAUAACAAUUACAAAAUUCCAAGCAAAAUGAUAUUAAUAACUCAAUAAUCUAAUCAUGGAUGGGGCUCUGAUACCACUUGUUAUCCCCUAAAUCUUCAUAACAUCCAGAUUAAAUUACUGAGAAAUACGAAAGCGGAAGCGUACCUGAAUCCAUGGUAAUUCGUAGUGGUUCUUGAGUGUAGGAGAUGGACUUCCAAUCUUCUAUUUCUCUUGAGUUUAGAAUUCUCUUUGAGAGGAUUAGAGAAUUGCAAAGGAUUAGAGAGAUUGGGGACCAUAACCCCUUUUAUAUAAAUAUCGUGACUAUUGGUUUUCUUUUAGAAAACCCAACAGUCACGUUAUUUAUGAUAAUAAUUAUCACUUUAGCCCCUCAUUAAAGUGAUGAUUAAAUUCUGGUAUCUAUGCAUUUAAUCCACAACAAUGAUACCCUUAGCCAUUUAAUUAACUUCAAAUAGAUCACUUAAUUCUUGGCUUAUUAAAUAAUAGCACGCACAUUUUAUUUAUUUCAUGUGUGGCCCCAAAUAUAUUAGAUUAAUAUAAAAUUGAUCUAACAGAUUAUAUUGUCGAAUCUUUCUGAAAAAGAUUGUUUUUGUAAUUGAACUGUUUAAAGUUUAAACAAAAAAAAAAAGCACUAAAUCCAAAUCAAAUAUAAAUACAAAUCCAGGUUCUAAAAAAAUCAAGUACAAAUACAGAAUCUAAAUUCUAAAACUUAAAGUUUCCAAGCGAACAUCAAGGAAUCAACAUCCCACGAAGCAACACGAACGGCGAAGGCGAGCUAGUUCAACCUGUAUCGGGGCUGGUUACUGGUCGCGAUAGCAGCUAGUGAUGAUGAACAUUGAACACAGCCACAAUCACGAUUAGCGAAGGUGGCGUUCAACUCGUAUCACAACUUGUUACUCGUUGUGACAUAGAAGAAGAAAUGAUGGCUAAUGAUGAUGAUGAGAUUAACACAACCGCAAAGAUAGUGAAGUGAUGACGACGAUGAUUUAAUUUGAUGAAAAAAACACCUGAAAAGAGACAGACAGGAAAUGUUUGGCCUUGGCAGCCGCAGUUAUGAAUGCAAGUAGGGCACUUGGGCUUUUUUUGUGUUUUUCUAUUUGUAUUAUAUAAUCUAAAAAAAUUAAUAUUAAAAUAAAAGCUUCCGGGUCUAGAUUCUGUAUCUAUGGGUUCAGAUAAACCCAGACACGGACUUGGAUACGUCUGGGUUCAUUAAAUUGCAUCCGAAUUCCAUAUAAAAUUUGCUCCAGUAUGGGUUGAAGCCAGCCUAUUCUCUGGGUUCAUCUAGGUUUGGGCGGGGAUCAGAUUGAAUUGGCAUCGCUUUUAUGUCCAAAUUAUCAAUAAGAUCCUUUGCUGUUAGUAAAUUCCUUUAUCAAAUGGUUUCAAUUUUGAACAUAUUAGUCCUAUUCCAAUUUUCAACCGUUCCCAAUUUUAUAACUCCAUUUAUUAGUAACAUUGUCUUAAAAGUUCAUCAUUGCACGGCACUAGAAUGAUUAUAAGGUUUAAUAUUUUUGAAUUAUGAAGCUCGUUCUCAGUAAGACAAGGCUAUUUGCACUCUAAAACUUAGUCUAAACAAUCUAUCACCUUGGAUACUCAUGUACUAAAUUUAAAAAGAUUAAGUUUUAUUUUCUUCACACUUUAAAAUACCUAAAAAGACCUUACUGAAACUCGCUAAAUUAAUUUACUCAAAACACCAAUCAAACUAUUUAGCACAUCCAAAAUGAAUUAGUAAUAAUUUAGAAUACACUGCAAUGGAAUCAAAGUAUGUUCUAAAGAAAUUUUUUUAACAUAAGUUUUAUUUAUUAGCUUUUGUUUAUUAAAGAAUAUGUUCAGCAUUGGUUUUUAAACCCCAAACUUUUAACCCAACAAUUGGAAAAAAUGGUUAUUUGGCCCAAAAAGGGAAAAAAAGAAAGAAAGAAAGAAAGAAAGAAAGCAAGCAAGAAAGAAGAAAAGAACACAAAGAAGAAGGAGAAGACUGCAAAAAAUAUUUUUAAAAAACUAAAAGGCAUAAAUAUGUUCAAAAUAUAUUAAAAGUAUUCAUUUGCUCCUAGCUCCUAGUUUAACUAAAUAUUGUUUAAGAGAUUGGAAAUAAAAUUUCUAGGGCUUAUGCCAAAAGAAUUAUAUAUUCAAUAAUGAGUGUGCUAUAUGAGUAUUUAGAGUAAUUAUAUAAUGUUAAUUUAUAAGAAAGAGUCCUUAUUAGUAAUUCAUAUGAUGUGUAUUUUUGUGAUAGAAUAAUUUAUUAAAAUAAAAAUGUGCAGAAUAUUUUUUGUAUUGUAAAUAUGUAAAAAUUCUCACCCUUCUCAAUAUAUUGACUUGAGUGAUAAUUUUAAAUUGCAUCAGAAUGAGCUAAAAGAAGAGGAAUUGUCGAAAUUCAGCUUAUGGCAAUUGAACAAUUAAUGGUUAAGAAAUACAGUAAAUCAAUAAUACUAAAACAUAAACAUAAUAAGAGAUCUGGGAUCUAACUAAUAUAUUGAUUCAAGAGUGACUAAUUAAAUAAAACUUCUUGAAAACCACACCUGCACAAGUCCAUGUGGGUUCUCAAGUUCUAUGUUAACUAUUAUUCUUCUCGGCAAGUAUCAUUCUUCUAUUGGAGAUGCCAUUGUUGCAGAAUAGAAGUCAGUUGAAGCUGUUAAUAUUAUGAUUGAAGUUUAUGCAAGUGCAGAUUGCAGACAGUAGAUAUCGACUUGAAGCCUCAUGUAAGGAAAUAAAGGUUGGUUUUCAACCAAAUAUGACGACUGGGACAAUGUCGGGUGGUUAAGGAAGAUGCAAUGGUCGUCUCAAAAAAUUGGGUUUCAUUGGCCAGAUAAGACUAAGAUGUCAACUUUUUUUUUUUCGUUAAUAUGAUUAACAAUGAAAGAGUAAUUUUGAAACAUUGACUUGGACUUGUGAUUGUUAAUAAAUUUAUUACUUCUUUUCAUUAAUUUGACCUGCAUAACAAUUAAUUGAGUGAUUUUUAUUUUUCAAGAUACUGCUACUUGAAGAAAUUGUAUGAAUCAAUAAUUUAUCAAUGAGUAACGUUACAAUUUAUACAAGUUAGACAUACUUGGCUGAUAAGCCAAACACUAUAAGAUAAGUCAUAGCCUAUAAGAUAAAUACAAGCUAAGGUAAAGAGCUAUAAGAUAAGAUUACAAGUUAUUGAAACAGAGAGUAGUUAUCUAUGUACAUGUUUGGUUAAUACGCCCCUGCAAGAUAUGUGUUCCAUCUAGAACUCCUAGCUUGGAACGUGCAGCAAUAUAACGACUGCGAGACAGUGGUUUGGUCAAGGUAUCAGCCAACUUAUUUUCUGAAGGAAUAUGAGAAACACAAAGAAGACCUGCUGCAAUUUUAUCACGAACAAAAUAAAAAUCAAUUUCUAGGUGUUUCAUCUUUGAGUGAUAAAUCGGAUUUGAACAUAAGUAUGUCGCUCCAAGAUUAUCACAAUGUAGAACAGGCAUAGAAAAUUUUAUACCAAGUUCAUCCAACAAGUUCCUGAUCCAACAUAUUUUUGAAACAACAGCAGUUAUUGCUCAAAAUUCUGCCUCUGUAGAUGAGCGAGCAACAGAACGUUGCUUUUUGGAUGACCAUGAAAUUGGAUUGCCUCCAAAAUAAAUAACAUAGGCACUAGUAGAACUGCGAUCAUCAAGAUUUCCUCCCCAAUCAGAAUCAGAGUAAGCUAUCAAGGAAUGCGACUGAGAUGAGCGUAGAUGUAAACCAUGAAAAAUUGUCCCUUUCAAAUAUCUAAGUAUUCGCUUAGCAGCUUGCCAAUGAAUUUGUGAAGAUUGUUACAUGAACUGAGAUAAUUUGUUGACAACAAAUCUAAUAUCCGGCCGAGUUAAUGUUAGAUACUGUAAGGCUCCAAUAAGUUGACGAUAUAGAGUGGAAUCGGCUGGUGGUGCCCCAUCAUUUAAUUGAAGUGUAACUGAGGAGGAAAGAGGAGUACCAACUGCUUUAGCAUCAUACAUGCCAAAACGCUGCAGGAGGUCACGAAUGUAAGAGUGUUGUGACAAGAGAAUUCCAGUGGUUUGUUGAACAAGCUCAACACCUAAAAAAUAGUUUAAAGCCCCAAAUCUUUGAGAGAGAAUUUAACUGAAAGAGCAUCAAUGAAAUGAGAAAUAAAUGCAUUAUGGCUGCCCGUUAUAAUUAUGUCAUCAACGUAGGCAAGAAAGUAGACUCGUACACCAUUUGUGUUAUAAAUAAACAAUGAUGCAUCAGAUCGACAUUGAUGAAAACCAUAAGCAAGCAGGAAAUGAUGUAAAGCUGUAAACCAUGCACGUGGAGCCUGUUUUAAGCCAUAAAUUAAUUUAUUCAACCUGCAGACAAAAUUAGGUUUGUUAGAAUCAACAAAACCACUGGGUUGUUUCAUGAACACUUCCUCUUGAAGAUGACCAUGGAGAAAAGCAUUAUUAAUAUCUAGUUGCCAUAAGGACCAGCCACAUGCCAAGGCUAGGCAAAUAACCAAUCAAACUAUAGUAGGCUUAAUAACUGGAUUGAAAGUUUCAUGAAAAUCAAUCCCAAGACGCCGAUGGAAACCUUUAGCUACUAGAUGAGCUUGAAAUCGAUCAAUACUACCAUUGGGUUUCCUUUUAAUCCAAAACACUCACUUACUGCCGACAAGGUUCUGAUUAGGUGAUGGAGGUAUAAGGUCCUAUGUGUUAUUGGAGAUAAGGGCACGAUAUUCAGUAGUCAUGGCAGCAAGCCAUUGAGGAUCUUUAAGUGCCUGUGUAAUGGAGGUGGGUUCACAAGAAGUUGGCAAUGGAUGACUGAAGUGCACCUGUAGAUGGUCUAACGUGGAAGAAAUUUUUUUUUUGGUUUAUGGAUGUUAUUUUGGGAGCGGGUUGUCAUUGGAUGUGUUCGAACAAGUGGAUUUGAUGAAGAAUGAGGUUUAGAUAAGGUUGAAUAAGGAUUAUUGGGUUCUGGAAUGGUGGGUGGAAUUUCAAUGGAAUUAGGAGAUGAUAAGGACGUGAGGAUCUGGGAACUUAUGGUGGUGGGGCUAGUAUUUGGUGGGUAUGAUGUGUGGGGUCAAGAGAGUUCUCCUGGAAUGAACUUGGAGGUUGUAUAUUUGAAUUAGAAUUUUCUGCAGACAAAGAACAUGAGCCCAAGUGCAAUGUCAUUUUAUUAUCAGAUGAGGCAAGUGACUGAGUGGCAUUAGAAUUGGAAGUUGAAACGGUGGGACUAGAUACAUGAAACACAGGAGGAAGCCAAGACGCUAUAGGUAAAGUAGAGAAAGAAGACAAAGUAGAAGUAAUAGAGUUAUAGGGAAAUACAUACUCAACAAAUUGCACAUCUCGUGAAAUAAAAAUUUUCCCAAACUUUGGCUCCAAGCAUUUAUAGGCACUUUGUUGAAAGCAAUAUCCUAGAAAAACACAUGGAAGUGAACGUGGUUCUAAUUUGUUGUGAGUGUAUGGCCGAAGCCAUGGAUAACAAAGACACCCAAAUAUUUUUAGUUUAUUGUAAUUAGGAGUUUCUUUAAACAGUAAUUGGAAAGGACAUUGCAUGCCAGUGGCACGAGAAGGUAGCCUAUUAAUUAAAUAGACAGCUGUCUGGAAGGCAAAUGACCAAAAUUUUGGUGGUAAUGAUGCUUGGUGCAAUAGUGUUAUCCCGGUUUCAACAAUGUGUCAGUGUCUACGUUUAGUUGUUCCAUUAUGUUGUGGGGUAUAAGGUGGUGUAGAUAAAUGAGAAAUGCCACACUUAAGAAAAAAAAUCUUUGAGUUUAAUAAAUUCCCCACCUCUAUCAGUGUAAACAGAAACAAUAUUGGUCUUAAAAUAAUUUUCAACAUUGUUCUUGAAUUGAACAAAAGUACCAAAGACAUCAUAUUUGAAUCGCAAUGGAUAAAGCCAAAUAUACUUGGUAAAGUGAUCAACAAAAAUCACAUAAUAUUUGUAACCAUCCAACGAUGUAACAGGAGCAGGACCCCACACAUCCGAAUAAACAAGUUCAAGAGGACUACUACUUUUCAAUGUAGACUCUCCAAAAGGGAGGCGAUGACUUUUAUUACAUAAACAAGACUCACAUGAUGGAGGAACUAAAGACCCAGAAAUAGAUAAAUGAAGAAAACACAAAAGAUGAUUUAAAACUUCUGUUGACGGAUGACCAACACGCUGAUGCCAAAUGGAAGAUGAAGGUUUAAUAGUGACACAGGAAAGCGGUGAAGAUGAUUUGCUAAAGAAUAAAUUUGGCCACUCAUACACUCCAUCCUUAUUCUGGCCUUGCAAUAAAAUUGCCCCCGUGGUCAUGUCCUUCACCUGAAAAAAAUCAGGAAAGAAUUCAAUAGAGGUAUUAUUUGAAGCACAAAAUUGAGAUACGAAGAUUAGAUUUUUAUUCAUAGAGGGGACAUAAAGAACAUCAUGCAAAGAAAAUUUGGUAUGAGGGGAAGAUAAAGAUAAAGAUCUAGUGUGAGAAAUACUCAAACCUGUACCAUUUCCAACUAAAACUGAAUCAGAACCUUGGUAGGGAGAAGCAGUAGUUAGAUUUUUAAAAUCCCCUGUGACAUAAUGUGAGGCAGCACUAUCAACAAGCCAAUUUGGGGAAACCAUAUUGGAUGUAAUGGUGUGGUUUAACAUCAGAGUAUUUUUGCGAGAGGAGAAAACUGGACAGUCUUUGGCUGUGUGACGUUUUUGCUCACAAAGCUGACAAAAUCCCUUAUAGCCAGAUCAUUUCUUACGAAAUUGAGCAUUAUUAUUGGUGAAAUUUUGAUAGUUGGAGGCAUUAUGGGGUUGGGAAGAAAAUUGACCAUUAUUAAAUUGGCCAUUUUGAUGUGGCAUAGAAGAGCCACGGUUGCCUUGCUUGUGAUUUGCACCAUGCUUAUUAUAUUGUCGUUGUGUAGCAUUAGUCGUAAUAGGAGAAAUUGCCAUUGGAUCUGCUCGUUUCAAAGUUGCUUCAAAAUCAACCAACUUGUCAUAUAACUCGUCAAAGGAAAUAACAGUUUCACGUGUUCUUACCCCAACAAUUAUUUCUUUGAAUUCUGCGCCAACUCCAUUAGCAAUAUGAACCGCAAUAUGAACCACAAUAUCGUCAUCAAUGAUGGGUAUAUCAAUCAAUGAUAAUUCAUCAGUAGUAGAUCUUAGGGAAUUGAGAUAAUCUGCCACAGAUUGUGAUCCACGAUGGGGGCGAGCUAGACGCUCUUUUAGCGAAAACACACGGCUACGGCUAGGAUUGGAAUAAAGUCUUGCUAACUUAUCCCACACUUAUUUGGACGUUGUGGAACAAGCAAUCAGUGGAGCAACUCUUUCUGAAGAGGAGGCAAUGAUGGAAUGAAAGAUCAAUUGAUCUUGACGUUUCCAAUAAAGGUAUGCUGGGUUUGGGGUGGAUACAGUUUCACUGCUAGAGGCUAAUGUUGGGUCUGGACAUGGAAAGGAUCCAUUUAUGUAUUUGAUAAGAUCAUAACCAAAAGCAAGGGAUAAAAACUGAGCUCGCCAAGUAAAAUAGUUUUCUGGUGUAAGUUUCAAAGGAAGUUGUGCAACAACAUUAAUAGAGAUAUACCCAGUAGAUUGUUGGGUUGAUUGGGUAGGGGAAAUGGCUGUAGAAGUAGGUGUUGUUUGAUCAGCCAUUAUAAAAAAGAAAAAUGUGCUCUUUAGAGACUAGAGCUCUGAUACCAUGAAGAAAUUAUAUGAAUCAAUAAUUUAUCAAUGAGUAACGUUACAAUUUAUACAAGUCAGGCAUACUUGGCUGAUAAGCCAAAUACUAUAAGAUAAGUCAUAGCCUAUAAGAUAAAUACAAGCUAAGGUAAAGAGCUAUAAGAUAAGAUUACAAGUUAUUGAAACAGAGAAUAGUUAUCUAUGUACAUGUUUGGCUAAUACUACCCUCCCAAGUUCGAAUCUUCGGUUGAAAAUUUUGAUUUAAACUUAGUCUUCAUCCCUCAUUUAUAAAUAAUAAAUAAAUUAAUUAAUACAUAAAUAAAUAAAACCUACGUGAAUGUAGAAAUGAAUCAGAUGAAAAGUAAAUAUUGUAUAAAUACCCGCACAAUGUGGUUCAGCUGCAUUGAAUAUUAUGCCAAGAAUAUGCAAAUCUGUUGGUUAGUGUUGACUUUGAACUACCUGAAGUACACAAGGGACUUUAACAUAGACUUAAUAACCAGUGGAAUUUCUGGCAAUUUAAGAAAAAAAGGGAACUAAGAUUCAUUUUAUUAUUCUUCCUUCCUGAACCUUAACAAAGAAAUUAAUCACAAAAAUAGUUUUUUGAAGUCUUUAAAAGUAAACCUUUUAGGAUCUCUUCAGAGAGCCGAAGAAAUGAAACAUGAGAAAACUUUGAAGUGAAAAGUAAUUUGGAGCUUACACAUCUUGGCACUCUUAAUCGGUGAAGCAACUGUGAUGUAACCUAACAGAAUGAUUAGAAUUUUCUGAGUAUAUAUGUUAACCCAUCCAUCAUAUUAUCUAUAUGUGUAUUCAGCACAAACCUUUUAAUCUUGUAUAAACUUAAAAUAGAGAACUGUUAUUCGUUCAAUACUUGCAGCCUUUAGAAGCUCAUCAAGUCCUUCACAAGUCCCAUUGUCCACUGUCGCAAGAGUUUGUUAAAAUCAUGAAUCAGUAUUGUGAAUUGGUUUAGUUAUAUUCUAUUAAGUUCGUUGCUAUUUUUCAAAAAAAAAAAAGUUCGUUGCUGAGGUGGCUUGAUGAGCUGGCGUUUGUGGGAACCUUAGUGGUUAAGUUGUUACAACAGUCCUACAAGUUUUUGGAAUUAAAUAUAAAAGAAAGCAAUGCUGGCCGGUGCAGCACCUAAAGACAAGAUCUUGACUAACUUUGAGAUAAAUUUUGUUAAUUCUUCAUUGAAGGGAUUUAUUCUCUGUGAUCUCAAGAAUUGUAGUAAUCAAUAUCUUAAUAAAAGUUUAUUAUCAGCCAUGGAUACAGGUACUAUGGUACCAAACCACGUAAUAUUACAAUGUUCUUUUUCUCUACUUUUUUAGUUUCUUUGUCAUAUAUGUUCUUUGUUCUUUGAUCUAGUGUCAUUAAUUCUUUGUGCCAUUAAUUGGACUGGUUAAUUGGCUAGUUUGAUUAAGAGCCGAAAGAGAAGAAAAGGCCUUGAUUUAUAGAAAAUUGGUAUCAGAGCCUUGGAGCUCUUUGCUCUUGAUCUUCAAAUGGAAAAGUAUCAGAUUUGAUCUCAAAAAAUUCAAUGGUGAAAAUAAUUUCUACUUGUGGAGUCUCAAAAUGCGUGCAAUUCUAUUUCAAGAAGGGUUUGAUAGUGCUCUUGAUGAUGAUGAAUAUCCAAAGGAUAAGAAAGAGAUUGAAGAAGGUUCAUCAAGUUCUGGAGGAGACAUGGGGUCCAUUAACAAUAAGGCUCACAACAGCAUUAUUUUACAUCUUUCAAGUGAAGUGUUGAGAGAAGUGGGAAAAGAAGAGACUACUUCUGGUCUAUGAGCAAAACUUGAAGAGUUAUUCUUGAAGAAAUCUUUGGCCAAGAGGCUCUGUAUAAAGAGGAAGUUGUACACAUUUUCAAUAAAGGAGAGGACAACUAUGAAAGAUCAUUCGGAUGAAUUUAACAAGCUGAUAUUGGAUCUUAAGAAUGUUAACAUUAUUCUUGAAAAUGAGGAUAAAAUUCUUAUCUUACUAAGCUCACUCCUAGAUUCAUAUAAGCAUUUUGUGGGUACUUUGUUGUAUGGAAGACAAUCACUCACUUUGAAGAAUGUGAAAAAUGCAUUAGAAUCUAAAGAUUUAAAAAAAAGAACAGAAAUAAGGGAUCAAAAUCUUGGAGAGGGCCAUAGUUGUCAGAUUCAUAUUAGAGAAGAAAGCCAAUAAAGACAAAAAGAAUAAUAAUAAGAGGGAUAAAGUUGAUAACAAGAAGAAACAAAAUGCUACUUAUGUCAUAAAGAAAGACAUUAUAUUAAGGAUUGCUUUGAGAAGAAAAAGCUUAAGAGGCUGUAAAAGGAACCAAAUGGGAAGGUUGCCAUUGUAUUUGAAGAUAAGGGAGAUUCAGAAGGAGCAGAUGUCCUUAUUACACUGAAAAAUAACUUACUGGUGAGUGGAUACUGGACACUGUAUGUUUUUUUUUUCAUAUGUGCCUAAAUAGAGAUUUGUUCAAGACCUUUGAAAGCAUUGAUGGGGGCAAAGUCUUGCUUGGAAACAAUCUUACUUAUAAGGUUAUUGGAAUUAGAACCAUUAGUAUCAAGAUGUUUGAUGGGGUAACUAAAGAUCUAAAAUCAGUGAGAUUGAAAACUUUUUGUAUUUCUCUAUAUCGUAAAAGGUUACACAGAUUCCUCUUAUAGAGAAGAAUACAUAAAAUCAGGAAACUGACAAUAAAUUAGCUAUCUAGUUGUACUAGCUAUUUCCUAAUUUACACCAUUGACUUAUUCUUAUUUACAGCUAACAAUCCUCUCUAACUACAAAUAUUUUUUUCCUUUUCUACACUCCCCCUGAAGUUGGUUUGAAGAUAUCCUCCAUAGCCAGCUUGCCAAUUAGCUCGUUGAAUUGCCGAGUAGGAAGCCCCUUAGUAAGUACAUCUGCAACUUACUGAGUAGUGGGAAUGUUAGGCAUACAGAUUAACCCUUUCUCAAGUAUUUCCUUGAUGAAAUGUCAUCUUUAUUGUCAUAAGUAGUUGAUCUAAACUAAGUUUCUAUGCUGCUUCUUGCCACCACAUUUUGCUUUUUACUUCGCCAUGUAAAACGAUUGCCACCAAUAAACGUGCAAUAGCCAGAAGUUAAUCGUUUAUCAACAGCACUUCUAACCCAAUCCGCAUCAGUGUAGGCUUCAACUUGUAAGCGCCCACGAUUCUUGAAUAACAAACCUCUUCCAGAAGUCCCCUUCAAAUACCUGAGAAUUCUAUAGACUGCAUUGAAGUGUUCUUGUCCAGGGGAAGGCAUAAACUGGCUAACUAUGCUCACUGCAAACGCUAUAUCUAGACGAGUAUGCAAUAAGUAAAUCAAUCUUCCAACAAGUCUCUGGUAUUGUUCUCUGUCCAGGACUUCUUCAGGUUUAAGAGGCUAUAAUUUGAGGUUGAGCUCAAUAGGUGUUUGUGCUGGUUUACACUCUAGCAAGCCCGUUUCAUUAAGCAAAUCAAGGACAUAUUUACGUUGAUUCACAAAUACACCUUUUUUGGAUCUAGCAAACUUCAUUCUAAGAAAGUAUUUCAAUGUCCCUAAAUCCUUGAUCUCGAAGUCAGCUGCAAGUCUCUUUUUCAAAUUUUCUAGUUCUUCACUGUUAUGAUAUGUCAUGACUAUAUCAUCCAUAUAAACAAUUAGUGUAGCAAUUCUGCCUUCUCUACUAUGUUUAUAGAACAUAGUAUGAUUAGCUAGGCUUUGACAAUACCCACAAUUCUUUACAGAUUUCCUAAAUCUCUCAAACCAAGUUCCAAGGGAUCACUUGAGGCCAUACAACAACUUCUUUAGUCUACAGACUUUCUUUGAUCCCAAAUUCUUCUCAAAACCGGGUGGUAGACUCAUAAAAACCUCUUCCUUAAGAUCACCAUUCAAAAGGCAUUUUUUACAUCCAAUUGGUAUAAUGGCCAGUUCAGAUUUACAACCAAAGAUAAUAGAAUUCUAAUUGAGUUUAUCUUCGCUAUCGGAGAAAAGGUCUCCUGAUAAUCAAUCUCAUAGGUUUAAGUGAAUCUCUUAGCUACUAAUCUUGCCUUAAAGAUUUCUAUGCUACCAUUUGCUUUAUACUUCACAGUAAAGACCUACUUGCAACCUACAAUCUUCUUCUCUUUAGGCAAGUCAACUAUCUCCCAAGUACCAUUUCUCCUAAGAGCAUUCAUCUCUUAUAUCACUGCCAAUUUCUAAUUUGGAUCACCAAGAGCUUCUUGAAUGUUUCUUGGGAUAAAAACAGUGUGAGAUUUUUUAAGUAAAUGCCCUAUAAGUGUGAGAAAGUUUGUCAUAAGAAAGAUAUUGAGCAAUGGGAUAUCUAGGAUUCUUAGUGAGAUUUCGAAUUCCUUUUCUAAUAGCAACGAGAAUAUUAAGGGCUGAUGAUUCUUUGCUAGGGAAAAUGAUGGGAAUUGAAGAUGAGUUAGGAUUGAAAAUACCUGUGAUAUUUGCAGGUCCAAUCCCCGAGGGUUGUGAUUGCUCGUUACCAAGAGUAACUGGUUGCCUUUGACUUUUUUUAUGAUGUUUUCUCCAAGUAUAAACCAAAAGCUCAAUGUUAGAAUCAUUUUGAUCUGGCAGUAGUAGUGAUUCUCCCCAUGUUUCAGAUACAAUAAUGUUUGGCAUUAUAUUGCCAGAACUUCCCUCAUUAUUCUCAGUGUUUUUAUCAUCACAUUGUUCCUGACUUUGAAGGUCGGGAAUGGUAGGAUGAGAGGAAUGAGGUAUAGUAGUAAAAAAUACUUUUGGUAAAGAGUUAGGAGAUAUAUCCCAAAAAGUUUAUUCCAUUACCUCAUACUCCCCCUGAAGAGAAUUUUUGUGAAAGUAGGAUUUAUUUUCAAAACACGAGAUAUCCAUACUCGCAUAAAUUUUCCUUGUUUGGGGAUUAUAGCACUCAUAUCCCUUUUAUUGGAGGCAUGCCCUUGGAUCAAGUUUGGACUGAGUGUUAUUAGGUAUACGAACAAAGACAGUACAACAAAAAACUUUAGAGGUAAAUCUUAAUACAUUCUAGAUAGGGGAAAGCAUUUUUUAAAACAUUCUAGAGGUAUAUUAUAUUUUAAAACACAUGUAGGCAUCUUAUUAAUUAAAUAAGUUGCUAUUAAAAUAACUUCUCCCCAAAGAUAUUUUGGAACAUUCAUCGAAAGCAUUAUAACACUUGUUACUUCAAAUAAAUGUUUAUUUUUUCUUUUAGCAAUCCUAUUUUGCUGAGGAGUAUCUACACAAGUGGACUGGUGAUAAAUACCUUUUUCUUUCAAUUUUUUUUUCAAAAUACCUUUAUAGUACUCGGUUCCAUUAUCAUUGUGAAGAACUCUAAUUUUCUUUUGAAAUUGAGUUUCAACUAUUGUGUAAAAGUCUUUAAAAAAAUUUCCAACUUCAGAUUUUUUACUCAUUAAGUAAACCCAAUAUAGACGGGUGUGAUCAUUUAUGAAUGUGACAAAUCAUUUUUUCUUUGAAAUAGUAGUAACUCUUGAAGGUCCCCAAACAUCACUACAUAUUAAAUAAAAUGGUUUUGAAGGAAUAUAAGGUUUUGGCAGAUAAGUAGUACAAUGAAUCUUUGACAUACAACAACUUUCACAGUAAAAUGAUGAAAAAUCCAAACCCUUAAAUAAAGUAGGAAACAAAUGUUUAAGAUAUGGAAAGCUAGAAUGUCCUAAUCUUAAAUGCCAAAGCAUUAUUUGUUCAUAAAUAGAGUUAGAACUAACACUACUAAGGCCCUGAGCCUUUUUAUUCCUAGAGAAAUCAUCAUCAAAGUAGUAAAGGCCACCAAUCAAUUUAGCACUGCCAAUCUUCUUCCCCGAGGUUUGGUUCUAAAAUUCAAAGUAAGAAUCACAAAAAAUCACUCGGCAAUUAGAAUCUUUAGUUAUUUUACUCACGGUUAAAAGAUUACAAGCUAACUUGGGAACAUGAAGAAUAGAAUUAAGGUUUAAUUUUUUGGAUAAUUUAAUCAAACAUUUCCCUACUAUUGGUGAGAAAGUACUAUCUGCAAUUCUUAUUUUGUCAAGACCAUAACAUGGUGAGUAGGUGCAAAACAAAUUUGAAAGGUUGGUCAUAUGAUCAAAAGCUCUUGAAUUUAUGAUCUAAUGAGCAUAAUUUGAACAUAAAGAAAGAGCAUUGGGUGUGCUAUCUGUUUAUGCAAGAAAAACAGUAGGAAUACUACUUGGUGAGUAAUUGGGUUUUAUCAACUGCAGACGGUAAUCCAUCUGCUCCUUGGCGAAAGGGCCUGUCUCGGCUUCAUUUGCAGUACAAAUCAACCAGGUAUUUUUAUCACCAGGCUUGCUGCUCUUUCAAUUUACUGGUUUUUCAUGGAUUUUCCAGCAUGUUUCUCAGGUAUGACAUUGUUUGUUGCAAUAGUCACACUAUACCCGUAGCUUCUCUACAGUUUUAUGUUGAAAUCUGGCUAUUUUGUUAAAAACAACCAAUGCACUAAAAAGGGCAGAACUUUCAGUAGGCCCGUCAGUUGUCUUCUUUCGUAGCAUUAUAUGUAUACGGCUUUCUUCUCUUCGAACCUCAAUAAACACCUCGCCAAUUGGAGCAACUGGCUUUCUGCCAAUGAUCUGCCCCCGAACCUCAUCAAACUCAACGUUGACUCCUACAAGAAACUUGUAAAUACGAGAAGCCUCAACAAUAUUGUUGUAAUAUUUGGCAUCUUCUGUGGAUUUCAUUUCAUAAUCAUUGAACAGAUCUAAAUCUUGCUGAAUGGAUUGAAACUACCUUAAACAAUUAUCACCAUUAAGGUAAAUAAUGGUAAUUUGAAUUAGAUGAGUAUCAGUAUUGGGAGUUUGGGUUUGUGUUAGAGAGUUGGUUGAAGCAGAUAUAAUCAGUUGAUUAUGAUGGCUCUAAUACCAUGAAAACUUUUUUGUAUUUCUCUAUAUUGUAAAAUGUUACACAGAUUCCUCUUAUAGAGGAGAAUACAUAAAAUUAGGAAACUGAAAGAAAAAUUAGCUAUCUAACUGUACUAAUUAUUUCCUAAUUUACACCAUUGACUUAUUCUUAUUUACAGCUAACAAUCCUCUCUAAUUGCAAAUAUUUCUUCCAUUUUCUACAGAGAUAUAUGCCAGACCUUACAAGAAAUCGCAUGUAUCUAUGGAUGAUUGAUCAAUUGGGCUGUAGCAUUAAGGUAGAAUAUGGUCAAAUACAGGUUAUAGAUAAGGGUAUGAAGGGAAUUAGAAGGAAUGGUUUGUGUGUUUUGGUUGGGUUAUUACCUCAGCUAGGGAUAAAUGCUAGUGUAAGUAGUGACAAAACCAAACUUUGGCAUAAUAAGAUAGAAUAUAUAAGUGAAAAAGGUUUGAAAGAACUAAGAAAGCAAGAGUUAUUUGGUCAUAAUCAAAUUUCCUCACUAGAGACAGAAGUUCAGGACAGGAAGACAUGAAACAAAGAGACAUUGGAUUAUGUUCAUUCAGGUUCCAUCUCAUGGUAGAGCUAGGUACUUUAUUACCUUAAUGGAUGACUUCUCAAGGAAUCUUUGGGUUUAUGUGUUGAAACAUAAAAGUGAAGCCCUAAAGAAAUUCAAGGAAUGGACAGCCCUAAUGAAGAACCAAAUUGGAAGAAAAGUGAAGAGAUAAAGAACAGACAAUGGCCUGGAGUACUGCAACAGCGAGUUUGAUGAGUUUUGUAAAAAGCAUGGCGUUAUAAGGCAUAAGACAGUAAGGCAUACACCACAACAAAAUGGCCUUGUUGAAAGAAUGAACAGAACCUUAAUUGAGAAGGUCAGAUAAUAUUAUUUCUCUAACCAUUUUUGGGCUGAAGCAAUCUCUAUUGCUGCAUACCUUAUCAAUAAAAAUCCCUCAUCAACUUUGGACUUUAAAACUCCACAAGAAGUCUCGUCUAGCAAACCACUUGAUCUAAGUAACCUAAGAAUCUUUUGUUGCCCAGCUUAUGCACAUAUAAGUUUGGGAAAGCUAAAACCAAGGGUUGUUAAAGGUUAUUUUAUAGGAUAUUCUGAAUGAAUUAAAGGAUAUAAGAUUUAAAGUAUUGAUGGGAAGCCCAUUAGAACCUUUAUCAGUAUAGAUGUUGUGUUUAAUGAGGAGGCAUUGAUACAAACAAAAGUUGAAACAUAGAUCUUUACUAAUUUUAAAGGAGAUUCACAUCUGAUGGUGGAGUCAGAUGUGCACAAACAUUCAGAAUUAGAAGGGUAUCAUCUUGUAAGAAAUAGAGAAAGAAGAGUUGCUGCAAGGCCUAAAAGAUAUGGUAUUGUUGUUUUAAUUUCAUAUGCAUGUAUGGUUAUUGAUUAUGUAAGUGGUUGAGAACUUAUCAGCUACAAAAAGGCCAUGAGUAGUAGGGAGAAGUCAAAAUGGCUUGUAGCAAUGAAAGAAAAAUUGCCUUUUUCUAGAAAAAUAAUACGUAGAUCCUAGUUGACAAGCCUUUAAACAAGAAAUUGGCUAGCUAUAAAUGGGAUUUCAAGCUCAGAAAGUGAUCAUGGGCAACCUAGAUAUAAGGCUAGACUUGUAGCAAAAAGGUUUACACAAAGGGGAGGAAGCAUUUUCACCAAUAGUUAAACAUAGCUCUAUAAGGGUUUUGUUGGCUAUCACUGCAUUCUUAUAUCUAGAAUUAGAUCAAAUGGAUGUCAAAAUAGCCUUUUUGCAUCGUAACUUAGAUGAAGAAAUUCUAAUGGACUAACCAGAAGGAUUCAUUAAAGAAGGAACUAAAGAUAUGGUUUGCUUAUUACAUGGCUCGAAGCAAUCCCUAAGACUAUAGUAUUUAAGGUUCAAUGAAUUUAUGAUCACUCAUGGAUACUUCAGAAGUCAAUAUGACAGUUAUGUGUAUUGUAAACUCUGCCUUUUAAAGAUACUAUCUAUCUUCUUUUAUAUGUUGAUGACAUACUUAUUGCAUAUAAACAAAGAGAAUAAAUAUAGAGGCUUAAAGAUGAACUAAGUUCUGAGUUUAAUAUAAAGAUCUUAGGCCCUACAACAACGAUUUUAGGAAUGCAGAUCAUAAGAGAAUGAGGUGAAAAAACUUUGUUCCUUUUUCACAAGCUAAUUAUGUCAGAAAGGUGCUUAACAUAUUUGGUAUGCUUAGUUCUAAACUUGUUACUAUACCUUGUUGCACAUUUGAAACUGUCUAAACAACAAGAACCAACUGAAGGAGCAAAUGUUGAACACAUGAUGAAAAUACCUUAUUCUAGUGUAAUGGGGAGCAUCGUGUAUGAUAUGGUUGUUUUAGACCCGAUGUUUGCAUAUGGAAUAGGAGUUUUCAGCAGGUUUAUAAGAAAUCCAGGGAAAGAACAUUGAGAUGCUAUUAAGUGGAUACUUAGAUACCUUAAUGGUACAACAAAUAAUGGUAUUUUAUUUGGAGGAAUUAAUAAUACACAAGUAAAAUCUUAGGCUAUGUGGACUCAGAUUUUGCUGGCAAUUUGGACAAAAGAAGGUCAGUUACUGGAUUUGUCUUCACAUUGUAUGGAGGUGCAAUGAGUUGGAAAGAAUCAUUGUAAUUAGUUGUUGCUUUAUCUAGAACUGAAGUUGAAUAUGUUGCACUCAUAGAGGCUACAAAGGAAACAAAAUGGCUCAUAGGCUUGGCAUCAGAAUUAGGAUUGAGGCGAGAGUCGAUUUCCAUUAGUUGUGAUAGUUCUAAUGCAAUACAAUUGAGCAAAAACCCAAAAGAACAUGAAAGAACAAAGCAUAUUGAUGUUAGGCUACAUUUUAUCAUAGAAGAAAUUGGUUCUGGUGUGGUGAAUAUUAUCAAAAUCCCCUUAGUAAUCAAUCCUACUGAUAUUCUAACAAAACCUUUGCCUAUAGUCAAGUUCAUGGGCUCUUUGAACUUGAUUAGGGUUGUUAGCUUGUAAAUCAAGCUAUGUGUUGCUGCUACAGAGUUCGGGUGAAGCUUGAAAAUAAUAUAAAUGAAGAGGAGAUUUGUGAAUUCGGUUAGUUAUAUUCUAUUAAGUUAGUUGCUGAGGUGGCUUGAUGAGCUGCUGUGUGGGACCCUUGUAGUUAAGUUGUUACACGGUCCAACAAGCUUCUGGAAUUAAAUACAGAAGAAAGCAACGCUGGCUGGUGCAACACCCGGAGAAAAGAUCUUGACUAGCUUUGAGAUAGAUUUUGUUAAUUCUUCAUUGAAGGGAUUUGUUCUCUGUGAUCUCAAGAAUUGUUCUAAUCAAUAUCUUAAUAAAAACUUCAAGUCCAAAGGGGUAUUAUCAGCCGUGGAUGUAAAUACUUUUGUAGCAAACCACGUAAUAUUGCAGUGUUCUUUUUCUCUGCUUUCUUAGUUUCAUUGCCGUCUUUAUUCUUUGUUCUUUGAUCUAGUGUCAUUAAUUCUUUGUGCCAUUAAUUAGAUUGGCUAAUUGGCUAGUCUGAUAAAGAAUCGAAAGAGAAGAAAAGGCCUUGAUUUCAUAACAAGUAUUCUGUCCAUUAAGGCUUCAAGUCAAUUAUUUUCUUAAACAAUUUAAGAGAAACUUUAAUUGCUUCAGUCUUCACUCUUCAACGUGUAUGAGUCUCUAUGAUAAGAGUUUUCUCCAAAUUCAAAUCCAACUUUAGCACCCAAAUUUUUGGCCUAAAUGGAAAAAAAAAAAAUUAAAGGCUUUACGUACUGGAUACUGAGGUACACACUUCACAUAUUAAUGUAAAAACUAAAAAGUUAACAUAUAUAUCGAAGGCUUUAUGAACUGGAUAAGAGUCUUGACAUUUUUAUGUAAAAAUUAACAUAUCAAAGGCCUUAUGAACUGGAUGAGAGUCGAUCAUUUACCCCCAUUGGGGACUGAUACAAAGUUAUUCCAGUUGGCGCACAAUGUCUUGCAAAGCAAGCAAACGUUCCCCUCACUAGAUGUAAUUGAACAAACAAUAAUCACAAUAUUUUUUUUUUUGGAAAAGUAAUUAAUUCAUUGAUUAGUACCAAAAAAAUCAUUGAAAUUUAAUCAAAUUAUACGGAGUUGCAUACCAUUUUUGCUCUUUGUUAAGAAUUGAUGGUUUCUUAAUAAGAUUAUAAUUGAAAGAAUUAGAAAUGGAAUGAGGAAGAUCUUUUGGGGGUAAAUUGAUUGAAGAAUGAAUGGAGAAUUUGUUUCAGCCGGAAAGAAAUCAGAAAGUAUUUGAGAUGGAAUUAAGAAGAUUUUUGUGGGUAAAUUGAUUAGAGAAUGAAUGAAGAGUAAAAACGCAAAAUUUGGAAACUCGGAUACUUGGAAAUCAAGUAAGGUCUGUGAAGUCGGAUAUUAGGAGAAUUAUACAGGCCGUUUGAUAUCUAAUUUGAACGGUUUAGGAAAUUGGGUGGAUAUUCUCUUGUGUGCAUAUUAAUUUUAUUAAUGAAGAGUGAUUCGUUCAAUUGACGAGUAGAAUUUUAAGCACUGUUAUAUGAUGGUGUUACGCAUUGUUUAGUACAAGUUUAACUAAUUGCAACUUAAAAAUUAUAGCACUAAAUUAUUUGUUAAACACUAGCCGCGCUGCUGUCACUUAAAAUUGAAAUUGAAUUGAUUCAACACUUUUAUGAAAAAAAAAAUUGAAUUUUUUUUUUAAUUUUUAUCAUAUUAUUAUUAAAAACAAUCAUGUUCGUCAUAUACUAUUAACUUUUAUUUUUAAUAAUAGCUUCUUUUACCACAAUAUGAGACUUAAAUAUUAUAGCACCUCAAUACUAAUCAAAUGCUUAGCGUAAAAUUUUUAAUAAAUAAAAAUAUAAUUUAAAUAGUUUAAUUUUUCUAAUAGACUAAUAAUAUUAGAAUAUUUUUAAUAUAAAAAUAAUUUUAAAACUAUAAAUGAUUAUAUUUAUUUUAAUAAUGUAUUUAUAUUUAUUCUAGAAUUUUUUAAUAAAUAUCUAGGUUAAAUAAAUUUUUCUAACAGACUAAUAACACAAUGCUCGCAAAAUGGUAAGCUUACCGAUUUGAGCCCUGGAGGCAAUUUUCGCUCAGAGAGAAUUUUCAAAUCUUGUUUUGACAAAUGACCGAGUUCGAGAUGCCACAUCAUCGUUGAUUCUUCUCCAUUUGACGUGACACACGCAUCAGCUUCUUGUGGUGUUUCCCCUUCAAGUACGAACAAAUUAGGACUGAUCUUUUCUGCCUUCAUCAAUACAAGCGCACCUUUAACAAUCUUCAUAAUCCCAUUUUCAACAUGGGUUUUACACCCAUGACAAUCUAUUGUCCCAAAGAUAAUAGAUUUUUCUUCAAGCCUUUGACAUGUUGUACCUCCUCAAUUGUACGAACCGUACCAUCAAACAUUUUUAUUUUGAUAGUACCAGUACCAACGAUUUCCAAGGCAUGAUCAUCUCCCAUGUAUAUAAAUCCUCCUGAGAUAGGUUCAUAUGUGUGGAACCAUUCUCUUUGAGAGGUCAUAUGCCAGGUAGCUCCUGAGUCUAUGAGCCACACAUCAGAUAACCAUUUUCUGCCUUCUGAAACAGUUGUUGUCUCCACUCUGCUUGUUUUUCCAACACUCUUUCUUGAAAUGCCCUUUCUUGCCACAAUUGUAGCAUUUGACAUUUUUCUUACUUUUUAAUUUUGAUCUACCAUGAUUGUGACUCCUAUUGGGGCCACGAUCUGUUGAUCUUCCUCUCGUCAUCGAUAGUGCUUUUACUUGCUGCGAACUUACUUGUUUGUCUUCCUUAUUUUUCCACCUAUUCUCCUCAUUUAAUACAGAGGCUGCAACAUCAUCGAAGACUAGACUGUCCGCUGGGUUGUUGUUUGUCAGGUUGAUGAUGACUUAGUCGUAUGAAUCUGGUAGACUUUGAAGUAGAAGCUCUACACGUUCAUUUUCCUCUAUUUUAUGACCCAACGUUGAAAGUUGUGAAAAUAGAGUCUUUAAGGUGUUGAUGUGGUCGGUCACAUAUUUUAAGAAGAUCUUGUUGUGCAGUGAUUUGGCCUUGUACAAUUUUGUGAGAGUAUCACAUAUUUCCUUUGCUGUCUUUUUCUUUGCCACAUUGGAUAAUACUCCAUCCACAAGCACCAAGUAUAGAUUAGAAAUGGUGUUGCCGUCUAUCUCGUUCCACUUGUCAUCAAUUAACUCCAUGGGCUUUUCUCCAAUUGCUAUCAAGCAUACAACUUUUAUCUUCAUUUUCCACAACGAAAAAUUAUUUCCGUUGAAUUUCUCAAUUUCGUAUUUUACCGCCAUCGCUUUUCACCAAAAACUAACUUUGCUAGGAUCGACUCUCAUCAUUUUCAAGUGAACAAUAAUUGUAUACGUGAACAAUAAUCAUAUACGUAAAUAGUGCCGUAUACGUUAACAGUACCCCGACUCCAAAAGAAAUACAACAAGUAGCUCUGAUACCAUUGUUAGGAAAUUGAUGGGUGAAACACGGCCACAGCUAAAAUGAAAUUGAAAGAAAAUUUACAAGUAUUGUAAUAUUUUGUCUCACUACCCAAAACCCUCUCACUCAAUAGACUCACAAGAGCUUUGUAAUUUUAAGCUCUUAAAAUCACUCAAAAUCUUUGUUUUUUCUCUCACCAAAAUUAGAUGCCUAAAAUCAAAUAAAGAGCUCCCUUUAUAUAGCCAAAAUUGGCUAUUAAAAUAUUAUUAUUAUUCUGUAACCGCCUUUAAUUUCUUCUUCUUCUAUUUUCUUCUUUCUUCUUUCUACUUCGGCGGUGCCAAACCCUUCAACAUUUGCUACUUCCAAAUUCUAUUUUUCUUUCCUUGGGUGGCACCUCCUUGGACUUCAAUUUGGGCAGCUUAUACAGCUUCUAGAUCUUCAAAAUAGGCUACUUCUGGAAGCCUUUUCGUGACACAUUACCUAGUAGAUUUACUCAAUCACAAAUUGGGUGGUUACAAACUAUGUUUGAAAACCUUUAAUUAAUAAAAUUCUUAUUUAUUUUCUUUCGUAAUACGAUUUACCUAUUAUGAAAUCAUUUGCAUUAGAUCGUGAAUAAUCUCAUUACUUUGGGGUAUUAUUUGCCUUGGACUUCUUUUUUUGGUCUAUCACUAUAUUACUUACCUUGGGCUGUCUCACUAUUCUCGUGUAAUAUUAUCUGCCUUGAGUCAUUCAUUUUUGUAUUGAGUGGUGAUAUUAUCUCAUCAGUUUUUAUAUUAAUUUCUAUUUUGCCGUUGUAUGAAAUUACUUAUUUUGGUGAAUUACUAUAUUAUUUCCCUUGGGCCGCCUCACCAUUUUGUUGCAUAAUCUGCCUUGGGUCAUUCAUUUUUGUAUAGAGUGGAGAUACGAUCUCAUCAGCUUUUAUAUUAAUUUCUGUUUUGCCAUUGUAUGAAAUUAUGAAAAAUGGAUAUUGAAGAGUUUCUUGCCACAAAUUGAACCUGCAUCUCUGGUAAGCAUUACUCUUUCAUUUUCGCGGAAAAGGCAGUAAGUGAAUGGCCUAAAUUCAUGGUUCAUUUCAUAUUAUGGAGUUUCUUUCUUCAGGAUGAUUUCGGCUGGAAUUCUCAUAAUUUGCUUCCAAAAAUCCACUACUGAUAGGCUUGGUGCUUGCCAUUUUUGCCUUUGCAGCUGGUAGUGGCUUGUAUGCUUGUUGGAUUAGUCAGAAAAAUCAAUUGGCAUUGGUCACAAAUUUUUUAUUCGAGCUGAGGGAUACAUACAGUAGUAGACGUCGUGUACUAUGUUCUCUUUCUCAUAUGUAUAAAUAUAGUAAGAGAUAUAUAUGGCUUUUAUAUAAUUCUCAAUAUCAUAAGCAGUAAACAUGGACUCUUGGCUUAAAGACAAUAUGAACAUGAAACCAUUUCACGUGGGUGAUCAAAUAAUAACUUUCAUUUGUUUAACUUCUUAUAGAAGUCAGAAGAGAGUGUACCUGCAACCAGUGGCGGUGCCAGAAAUUAUUUUUAGCGGGGCUAAGUUCACAUAAUAGUUUAAUUCAAGAAAGUAAUCAACAAAUAACAUAUAUCAAAAUAAAAAUUCAUUAAAGUAUUUAAUGCAACACACUUAUAAUUGUUCUCGACAAGGUUUCAUAUAUUGAAAACGUUGAAGAAUAACCUCAUUGUCAAGACUACAAAAUACAUCAUUUUUUUUAUGAAUACAACAAGGCUAUCAUUCAACCAUUGAUCUCCCAUCCGAUUUCGCAGAUGGUUUUUCACAAAAUUCAUAGCUGAAAAUGCCCUUUCUACUGUAACUGCGGCAACCGGUAAAAUCAAUGCCAAUGUCACCAAUAAAUAGACCAAUGAAUAUAAUUGAUCCUUUUUAGUCUCAACCAAUUUUCUUACUAGCUCACCAAUCCCUUUCAAUCCUGAAAAUUUGUUGUCAGAACCCACAUCCAUAAUAUAAACAUCAAAUUGAGUUUCAAGUGCCACAAGAUUCAUUAGAGAAAAAUCAUUCGGAUAAAACUCAGCAAGGUGAAGUAGUUUCUGUUUAUCAAAAGCUGCAAAUGAGUCAUUGGGGCAUAGACAUGCCACACAAAGAAGCAACUCAGUAUUCAUCUCAUUGAAACGAUUGCUUAAUUCUUUAAGUUGCAUGUCCAAAAUUGCAUAAAAUAAUUCAACUCGAAAAUAAUGCAAAUUCGUGAUCUUUUGAGCCUUGCGUUGUGAUCUUGCUUGUGAUAACUCAUAUGCAAAUCCAAGAAUAUUUUUCAUUAACAGCAGGCUAAACACAAAAGCAAAUGAUUGCAUUGACUUCGAUAACAUUGUAGCUUGAAAUCUUUGUUCAGAAUUUCCCUCAUUUGAAAUUAUCUCAAGCAUGUCAAUAAUAGAUGGAAACAUGGUGAUUAUACUCAAUAACGUACCAUAAUGUGGGCCCCAACGUGUAUCAGCAUAUCGCUUUAAAGUAACCUCUUGAUUUAAACCUCGUCCACUUGAAAGUUCACCAUCAUUGAGUGCUUUAAUAACUGCUUGAGCAUGUUUCUCUUGAAGAAUAUCACGACGUUUUGCUGAAGCACCAACAACAUUGAUAUCACGACGUUUGCCCGCGGGGAGUCGUGAUAUCAAUGAUUGCAUUCACCGUCCACAAGUUUAUCUUAUACACUUCAAUUAAUUUCAUAGCAUUCACAAUGUCUUGAUCCUUUUUUUUGUAAUGCUUGUGAUAACUCAUGUGCAAAUCCAAGAAUAAUAUUUUUCAUUAACAGCAGGCUAAACACAAAAUCAAAUGAUUGCAUUGACUUCGAUAACAUUGUAGCUUGAAAUCUUUGUUCAGAAUUUCCCUCAUUUGAAAUUGUCUCAAGCAUGUCAAUAAUAGAUGGAAACAUGGUGAUUAUACUCAAUAACGUACCAUAAUGUGAGCCCCAACGUGUAUCAGUAGAUCGCUUUAAAGUAACCUCUUGAUUUAAACCUUGUCCACUUGAAAGUUCACCAUCAUUGAGUGCUUUAAUAACUGCUUGAGCAUGUUUCUCUUGAAGAAUAUCACGAUGUUUUGCUGAAGCACCAACAACAUUGAUAUCACGACGUUUUGCUGACGCACCAACAACAUUGACUAACAUUGUGACUAAAUUGAAAAGAGAAGUAAUUAUAAGAAUUUAAAGAGAAACUGAAAACAAUUUCCAUGUCAAAAUGUAAAAAAAUACAAAAAUACAAAAUAUUAAUUUAAUAAACUAACUACCCAAUUAAAUCCCCAACCACUAAAUUACUAAUCCAUCAUAGCAUCACGCCAUGACCAAUGGCAUUGUUAUUCUAUUGUUUAUAAUAAGUAAAGUUAAAAGCAUUGCCACUUUGUCAAGAAGCAUCGCCACUUUAUCAAGAAACAUGCCACAAUCAUUCUAUUCAAAAAGCAUAAAAAAAUUCAAGAAUUAUAAUAUUAAAUUAUAAAGUGACAAAGAUGUUUAAUUAUCAAAAUAAUUUAAUCAAUUCUUAAUAAUUAAUCUAAAAGCUGCAAAGGUAUGACGGUAGUACCUGAAAAAAUGCAAAAAUGCAGACCAUGCGGUGGUGCAGGGCUCCAAGUGCGAGCUGCAAGUUGUAGCAUUUAUGGCAUGAAAACAAAGAGCUAUGAUGGCAUGAGAGUUUGAUAGAGAUAGAUGACAGGCUGAUCACUGAUGGUAGCCGAUGGAGUUUUUCUUUGGCAAAGGAUCGAUGGUGGUGGUUAGGGAUUUGAUUUUGAGUUUUUUUUUUUAAUUUCUAAUCGUUGUUUUAAAUUUUGGUCUUUUAGUUAUUUCAAAAAUAUUUCAGGGAUUUUAUUGUAAAUUCAAUAAAAAAAGAUAAAUUUAAUUUUUUUUUAAAUUCUAGGGGGCAUCAGCCCUAGCUCUCAAGUGGCGCCGCCUCUGCCUGCGACAUCAACCGUAUCAAGCGAAGAUAUUGGACAUUUAAUAAUGAAAAAAUUAGGAAUUUUCAUGGACACAUCAGUAGGUUUCGUAAAUAUGUAGAAUCAACUGAUUCUAGGUACCUUACAAUGUGACUUUUUUUUUUUCCCCUGAAGAUAAGGACUAUUUUUUAGGAUACUGGCCGUUGAGGCUUUGUUUGUAUUUUUGCAAGAAAAUGGAAAAGGGUGGGCUAAAGCGCAAAAAAUAAAGCUAACAACUGCUAAAUUUAAUUUUUUUAAGAGUGUUUUAAUGUGGCAUUUGAUUUGGGAACUUUUUUGUAGUUAUUGAAAUAGCCACACAGGGUAACAAUUGGGGCAUUCUUUCAUAAAUUGGACAUUAAUAGUACCGAGUACGAAUGAGGAUGGUUAAAUGCCUAAUCACCCUAUUAAUCUUGCAGUCCAAAAAAGCAAAAGCAAUAGCAUUACAAAUAGUAUAACUAUCAAAUUGAUUCACUCUGUCUAAACGACAAGUCAUCUGAUUACUAAAUUAUUUGACGCAACGACUGAUUUAGAAUUUUAAUGUAGAGGGAGCUUGGUACAAAUACUAUGAUUCACAGUAGCGUGUUCGAUGGUGCGAGUGAUCAACAACAGCAACAGACAAGUGAGGCAAUGAUGAUGUAUAUGUUGGAAAUAUAAAUUCAUAUUGUUUUUUGAAAGUACACAAUAUGAAUAGUAGCUGUUGGUACUGUUCACUUCACUAUUUACUAAUACUAUUGAUCUUACUGUUCACUCAACAACAAUUGUAAAUUCGUCAAGGCGUGUUCGAACUGUCCUUAAGACCAAUUUCUGCUUCUCCAGAAAGAUUUCCCGACACAAAAAAAAGAUAUAAAUAAAAUGGAUUGAUCCCUAGGAUAUAAUGACGUUAUUGUGAGCUUGUACUCCAAACACAACAGUUUAGAAUAACAAAAGAAAAAUUAAUGAAAAGAUAGAAGGAUAGGUUAUAAUGGCUGUGCCUUGAAGAUUUUGUAUUUUGAAAUAUCAAUAAAACUACAAGAAUAAGCUUAAAUAAUUUUAUCAAGAUUGCACUUUAAGAUGAAACACUAAUUAAUGGCCUUUCAAGACUUGAAUUGGGUUAAAUAGUUUAUGUACGAAAAUUGAAUUAUUGACAUCCAAAUGCACUUAAAUAAAUAUUUUCCCUAUCUCCUUUUAUAUAUUGUUGGUAAUAAAUCUAAUAACUUUAUGUUGUUGUGAUUCUUAAUGUAGUUUUUUUUUAAUCGGUAGCUGUGUACGUGUCAUUAUUAGCAAUGUGUCAUUUUCAUUACUGUGUUAUUGUUUGCAAUGUGUCAUUUUCAUUACUGUGUCAUUGGCCAAUAAUUUUGUAACAAAACCAACAUAUAGCGGUAAAUGAAAAAUUCACAAGUGGGGGACAUACACCCGUUUAAAAUAUUGUAAAUACAUUUUCUUCAUUCUAAGUGUGGACAUGCCAAUUUUGCAUAAUAGUCAUAUCCCAGAACAAAAGUCGCAUUAAAAUUUUAUUCAUUUAUUCAGGUUUUUUCCUGCAUUAACGAAUUCAUUGUGUAGGAUUUCAUUUUUAUGUAAACGAAUUUAGUUACGAUAAUCAACUACUAAUUUUUUUCCGUUAAUUGGCUACGUUUACGUUAAUUAACUGAUAAAUAACAUUGCAUUAGCGAAGCCAAGAGAUUCAUUUAAACCCCUAAGAUUCAAAUAUUCUUUCACUAGUACUACUGGAGAAAUUUGGCAAUCGAUAUUUCGGAAGACAUCAUUACAGAUGUCAAACAAAAGGUAAAAAUAAAAUAAAAAAUAGCUAGUCCCCCACUUGUAGGUAGGGCAUGCGUCUCAUGCGCUUUAAAUUUCCAAAAUUUAUAUCUUUUUGACAUGGAAACUACUCAGCAAGGCAAUGGUGACUCAACAACAUUAUAUAUAUGGAACUCUUUAGGUGAAUUGAAGAUGAGAACGAGGGAUUGCAUAAGCUACAAGAAUGAACGGUCAUUUGUAAAGUACAGCGAAUAGGGUCCAAUAGAUCAAAUCAAGUAGAGUAGAAGAAAAUGAAUUACACUUAUGGUACAAUCAGUUUCAAUUUCUUUCAUCUGUUAACCGUCUAUAAACAAGAUACAAGCUCGAAGCCACCAAUGGGCUAUAAACAGAGCUUCAUUCAAGAGAGUUAAAGGUAUCCCAAGUUCUGAAAAUUGAGAGCACGUACAAGUGAGCUUUUACAGAGAUUUUUCAGAGAAUGUUUUCUUAACUAUUCUAGAGGGAUUUAUAUCGGAUUUUGAGAAUUGUUCCCAUUCAAAGUCCAACCCCAAUUCAUGAGCCUAAAUAAUAAACCAAACAAAAGAGAAUAUUCUCUCCAUUUAUCUAGAAUUAUCUUUGCUAAAAAUAUCAUGAAUAAUUGGCGCUGUGGCAGUUUUAAAAUUUGGUGAUUGCUAAGAAAUUAAUGGUAAUAAGUUUAGAAUGUCGUUAUUUGUUAGGACCUGCAUUUAAAAUCUUAAAUAUUCGUAAUUAAUUAUAAAGAUCUCGGUUCACCUGCAAGCUACAACAAUUAGCUAACUGAUAUAUGGUAUUUUUUACAAAACUAUUCAAAAAGAAGGAGUAUAAUUAAUCAAACUGAUUUGGAUAGUACCACACGAUUUUUUUUUUAUUUUUAUUGACAAACCAACAUAAACAACAUAUUAACGUAACUAACGCAUUCACAUAUAAUUAUUUUAUUUAAUUAUUAAGAAAGACGAAGUACAUGGACGGUGGACACUAAGAAAUAUAAUCUCUUGUAGAUCAAGAAAUUUUAGAGGUUGAACUGAACUAAACUGACCCUCACACAAUUAAUUGACAGGUAAUAACAAUACCCAUCCUUUUAUUAACCAUAAUAGAAAAGAGUAAUAUUGCGUGCGUGCGCUGCGCUUAUUAACCAGUGUGGUCGGGAUUUCUUCCAUAUUGAGGGACAGCAAUCAGAUCAAGAUUAUCAAUUGUCUCGUCCUUAUCAUCAGCAAUACCAUAUACAGGUACUGGAGUACCCUCCAACCAUUCAUUCUUACCUGAAAGUUUAACAUUAGAAAAUGGAUUCAUAAAUGCUUAUAUUAAUAUAUGAAUUGUAAAUGAUAUCUAUUCAGCUGAAAUUGGCUAAAAAACCUGCGCAAGGAAAAGGAGUUUCCAUAUUCUUCAAAUCAGAAAAGAUCUCCAGGUGAAGCGUAAUCAAAACUAAAAAAUAAGUAGAGCUUGAGCGUGUUCUUAUUUCUGGUUUGAUCUGAUAUAUAUAGAUUCAAGAAGUCGACGUUGCCGAGGUGUGGGUGAUUGUGACGUAGCAAAACAUGUAAUAAUUAUUUAAGAUUAACGGCCAUGGCUAAACUGCACGUCGAAACGUGUUAGCAUGGUUCCAUAAAAUAAUAGUUAUUUAAGAUUAACGGCCAUGGCUAAACUGCACGUCGAAAUGUGUUAGCAUGGUUCCAUAAAAUAAUAGUUAUUUAAGAUUAACGGCCAUGGCUAAACUGCACGUCAAAACGUGUUAGCAUGGGUCCAUAAAAUAAAUAAUUUUAUCUAAUUAGGAGAGAAAUCGAUUCAGUAACAAGCUGCUGCUUGCACUUUCUAGAAAUUUUAAAUUUAUGAAUUGAAAUUACUCACGCCUUUUUAUGUGUGGUUAAGUAUGCAUACAGUUCAAGCUGAGGGAUACUGAUGUGAAGUGUAGGGACAUGGAUAUAUACUAUCGUUUACAUUAUUUUACAGCCUUGCUGUAUUAUUUUAUUUGGCAAUCAUAUAGUCAUUGUCUGCACUACACUUUGUCUUCACUACACUUGUCUCCACUUGAGUAUUCUUGAGUAGUAGCUGAGUCACAAGUCACCUUAUCAUGUCUGUUGAGCUUUCCUGUCGUGCUUGAUUUACUUUGUUCUAACCACCCCGCUCAAUCUCAGUUUUCUUAGCAUACUCUUAGGUCAUGUUUGGUUUGUAGAAAAGGGAGCAGAGGAAAAGAGUGGAAUGGAGAGGAAGAGAAAAGGAAGGAAUGGAGAAAAGUAGUGAAAUUAGAUUUUGUUGUUUGGUUUGAUAUAAAAUUUAAUAAGGAAUUAUAAUUUUUUUCAUUAAACUAAUUUACCAUUUACCUCAAAUAUUUAAUUAUUUAUAUUAGUAAUAUAUAUAUAAUGACGGUCCGUUGGCCGGUGGUGAAGGUCCGGCGACUUUUCGGCGAACGUCCAGCGACUUUCCGGCGGUGGUCCAUUUAUGAUAUUAAAUCAAUAAAAAAAAUUAUAAAUAAUAAUUAUUAAUGAUAUUAAACAAAUUAAAAAGUUGAAGGGUAAUUUUAGAAACUUUAGUUUCUAAAAUAAGAGGAAUUUAAAUUUUUCACUACUUGAUGUGGAAUUCAAAUUCUACAUUAUGAUGGAUAUUAAAUUUUAAUGGAAAUUAAAUUAUUAUAUAUUUUUUAUGGUUGUCGAAGCCAGCAAAAAUAAAUACCUACUCUAAAUAAAUUGUGUAUAGUGAUUGAGCAGGGUCGUGUCCACAGAGAUCGGUAAUUAUUUAAAUCAUUUUAAAUGUAAAAUGCAAAAUGGGGGGAUUGUUGACAAUAAUAAAAAUCAAAUUAAAAUAACAAGAAUGCAAAUUCAAAAUUGUAAUUCAAAUUGGGGAAAGCUCUGGUUGAAGGAAUUAAUUUAGCUUGAUUCGACUACUGAUCAUUGAUUCAAAUAUAAAUCAUUACUACUUAUGAAUAGACCGGUUAUAGCUACUGAGACACUCUAAUAGUCAAUCUCUCCUUAACUAGUCGAUAACCAAAGUACGACCAUUGGUUAUUUCCCUAAUCAAUAGAAAACCCUAGAUACGAUCAUAGGAUUUAAUCAAUUGACAACCUGAAAAACCAAAGAAACUCAAAUCCUAAUAAACAAACGCAUACGAUGGUUCAUUUAAAUUAGAUUGUUUAUUCUCAUAACACAACGCACUGCUAUGCUAUUUGUCACAAACAUUAAAAUCUUCAUACGAUGAAUCCUUUAAUUGACAAUAGAUUAAGUUGAUAAUUAAAUAGUGGCCAAUUAUCUAAUUAACAAACAUAAUCAUGACAAUAAUUUAGAGAAUAAACAAAUACCCAAAAAGCAAUAAAAUAAUUAAAGCAUAAGAAAUAUCUCACAGUAAUGAUGAAUCAAAACUUCAUUAACCUUCAACCAGAAUAAUAGGUUUAGUUCUUCAUAGAGAGAAGAGAAAAAUUUAGAUCUAGGGUUUCUUUUUUUCUUCCUUCUUCACCAGUAAUCCCGCGUCUUAUUCAUUUAUUACCCAAGUUUCAUGGUUUUGCAGGUGAAGAUCCUCAUAAACAUCUCAAGGAGUUUCAUGUUAUGUGUUCAAAUAUGAAGCCACAAGGCGUGACUGAAGAGCAGAUUAAGCUGCGUGCUUUUCCUUUCUCUUUAGAUGGACUAGCUAAAGACUAGUUGUACUACUUGCCUCCUGGAUCGAUUACCACGUGGAAUGGUUUGAAGAAGCAGUUCCUUGAGAAGUACUUUCCUACUUCAAGAGCUGCUAGAAAAUAUAUUUGUGGGAUUAGACAACUUCCUGGGGAGACUUUGUAUGAGUAUUGGGAGCGAUUCAAACAAUUGUAUGCCAGCUGUCCUCAGCAUCAGAUUUCUGAUCAACUUCUUAUUCAAUACUUUUAUGAAGGACUGUCAUUGAUGGAUAGGAGUACGAUAGAUGCUGCUAGUGGAGGUGUGUGUGUUGGUGAACAGGACCCCUACUCAAGCAAGGGAGUUGGUCUCAAAUAUGGCUGCCAAUGCACAACAAUUUGGCAGCAGGCAAGAUCCCACUUCAAGGAAGGUGAAUGAGGUAAAUAUUUCUUCCAUUGAACAACGUUUAGAUAAACUUACUUCUCUUGUGGAAACGUUUGUUGUAGGUAAUGUGCAACAGGUGAAGACUUGUGUCAUUUGUUCUAAUAUGGGUUAUUCAACUGAUAUGUGUCCUACACUUCAAGAAAAACCCAUUGAACAAGCCAAUGCAAUUGGAGGAUUUCCAGGCAUGCCUCAGAGGACGUAUGAUCUUUAUGCAUAAACAUACAAUCCGGGAUGGAAGGAUCAUCCCAACUUCAGCUAUGGAGUUAGGCCGUCAGGAAUCCCACAACAAUAUCCACCAAGACAACCAGCACCUCCACAGUCAAACUCCAAGUUAGGUAUAUCUCUUGAAGAAAUUGUUCAAUCACUUGCGACUAACACUCAACAAUUUCAGCACGCAACUACAACAAGCAUUCAAAAUUUGGAGAACCAAAUGAGUCAAUUGGCGACUACAGUGAGCUGUCUGGAGUCUCAAGUAUCAGGGAGAUUGCCUUCACAAUCUGAGGCGGAUCCAAAAUAAAACGCUAGUGUUGUCAUCCUUAGAAGUGGGAAGGAGUUGCAAGAGCCUAGUAAGAAAGCGACAAAGCAUGUAGAAGAUGAGCUUGAGAAGAAUGAAUUGAUGCCUAAAUCUCAAGAUGCGCAACCCACCAGAGCAAUACCUCUACCUGUGGUGAUACCUCCUCCUUUUCCAAGCCGGUUUGCAAAAUCCAAGAAAGAGGAACAAGAGAAAGACGUCCUUGAGACAUAACAAGAGAAAGACGUCCUUGAGACAUUUCGCAAGGUUGAGGUAAAUAUUCCUUUAUUAGAUGUUAUAAAACAAAUACCUCGAUAUGUUAAAUUCCUUAAGGAACUGUGCACCUCCAAGAGAAAAUUAAGAGGAGAUGAAAGAGUUCACAUGGGGGAGAAUGUUUCAGCAGCUCUCCAAAAGAAAUUACCUCCUAAGUGCAAGGAUCCAGGUAUGUUUACUAUCCCUUGCAAAAUUGGUAGUGUUAAAGUUGAGAAUGCUAUGUUAGAUCUAGGAGCUUCUAUUAAUGUCAUGCCUCGUUCCAUUUAUUCAUCUUUGAAUGUUGGUCCAUUAAAAGAAACUGGCGUGAUAAUUCAACUAGCUGAUAGGUCUAAUGCGUAUCCUGAUGGGGUAUUAGAAGAUGUCUUAGUACAAGUUAAUGAGUUGGUUUUUCCUGCUAAUUUUUAUGUACUUGAUAUGGAAGAGGAUAACUCCUCUAAUUCUGUCCCAAUUUUGCUAGGAAGACCUUUUCUUAAGACUGCUAGGACUAAAAUGGAUGUACAUAAAGGGACUCUCACUAUGGAGUUUGAUGGAGAGGUUAUAGAAUUCAAUAUGAAUGAUGCCAUGAAAUAUCCUAAUAAGGAACAUUCGGUAUUUUCUGUGGAUGUUAUUAACCCUAUAGUGCAGGAAGUUUUUUAUUUGGAUGUUGAAGAUUCAUUGGUAGCUGCUUUAAAUAACAGUUUGGGCCUCAAAGGAUUGUAAAAGGAUGAAAAUAAGUUUGUUUUAAAUUCUGUAUUGUAAGAGACAAUUUAUGAAUUAAAUUCUUUGAGAACUUUAACUCAUCAUAUGUCUUAUAUUGAAUUACCUUCAUCUCAUGCAAAACUUCUUCCAUCUAUUUUGCAGGCACCGAAAAUAGAGCUUAAACCAUUGCCGAGUCAUCUAAAGUACAUAUUUUUAGGAGAUGGUGAGACACUUCCGGUGAUCAUCUCUUCAAAACUUAGUACUUUAGAGGAAGAAAAACUUAUUAGAGUGCUGAAGGAUUACAAAAAGGCUAUUGGGUGGUCAAUUGCUAAUAUUAAAGGGAUAAGUCCGUCCACGUGCAUGCAUAGAAUAUUGCUAGAGGAAGAUGUCAAACCUUCGAUUCAAGCUCAACGCCAUUUGAAUCCACUCAUGAUGGAAGUAGUGAAGAAAAAAAUUCUGAAACUUCUUGAUGCAGGUAUAAUCUAUCUAAUUUCGGAUAGCAAAUGGGUAAGUCCAGUACAAGUGGUACCAAAGAAAACUGGUAUAACAAUUGUUGAGAAUUCUUAUGGUGAGUUAGUACCCACCCGAGUUCAGAAUGGGUGGAGGGUUUGUAUUGAUUUUAGAAAGCUUAAUUCACUCACUAAGAAGGAUCAUUUUCCUAUUCCUUUUAUUGAUCAGAUGCUUGAAAGGUUGGCAGGAAAAUCUCACUUUUGUUGUCUUGAUGGCUAUUCAGGUUUUCAUCAGAUACUAGUUGCACCUGAGGAUCAGGAGAAGACUACCUUCACAUGUCCUUUUGGAACCUUUGCGUACCGACGUAUGUCAUUUAGUUUUUGUAACGCUCCUGCUACCUUUCAAAGGUGCAUGGUCAGUAUUUUUUCAGACUAUGUAGAGAACAUUAUAGAGGUAUUUAUGGACGAUUUUACAGUCUAUGCUGAUUCUUUUGAUGAUCGUCUCUAUAAUCUAAAGAAAGUGCUUGAAAGAUGCAUUGAAACAAACAUUGUCUUGAAUUAUGAAAAAUGUCAUUUUAUGGUAGAUCAAAGCAUUAUUUUGGGUCAUGUAGUCUCUGCUAGAGGAAUUGAGGUAGAUAAAACUAAGAUAGAUGUUAUUAAAUAUUUACUUAUCCCACAUGUGUGCGGGAAGUUCAUUUUUUGCUUUUGAAAAAUUUUGUUCCUAUUUAUUGGGUACUAAAGUGAUUUUUUUUUCUGAUCAUGCAGCUCUCAGAUAUUUGCUCGCCAAGAAGGAAGCGAAACCAAGACCCAUCCGCUGGACCCUACUACUUCAAGAGUUCAACUUGGAUAUGCGUGACAAGAAAGGAGUAGAAAACUUGGUUAUAGACCACCUUAGUAGGUUGACCAUGAGUGAAGAAGCAGCACCUUUGAAGGAUGAUUUUCCAGAUAAGCAUCUCUUUGUAACUCAAGGUAUAGUUCCUUGGUACGCUGACAUUGUCAAUUACUUAGUUACAAGAACACUACCUAGUAAUCUGACGAGGGCUCAAAAAGAUAAGAUUAAAAGCGAUGCUAAGUACUAUGUUUGGGAUGACCUUUACUUAUGGAAACAUUGCUCUGACCAAGUCAUCAGAAGGUGCGUAUCUGAGUUUGAAAUUCCUUCUAUUCUUCAGUUUUGUCACUCGUAUGCAUGUGGUGGUCAUUUUGGUCCCAAAAGAACAUCAUCUAAGGUGUUAGAAUGUGGUCUAUUUUGGCCUACUUUAUUUCGUGAUUCAUACAUAUUUUGUAAGUCGUGUGAGAAUUGUCAAAAAACUGGUAAUUUAAGUUAUAGAAAUCAAAUGCCACUUACCCCUAUUCUUGUUUGUGAAAUAUUCGAUGUGUGGGGCAUUGAUUUUAUGGGACUUUUUCCCUCAUCUUUUGGCAAUGCUUACAUUCUUUUAGUAGUGGAUUACGUUUCUAAGUGGGUAGAGGCUAAGGCCACCCAGACUGACAAUACUAAAGUUGUUGUAGAUUUUGUCAAGUCUAAUAUUUUUGCCAGGUUUGGUGUAUCGAGAGCGGUGAUAAGUGAUAGAGGCAUUCAUUUCUGUAAUCGAGUGGUGGAGGCUUUGUUCAAGAGAUAUCAUGUUACCCACCGAGUGUCUACCACCUAUCAUCCACAGACAAGUAGACAAGCUGAGAUAUCAAACAUAGAAAUCAAGUCUACUCUUGAAAAGACGGUUAGUCCAAAUCGAAAGGAUUGGAGUUUGCGAUUAGAUGAUGCAUUGUGGGCGUAUCGCACCGCGUACAAAACUCCCAUAGGUAUGUCUCCUUAUCGUUUAGUAUUUGGUAAGACUUGUCAUUUACCUGUAGAGCUUGAGCACAGAGCAUACUAUUAACUUUUAUUUUUAAUUAUACCUUCUUUUACCACAAUAUGGGACUUAAAUAUUAUAGCACCUCAAUACUAAUCAAAAGCUUAGCGUUAAAUGUUUAUUCAGUGAAUUGACAUUGUGUUUGUACUACACAUCUUCUCUACAUAUAAGAUAGGCCAUCCCUUAUAUUUGUAUAAUACGGACAUGUCAUCUAUAUCAUAUGGUGAGCCAAAAAUUUAGAAAAAUUUCAUAUGCAGUCCUUCUAAAUAGAUUUAUCUGUAAAUUGUUGUCAAUAUUUUUUGAAAAAGACAUUUGUACCCAUAAAAUUUGGGUGAUGAUAAUGUAAACCACAAGUUUUUAAUAAGGGACACUAAAACUCUUUUUUUAAUAUAAUACCCUUUAUAAAUAGCAACUAAAAAAUUGACCAUAAAAUUUUUAAUAAAUAAAAAUAUAAUUUAAAUAGUUUAAUUUUUCUAAUAGACUAAUAAUAUUAGAAUAUUUUUAAUAUAAAAAUAAUUUUAAAACUAUAAAUGAUUAUAUUUAUUUUAAUAAUGUAUUUAUAUUUAUUCUAGCAUUUUUUAAUAAAUAUCUAGGUUAAAUAAAUUUUUCUAGCAGACUAAUAACACAAUGCUCGCAAAAUGGUAAGCUUACCGAUUUGAGCCGUGGAAGCGAUUUUUGCUCAGAGAGAAUUUUCAAAUCUUGUUUUGACAUAUGACCGAGUUUGAGGUGCCACAUCAUCGUUGAUUCUUCUCCAUUUGACGUGACACACGCAUCAGCUUCCUGUAGUGUUUCCCCUUCAAGCACGAACAAAUUACGCCUGAUCUUUUCUGCCUUCAUCAAUACAAGCGCACUUUUAACAAUCUUAAUAAUCUCAUUUUCAACAUGGGUUUUACACCCAUGACAAUCUAUUAUCCCAAAGAUAAUAGAUUUUUCUUCAGGCCUUUGACAUGUCGUACCUCCUCAAUUGUACGAACCGUACCAUCAAACAUUUUUAUUUUGAUAGUACCAAUACCAACGAUUUCUAAGGCAUGAUCAUCUCCCAUGUAUAUUGAUCCUCCUGAGAUAGGUUCAUAUGUGUGGAACCAUUCUCUUUGAGAGGUCAUGUGCCAGGUAGCUCAUGAGUCUAUGAGCCAUACAUCAGAUAGCCGUUUUCUGCCUUCUGAAACAAUUGUUGCCUCGCUGUAGAGAAUCUCACCAUCAUCUGAGGUACUUGUCAUACACCCCUGAGCAUUUGAUGACUCAGAUUUAUUGUCUCCACUCUUUCUUGAAAUGCCCUUUCUUGCCACAAUUGUAGCGUUUGACAUUUUUCUUACUUUUUGAUUUCGAUCUACCAUGAUUGUGACUCCUAUUGGGGCCACGUUCUGUUGAUCUUCCUCUCGUCAUCGAUAGUGCUUCUGCUUGCUGCGAACCUACUUGUUUGUCUUCCUUAUUUUUCUGCCUAUUCUCCUCAUUUAAUACAGAGGCUGCAACAUUGUUGAAGACUAGAUUAUCCGAUGGGUUGUUGUUUGUCAGGUUGAUGAUGACUUAAUCGUACGAAUCUGGUAGACUUUGAAGUAGAAGCUCUGCACGUUCAUUUUCCUCUAUUUGAUGACCCAACGUUGAAAGUUGUGAAAAUAGAGUCUUCAAGGUGUUGAUGUGGUCGGUCACAUAUUUUAAGAAGAUCUUGUUGUGCAGUGAUUUGGCCUUGUACAAUUUUGUGAGAGUAUCACAUAUUUCCUUGGCUGUCUUUUUCUCUGCCACAUUGGAUAAUACUCCAUCCGCAAGCGCCAAGUGUAGAUCAGAAAUGGCGUUGCCGUCUAUCUCGUUCCACUUGUCAUCAAUUAACUCCAUGGGCUUUUCUCCAAUUGUUGUCAAGCAAUUAUUUUUCCUCAAUACAUCUUUUAUCUUCAUUUUCCACAAUGAAAAAUUAUUUCCGUUGAAUUUCUCAAUUUCGUAUUUUACCGCCAUCGCUUUUCACCAAAAACUAACUUUGCUAGGAUCGACUCCCAUCAUUUUCAAGUGAACAAUAACUGUAUACGUGAAAAGUAAUCAUAUACGUAAAUAGUGCCGUAUACGUUAACAGUACCCCGACUCCCAAAAAACAUACAACAAGUAGCUCUGAUACCACUGUUAGGAAAUUGAUGGGUGAAACAUGGCCACAACUAAAAUAAAAUUGGAAGAAAAUUACAAGUAUUGUAAUAUUUUGUCUCACUACCCAAAACCCUCUCACUCAAUAGACUUACAAGAGCUUUAUAAUUUUAAGCUCUUAAAAUCACUCAAAAUCUCUGCUUUUUCUCUCACCAAAAUUGGAUGCCUAAAACCAAAUAGAGAGCUCCCUUUAUAUAGCCAAAAUUGGCUAUUAAAAUAUUAUUAUUAUUUUGUAACCGCCUUUGAUUUCUUCUUCUUCUAUUUUCUUCUUUCUUCUUUCUUCUUUCUACUUCGGCGGUGCCAAACCCUUCAACAUUUGCUGCUUCCAAAUUCUAUUUUUCUUUCCUUGGGCGGCACCUCCUUGGACUUCAAUUUGGGCAGCUUAUACAGCUUCUAGAUCUUCAAAAUAGGCUACUUCUGGAAGCCUUUUCGUGACACAUUACCUAGUAGAUUUACUCAAUCACAAAUUGGGUGGUUACAAACUAUGUUUGAAAACCUUUAAUUAAUAAAAUUCUUAUUUAUUUUCUUUCGUAAUACGAUUUACCUAUUAUGAAAUCAUUUGCAUUAGAGCGUGAAUAAUCUCAUUACUUUGGGGUAUUAUUUGCCUUGGACUUCUUUUUUUGGUCUAUCACUAUAUUACUUACCUUGGGCUGUCUCACUAUUCUCGUGUAAUAUUAUCUGCCUUGAGUCAUUCAUUUUUGUAUUGAGUGGUGAUAUUAUCUCAUCAUUUUUUAUAUUAAUUUCUAUUUUGCCGUUGUAUGAAAUUACUUAUUUUGGUGAAUUACUAUAUUAUUUCCCUUGGGCCGCCUCACCAUUUUGUUGCAUAAUCUGCCUUGGGUCAUUCAUUUUUGUAUAGAGUGGAGAUACGAUCUCAUCAGCUUUUAUAUUAAUUUCUGUUUUGCCAUUGUAUGAAAUUAUGAAAAAUGGAUAUUGAAGAGUUUCUUGCCACAAAUUGAACCUGCAUCUCUGGUAAGCAUUACUCUUGCAUUUUCGCGGAAAAGGCAGUAAGUCAAUGGCCUAAAUUCAUGGUUCAUUUCAUAUUAUGGAGUUUCUUUCUUCAGGAUGAUUUCGGCUGGAAUUCUCAUAAUUUGCUUCCAAAAAUCCACUACUGAUAGGCUUGGUGCUUGCCAUUUUUGCCUUUGCAGCUGGUAGUGGCUUGUAUGCUUGUUGGAUUAGUCAGAAAAAUCAAUUGGCAUUGGUCACAAAUUUUUUAUUCGAGCUGAGGGAUACAUACAGUAGUAGACGUCGUAUACUAUGUUCUCUUUCUCAUAUGUAUAAAUAUAGUAAGAGAUAUAUAUGGCUUUUAUAUAAUUCUCAAUAUCAUAGGCGGUAAACAUGGACUCUUGGCUUAAAGACAAUAUGAACGUGAAACCAAUAGUUAUUUAAGAUUAACGGCCAUGGCUAAACUGCACGUCGAAACGUGUUAGCAUGGUUCCAUAAAAUAAUAGUUAUUUAAGAUUAACGGCCAUGGCUAAACUGCACGUCGAAACGUGUUAGCAUGGGUCCAUAAAAUAAAUAAUUUUAUCUAAUUAGGAGAGAAAUCGAUUCAGUAACAAGCUGCUGCUUGCCCUUCCUAGAAAUUUUAAAUUUAUGAAUUGAAAUUACUCACGCCUUUUCUUGUGUAGUUAAUUAUGCAUACAGUUCAAUCUGAGGGAUACUGAUGUGAAGUGUAGGGACAUGGAUAUAUACUAUCGUUUACAUUAUUUUACAGCCUUGAUGUAUUAUUUUAUUUGGCAAUCAUAUAGUCAUUGUCUGCACUACACUUUGUCUUCCCUACACUUGUCUCCACUUGAGUAUCCUUGAGUGGUAGCUGAGUCACAAGUCACCUUCUCAUGUCUGCUGGGCUUGUCGUGCUUGAUUUACUUUGUUCUAACACCCCGGCUCAAUCUCAGUUUUCUUAGCAUACUCUUAGGUCAUGUUUGGUUUGUAAAAAAUGGAGAAGAGGAAAAGUGUGGAAUGGAGAGGAAGAGAAAAGAAAGGAAUGGAGAAAAGUAGUAGUGAAAUCACAUUUUGUUGAUUGGUUUGAUAUAAAAUUUAAUAAGGAAAUGAAUUAUAAUUUUUUUCUUUAGACUAAUUUACAAUUUACCUCAAAUAUUUAAUUAUUUAUACUAGUAAUAAAAUAUAUAUAUAUAUUAAAAUAAAAUGACGGUCCGGUGGCCGGCGGUGAAGGUCCGGUUACUUUUCGGCGAACGUCUGGCAUCUUUUCGGCGAACGUCCGGCAGGAUUCCGGCGAAGUUCGGUGGGAUUCCUGCGAAGUCCGGCAGCUUUCCGGCAACGUCCGGCGACUUUCCGGCGGUGAUCCAUUUAUGAUAUUAAAUCAAUAAAAUAAAAUUAUAAAUACUAAUUAUUAAUGAUAUUAAACAAAUUAAAAAGUUGAAAGGUAAUUUUAGAAACUUUAGUUUCUAACUUAAGAGGAAUUUAAAUUCUUCACUACUUGGUGUGGAAUUCAAAUUCUACAUUAUGAUGGAUAUUAAAUUUUAAUGGAAAUUAAAUUCUUAUAUAUUUUGUCAAACCAAACAAUGGAAAUGAAAAGAGAAUUUAAAUUAAUUUCCUCUUCUCCAUUCUCUCCUCCCAACCAAACACCACCUUAAUUUAUUUGUAUGGAAUUCAAAUAGCUCAUGUCCCAAUGCCUUUGUCAUAAUGUCCGCCACUUGCCUUUUACUCAGCACAUAUUUAAGAAUUAUUUCUCUUUUCCCGAUUUUUCAGUGUAAAUAAAUUAAGCCAAUAUCUUGAGAAUCCAAGCGAUACAUACAGUAGAAUUUGAAAUGGUGCAAGACCUAAUCAAGUUUGAUAUAUACUAAGUUACAGAGGCCAUUGAUGACAUACGUAGGAAAUUAUCUGUAAUUGUUGCUUGACUCCCACGUAUGUGUGUAUAUAUAGUUCUUUUCAAGUGAGGGCAUCCUCAUUUUGUUAAAGUGAGGAUGCCCUCACUAGAAAAUUCCAGUAGUGAUAUCGUUGUUGGAUUUUUUAAUCUACUAUUGUUGGAUCCGUAAUCCAAUACUGGGUUUAUAUGUGAAAAUUUUAUAUAUUGCAGACUGUCAUAUAAGAUUAAGUACAAUUAAAAGUGAACUAUUUAGGUUUUCGGUAUUAUGGACUUUAAUGUGUCUAAUAGGGUGUGAGCUUUAAUGUGUAGAGAUUCAAUGAUAUUUUAAUUUUAUGAUGGACAUAAUUAGAAAUAUCCAGUGACAAUAAGAAAAUGUUGUCUAUAUAAGUGGUUAUGGUUCCCAAAUCACAAGUAUGUUUCUAUUCUAUAUUGACAUCUCAUCAUCAGAGAGAGAGAGAGCGCAGAGAGAAUUAAAGGACUUUCUAUUAUCUUUUUAAGUGAGGAUACGCUCACUAGAAAAUUACAAUAGUGAUAUCGCUAAAACAACUAUUUUAGAGUUUGAUUAUUUGAACAAGUAAUUUUAAUUCUGCUUGGCUAGAAUUAGAGUAGUAUGUUAUUAGUCUUUCUAUUUAUAUUUAGGUAGAAUUCUAUUUCUAUGUUUGAGUGUACAUUGCCUGGUAGAUUUACUCAAUUACAAAUCACGUGGUUACAUAAUAUGUUUGAAAACCUCUAAUUAACAAAAUUCUUAUUUUAUUUUCUUUCGUAAUAUGAUUUACCUAAGUCUCUCUUAUAAAAUCAUUUGCAUUAAAGCAUCAAUUAAUCUAAUUACUAUGAUGUAUUAUUUGUCUUGGACUUCUUAUUUUGGUCUAUCACUAUAUUACUUACCUUGGGCUGUCUCACCAUUUUCGCAUAAUAUUAUCUGCCUUGAGUCAUUCAUUUUUGUAUAGAGUGGUUAUAUUAUCUCAUCAGUUUUUAUAUUAAUUUCUAUUUUUCCGCUGUAUGAAAUUACUUGUUUUGGUGAAUUACUAUAUUAUUUCCCUUGGGCCGCCUCACCAUUUUGUUGCAUAAUCUGCCCUGGGUCAUUCAUUUUUGUAUAGAGUGGAGAUAUGAUCUCAUCAGCUUUUAUAUUAAUUUAUGUUUUGCCAUUGUAUGAAAUUAUGAAAAAUGGAUAUUGAAGAGUUUCUUGCCACAAAUUGAACCUGCAUCUCUGGUAAGCAUUACUCAUGCACUUUCGCGGAAAAGGCAGUAAGUGAAUGACCUAAACUCAUGGUUCAUUUCAUAUUAUGGAGUUUCUUAAUUUCUUCAGGAUUAUUUCGCCUGGAAUUCUCCAAAAAUCCACUGCUGAUAGGGUUGGUGCUUGCCACAUUGCCUUUGCGGCUGGUAGUGGCUUGUAUGCUUGUUGGAUUAGUCAGAAAAUUCAAUUGGCAUUGGUCACAAAUUUUUUUAUUCAAAUUUUUAUUCGAGCUGAGGGAUACAUAUAGUAGUAGACUUCAUAUACUAUGGGUGCGUUUUUGGGAUUGAGGUUGGGUAGCUGUGACUUUUAAGUUAGAGCACUAAAGUGUUUGGUAAACACUAGCUGUUGUACCUUUUAAGCUAUAUUAAUAUGAUUUUUUAUUUGUAUAAUGAAAAAUUUAUUAUAUCUUUAAUUAUUAUUUAAAAUUUAUAUUUACUAUAUAUUAUUAACUUUUGUUUGAUAGUUACUGUUUUUUUUUUAUAACUGUAGUUUUUAAGUUACAGCACCUCAAUUCCAAAUAGGACCUAUGUUGUCUUUCUCAUAUAUAUAAAAUAUAGUAAGAGAUAUAUAUUGCUUUCAUAUAAUUCUCAAUAUCAUAGGCGGUUAACCUGGACUCUUGGCCUAAAGACAAUAUGAGCAUGAAACCAUUUCGCGUGGGUGAUCAGUUAAGCCACCAAUGGGCUAUAAACAUAGCUUCAUUCAAGAGAGUUAAAGGUAUCCCAAGUUCUGAAAAUUGAGAGCAAGUACAAGUGAGCUUUUGCAGAGAAUUUUGAGAGUGUUUUCUUAACUAUUCUAGCGGGUAUUAUAUUGGGUGUAUUUAGGUUAUCGAGUUUUGAGAAUUAUGAAAUACAAGUAUGCAACCCAAGAGGGGGGGUGAAUUGGGAUUCUAAAAAAUUAUUCAAUUUAAAGAAAAACUUAAUGCAAAUACACUCCAAAUUCAAAGCAAUAAUAAUUAAGUUGAUCACAAUAUAAAAAGAUAAGGGAAGAGAAAUUCAAACACAGAGAUUUUUACGUGGUUCGGCCAACCUCGCCUACGUCCACGCCUCCAAGCUUUCCAGGCUUGAGGAUUCCACUAAGCAAGCCUCCAAGGCUUCAAAUGCUUACACUUGACUUCCAAGGUGUCAAUAAACCUUUACAACAAGAGAUUAUCCACAAUCUCUUAACCCAAGUGUAUCCCAACACUUACAAUCACUCAAAGUAAAAGAUUACAAAUUAUUUUUCUCUCACACAAUAUCUAAGAUAACAAAUCAAUGCCCAAUGUGUUAAUAGAUGAAAAGAGAGUGAGUUUAAAGCUCUAUGAAGAUUGUAUUCGCGGAUAUAAGCUCAGAGGUAGUGUUGUGAUCAACCUUCUUUGAAUUUAAAUGAGCUUAUUUAUAUCUGGAGCUGAAAAUCUAGCCGUUACAAACUGUCAGACAGAAAACGGUUCGCCGUUAACCCUAAACGGUUAACCGUUUCGGUUGGUCAAAGUUAUCGUUGGGCCAGAUUUUAAAUAAACGGUUUGCCGUUUGGGAUUACCCUUUCGCCGUUAACUUCCAGAGACUUGCAAGAUGAACAUUGGUUAUCCGUUUACACUAAACGGUUAAGGACUUGCGUGAAGUGGCUUAUCUGGAUAUUAUCGGUUAACCGUUUGUAAUAAACGGUAAGCCGUUUGACUCCAGUAACCUGCAAAACAAACUAGCCUUAUCAGGUUUUGUUAAUAAGUGCCAGAGGAGGACAACCUUCAAUUCUGGACGUUACCGGUUAACCGUUUAUAAUAAACAGUUCACCGUUAAGUUCCAGUUGCCUUUCCAUCCUUGGUGUUUUCCGUUUUUCAUAAACGGUUAGAGCUUAAGCAAUAUGUUGCUUUCUGGUGUUAAUCGGUUAACCGUUUUAAAUAAACGGUUCACCGUUAAGUUCCAGUAACCUUCCCAUCUUUUGUGUUUUUCGUUUUUCAUAAACGGUUCAAGGUUUAGAAAAUAUGUUGCUCUCUGGAUGUUAUCGGUUAACUGUUUAAAUAACCGGUUCACCGUUAAGUUCCAGUAGCCUUCCCAUCUUUUGUGUUUUCCGUUUUUCAUAAAUGGUUCAAGGUUUAGAAAAUAUGUUGCUCUCUGGAUGUUAUUGGUUAACCGUUUAAAGGAAACGAUUUACCGUUUAUUUCUAGAAUCGCACUUUAAAACAGAUUUUAUAGAGAAUCAUUUUUGAAUUCGAAGGACCCUUUUAUGAAACAAUAAAUGGAAUGAUUAUUAAGGCUUUCAUUUAUUAAGGAAUAGCUCCAACAUUUUUAUCAAAAAUCAUUUAAAGUUUGUUAUCAUCAAAAUCAAUAUUAUUAACAUAUUCAUGUUAACAAUCUCCCCCUUUUUGAUGAUGACAAAUUUUAUUCAAUAUUUAGCUCCCCCUUAAUAUGUGCUCCCCCUGAAUGUAUGUCCAGAUUAAGAAAUGUUCAAUAACAAGAUUUUUGCUCAAGAAAACCUUUUUAAAUUCAUUCUUAAUCUCCCCAAUUUAAAUACCAUAAAUCCGUUUUAAAUACCAUAAUUAUCUCCCCCUUCAUCAUAAAAAAGAAAAGAUAGAAUAGGGAAAAAAAAUUGCAAAUCCGUGAAAGAAGUUACCCGGUUUUGGCGAGCGAAAAAUUUGGCAGAGUUUCCCCUUAAAAAUGAACAAAACCACUAAUACAAAAUGAGAUUAAAACACUUCCAAAAUAGAUUAACACCAACUUCAACUUUCAACAAGCCAACAACUCCAUGAACAAAACAAAACAACACUCCAAUAUCCACAAACAUACCAACAUUACAAUAUCCACAAAUAAACCAAUACUUAUGCAUCAAAAUCCAAAAAACAUCUAAUCAUCAAGAACAUCACACACAUAUGCAUCAAAAUAAAAAAAAAUAUAAAUGCAAAACACCAAAAUAUGAAAUGUAUGUGCGAAAACAGAACUCAGAAACUACGGAGGCGGAGAAGAUGUGCUCCCCGGAUCAUAGCCGAAAUAGCCGAGAAGAAUGCGCUGUCCGGCGAUAAGCUCGAGCUGCUGGUCAAUGCUCUGCUGCUGGAAAGUCUGAAAGUUAGAGUGGAGCUGCUGGUGGUCACGGGAAAUGGUGUCCAACCGAUCAAGAAUCAGCUGCUGGCGCUCCGAGAACCGGCGAACAUCAGUAACCAACUGCUGCACAACGUCUGAAGCAGGGGGCGGAACUGGAGCUGGAGGUGGCAUAGAGGUCGAUGGCUGCUCGGGAACAGCAGAUGGCUCAGGAGCAGGAGGCGGCUCGGAAGAGGAGGGAAUGUCAGCAUCCAUCGCACGCUCCUCAGAGUCUGAGUCAGCUGGAGGCCGAGGGACAAAAUGGCGACGCGGAGGAUGAGGAUGAGCUCCUAAUCUAAAGUCAGGAAGCAGAUCGGGAGAAUAGACAUCAUUGAGCAUCCGAUCGUCCUCUGGAGCAAUCAAGGUAUCCCGGUUUUUGGAGUUGCUUGUCUUUAUCCACACUCCAUUCUUUCUAGAGAAACCGAUACUAGUCAUGGCCUCGGGACCAAUCCGUUGAGUCUCCAUAUGUCCAGUAUCAAGAAGUGGAACCUCAAAGCGUCGCAGUAUCUUAGUGAUAAUACUGCCAUAAGGAAGCAAGCGGUGAUUGACCGCGGGAGUACUCAACAUAUGUCGAACAAUAAUAUACCCGAGGUUAAUGAGACGGUCUGUAAGAAGGCUAUCUAAUAGGGCAACGUCCAACCUCGUAACCUCAUCAGAGUGACCCUUCCUAGGUGUCACUAUGUGCUAUAAAAUAGAGUGAAGAAUACGAACUUGGAGAGGUAAGAGUUGAGACCGAAACGGAAGCAAACAAAUCUCAUCCGAUAAGUCUCGACGACGACAUAUAUUACGGACGCCAUGAGUAUGAGAAAAACUGUCAAAGGAGAGGGCUUUCCUAGAGGUGUAAAUAUCAAGCCCCUCACAAGAGAUACCAAGAAGGUCAGCUAGGUCCGCAUCAUCAAACUCUAUUGGCACACGGCCGACUUGAGUAACUAUCCUAUUUAGGCGAGUGUCGGAGAUUUCCAUGUUCGAAUAAAAGACUCGCACUAAGUUUGGAUAAACUCGGUCAUCAAAAUCAAUGCCAGACUCCCAAGGCAGAAGCAUAUCCCGAAUACUUCUACCACAUACAACCAAAUGACGGAAAUCAUCAAGGUCAACAAAGAAGGAGUCAAGUACCUUUCGACCAUCGAAGCGUUCUUCGAACCGCUUGGCCAAGGAAGGAGUGGGGAAGUGAAUCCUUGCAAAUUCAGAGACUUCCCGAGGUGGUAUGGGAUUCCUUGGAGGCACAGAUUUACGCCUGGGGUUUCUCCGAGAGGGUUCAGCCAUGGAAAAUACAGGAGAUAAGAAAGAGAAUAGAUGAUUGGCUUAUGGAUGAAUAGGAGAUGUGAUUUGGGUGCUCAAUUUGGUUGAAGAAGGGGAAGAAUCGGAUUAAAAACGAAGAAAUCCGACCCGCGGCAGUUAGGGUUUUGAUUUUGGGAUUUUUGAAUGUUGGGCUUGAUUUGAAGUUUUGAAUCGGUAGAAUUGUUCUAAAGGGGAUAAGAAAAGAUUUUGAAGGUUUGAUUUGGCAAGGAAAGCAAGAAAAAUGAGGGUUUGAGGACAGAGAAACCUUCGGCUGCGCAACAAUGGUGGAAACGGUGAAAGGGUAACUGGAGAAAGAGAAGAAAACCUUUAAACAGUAUUUAUACUUCGCGAAAACGGUUAACCGUUUAUUUAAACGGUUAAAGGGUAACUUCCAGAGGCUGAAGAGAGGGAAACGGUGAAAGUCUAAGCGCUUAACAGCUAAGGAGUAACUGUUAGAGGACUCUCUAUUGACAAACGGUUCACCGAUUGUGGAAAACGGUGAAAGAGUAAACGAACAGACACAUAAUCUCGUUUCUGGAAUUAAACGGUGAUCCGUUUAUAGGAAACGGCUAACCGUUUAUUUUAUCUGUAAUUUCGCACAUUUGAUUUAAUUUUUGGCUGGCAAAUAAUAUAUUCCAAGAUCAUUUAAUUGAUUUGAAAAUAUUUAAUGAGCCAUUUUAAUGCAUGAUUCAUGAACAUAUUUUUCAACCAAUUAAUUCAUAUAAUCACAAGUUAUCAAGGCAAAUUCAUCAUUUGACGAUCAAGCUCAACCAUUUCAUAAAUAAUAGUCAAUCAAUUCAGUACACUCAAUAGCAUGAAUAGAGAUGUUAAUGCAAAAAUUUCAUCAUCCCAAGUUCAUGCCGAAUUUUUGAAAAUUGUUCUUCGCAAAGCGGUUUUGUGAAAAUAUCGGCAAGUUGUUUUUCCGUGGAAAUAAACUCUAAUGCAAUAUCUCCCUUUUGAACAUAAUCUCUCAAGAAAUGAUGUCUUAUUUCUAUAUGCUUGGUUCGAGAGUGUUGAAUGGGAUUUUUUGAAAGGUUUAUAGCACUAGUAUUAUCACACUUAAUAGGAAUUUGUUCAAGAUUAAUGCCAUAAUCUCUAAGUGUUUGUUUCAUCCAAAGUGCUUGUGCACAACAACUUCCGGCAACUAUUUAUUCAGCCUCAGUAGUUGAAAGUGCAACAGAAUUUUGUUUCUUGCUAAACCAUGAAACAAGAGAGUGUCCUAGAAUAUAGCAAGUUCCACUAGUGCUCUUCCUAUCCACUUUAUAACCGGCAAAGUCCGCAUCCGAAAAACAUGUUAAAUCUAUAUGAGUUCCCCUAGGAUACCAAAGGCCAAUAUCUAUGGUUCCACUUAAAUAACGGAAAAUUCUUUUAACAGCGAGCAAAUGAGAUUCCUUGGGACAUGACUGAAAUCUUGCACACAAACAUACACUAAACAUGAUAUCGGGUCUACUUGCAGUCAAAUAAAGUAGGGAUCUGAUCAUACCUCGAUAUAUUUUGAUAUCCACUUCUUUACAUUUUUCAUCUUUGUCCAGCUUGGUUGUUGUGCUCAUUGGUGUAUUCUUGGUCUUUGAAUCAUCAAUGCCGAAUCGUUUGAGUAGAUCCUUUACGUACUUGGCUUGAUUUAUGAAAAUUCCUUCCUCAUUUUGUUUGAUUUGAAGUCCAAGGAAGUAUUUCAACUCUCCCAUCAUACUCAUCUCAAAUUCCUUGCUCAUACAUGAUGAAAAUUCUUCACACAACAACUCAUUAGUAGAACCAAAAAUAAUAUCAUCAACAUAAAUUUGAACAAUAAGUAUGUCUUGGUUCUUAUGCUUAACAAAUAGAGUAGUAUCUGCUUUACCCAUAGAAAAAUCAUUUUCAAGCAAGAAAUUUUUAAGUCUAUCAUACCAUGCUCUAGGUGCUUGUUUUAAUCCAUACAAGGCUUUAAGCAACUUAUAAACAUGAUUUGGAAAUUUAUCAUUUUCAAAACCAGGAGGUUGUUUCACAUAAACUUCCUCCAAAAUAUAUCCAUUUAAGAAAGCACUCUUGACAUCCAUUUGAUAUAAAAUAAAAUCCUUAUGACAUGCAUAUGCUAACAACAUCCUAAUGGAUUCUAACCGGUGCAAAGGUUUCAUCAAAAUCAAUUCCUUCUUCUUGGUUGUAACCUUGAGCCACUAAUCUAGUUUUAUUUCUUACAACCACACCAGAUUCAUCCAUCUUAUUUCUAAACACCCAUUUAGUACCUAUUAUAGAUUGAUGUUCUGGUUUAGGAACUAAUUCCCACACAUUAUUUCUUUCAAAUUGAUUUAACUCCUCUUGCAUUGCCAAAAUCCAAGAUUCAUCAUUUUCAGCAUCCUCAAAAGAUUUUGGUUCAAUUUGAGAGAUGAAUGCAUUAUGCUCACAAGUAUUUCUAAGUGAUGAUCUAGUUGUAAUACCUCGUGAGGGAUCUCCUAAAAUUACAUCUUUAGGGUGAGAAGAGACAUACCUCCACUCCUUGGGGAGUGUUUGAGAAGUACCUUCAUUUUGCUCCACGUUUGGUUCUUCAUGAUGUUCCUCUUGAAUUCCAUGUGGUGCGUCUUCUUGAUUGUCAUUUGAUGCUUCUUCUUCUUGCUGUUCUUCUUCUGCAUUAUCAUCAACAACGACUUUCUCCGUAGAGGAGGGGUUAGACUCAUCAAAUGUGACAUGCAUAGAUUCUUCCAUAACUAAAGUUCUUUUAUUAUAGACUCUAUAAGCUUUGCUUGAGUUUGAAUAACCAAGAAAAAUACCAACAUCAGAUUUUGGAUCAAAUUUACCAAGAUUGUCUUUUGUGUUCAAAACAAAACAUUUGCAUCCAAAAACUUUAAAAUAGCCAAUGUUGGGUUUUCUAUCUUUCCAAAGCUCAUAUGGAGUUUUAUUAAGAUUAGGUCUAAUCAACACCCGAUUUAAAACAUAACAAGCGGUGUUGACGGCUUCGGCCCAAAAAUAUUUUGGUAAUGCAUUUUCAUUUAACAUGGUCUUAGCCAUUUCUUGAAUAAACCUAUUCUUUCUCUCAACAACUCCAUUUUGUUGUGGAGUUCUAGGUGAAGAAAAUUGAUGCUCAAUGCCUAGAUUAUUGCAAAAACUCUCAAAUGCAUGAUUUUCAAAUUCUCCUCCAUAAUCACUUCUAAUGUAUACAAUACCAUGCCGUUUUUCAUUUUGUAAUUUCUUACAAAGCACUUUAAAAGCAUCAAGAGCAUCAUCCUUAUUGGCUAAGAACAAUACCCAUGUAUAUCUAGAAUAAUCAUCCACUAUCACAAAUGCAUAAUAUUUGCCAUUUAGACUAGCAUAUCUAGAUGGCCCAGAAAGAUCUAUGUGAAGAAGUUCAAGUGGUUUUGAAGUGGAAAUAUGGUUUUUAUUCUUGAAAGAAGUUUUAAUUUGUUUUCCAAAUUGACAAGCUUCAUAAAUUUUAUCCUUUUGAAAACCAAUUUUCGGAAGACCUUUAACUAAAUCAUCUUUCGAAAUUUUUGAAAUCAAAUCCAUACUUGCAUGUCCUAACCUUCUAUGCCAUAACCAACAAUCAUCAUGCAAUGCCGAAAAACAUUUAUCAAGAGAAGAUGCACAUUCUAUGUCAAUGAUAUAAACAUUACCACAUCUAUUUCCAACAAAUAAGGUUUUGCCAUCACAUGAGUUCUCAAUAACACAACUAAAUUUAUCAAAGAUAACUUUGUAACCUUUGUCACAUAAUUGACUAAUGCUAAUUAAGUUGUGUUUCAAGUUCUCAACCAAACAUACAUUCUCAAUUAGAGUUGAAGAGACUUUACCAACAUUUCCAAUUCCAAGAAUUUUUCCUUUUAAGUUGUCUCCAAAAGAUACGUCUCCACCAUUUUCAAUUUUGGUGAAGCUUGAGAACCAUGCAUAGUUUCCGGUCAUGUGCCUUGAACAACCGCUGUCCAAGUACCAUUUAUUUUUCUUCUUCUUCAAGCCCUACAAGAAAAAGUCUCAAGUUUUAGGUACCCAAAGCUUUUUGGGUCCUUGAGAGUUAGUAACGGUUCCUUUUGGAACCCAAAUGUAUUUGACACCAUAAUAUGCAUUCCUUUUCACGGGACAUCUAUAUUUCAUGUGACCAUUUUGAUUACAAUAAUGACAUACAAUCUUAUGAUCAUUUGUGGAGGUAGCUUUAACAAAAUAAUUCUUAUAAUACUUUUGCUUCAAGUUAGGCUUAUAUCCAAGUCCUCUUUUAUCAAAAACACAUUUUUGUAAGUUAAGCAUAUUAUCCAACAUUUUUUGCCCAUUUGUAAAUUUCAAAACAAUUUCAUUCAAUUCAUUACUCUUUUUCUUGAGCAUUUCGUUCUCAUUUUUCAACUCAUCUAUGUGUGAUUCUAAAUGCUCAUGUAAGAUGCUAGGUUUCUCAUUUGAUAAUGCAAUUUCAUCAUGCAAUGUUUUGUUCCCUACUUCUAGGCAUGCAAUUCUAGCAUUUAGAGAUUCAUUUUCAUUUUUAAGCUUUGCCAUUUCCUUUUUAAGACAUACAUUCUUUUUACCAAUCUUCAUCAACUCAUUAUGUAAAUCUUUAAAAGCAUCAUACAAUUCAUCAUAGGUGGGAUCACUUACCUCAUUGAAAUCAUCAUCCCCUCAUAUUGCCAUGAGUGCUAGGUUUGAUACUUCUUGCAAUCCUUCUUCAUCACUUGAUUCUUCCUCACUAUCAUCCCAAGUUGCAACCAUUGCUUUCUUCUUGAGUUUGUUGAUAAGUGGGCACUCCGAUCUUAUAUGUCCAGGCUUUUUGCAUUCAUAGCAUGUGAUUGCCUCCUUCUUCUCCCUGUGGUUCUUGAAGUUUCUGAAAUUUCUUCGCUCUCCGGUUUUCUUGAAGAAUUUUCUGAACCUCCUUGCUAGCAUGGCUAGCUCUUCAUCAUCCGGUUCACUCUCCCCAUCACUCUCAUGUUUAGAAGCUUUGAGAGCAAUGCUUUUCUUCUUCUCUUCAAGUCCUUUUUCUGCAGCUAAAUCCUCUUCAUAUGAAAUAAGAGAACCAAUUAAAUCAUCAAGAGGUAAAGUAUUUAAAUCUUUGGCCUCUUCAAUGGCAGUUCUUUUAGGUCUCCAUUCUUUUGGAAGAGAUCUAAUGAUUUUCUUAACUUUCUCACUAUUUGAGAAGGUCUUCCCCAAGGCACCUAGAGUGUUUACUAUGUCCGUGAAUCUAGUAUACAUAUAAUACACAUUCUCAUUUUUUUCCAUUUGGAAUAGCUCAUAUUGACGAGUGUAUCUACUAAUUUUAGACUCUUUAACUUGAUUUGUCCCUUCAUAGACAACUUCAAGUUUAUUCCAUAUUUCUUGUGCACUUUCACAACUAGAUACUCUAUGGAAUUCUUUCUUAUCAAGGGCACAAAACAAAGCAUUCAUAGCCUUGGAGUUUAGAGACAUCUUUCUCUUUUCUAACUCACUCCAUUGACUCGAUGGUUUAGGAAUAUCAUCUCCUACUUCAUCUUUAAAUGUAGGCAUGAAUGGACCAUCACAAACAACUUCCCAAAUUUCAUAAUCUAAGGCUUGCAAAUAGAUUCUCAUUCUAGUUUUCCAAUAAGCAUAGUCAUUACCAUCGAAAAAUGGUGGUCUAGUGGUGGAUUGCCCUUCUCUAAAGGUUGAGUCAUUUAGGGUUGCCAUGGAUCUUUUACUCUUAGAUGAUUAAGUCCUAACAAGAGAACAAGGCUCUGAUACCAAUUGAAAUACAAUUAUGCAACCCAAGAGGGGGGGUGAAUUGGGAUUCUAAAAAAUUAUUCAAUUUAAAGAAAAACUUAAUGCAAAUACACUCCAAAUUCAAAGCAAUAAUAAUUAAGUUGAUCACAAUAUAAAAAGAUAAGGGAAGAGAAAUUCAAACACAGAGAUUUUUACGUGGUUCGGCCAACCUCGCCUACGUCCACGCCUCCAAGCUUUCCAGGCUUGAGGAUUCCACUAAGCAAGCCUCCAAGGCUUCAAAUGCUUACACUUGACUUCCAAGGUGUCAAUAAACCUUUACAACAAGAGAUUAUCCCCAAUCUCUUAACCCAAGUGUAUCCCAACACUUACAAUCACUCAAAGUAAAAGAUUACAAAUUGUUUUUCUCUCACACAAUAUCUAAGAUUACAAAUCAAUGCCCAAUGUGUUAAUAGAUGAAAAGAGAGUGAGUUUAAAGCUCUAUGAAGAUUGUAUUCGCGGAUAUAAGCUCAGAGGUAGUGUUGUGAUCAACCUUCUUUGAAUUUGAAUGAGCUUAUUUAUAUCUGGAGCUGAAAAUCUAGCCGUUACAAACUGUCGGACAGAAAACGGUUCGCCGUUAACCCUAAACGGUUAACCGUUUCGGUUGGUCAAAGUUACCGUUGGGCCAGAUUUUAAAUAAACGGUUUGCCGUUUGGGAUUACCCUUUCGCCGUUAACUUCCAGAGACCUGCAAGAUGAACAUUGGUUAUCCGUUUACACUAAACGGUUAAGGACUUGCGUGAAGUGGCUUAUCUGGAUAUUAUCGGUUAACCGUUUGUAAUAAACGGUAAGCCGUUUGACUCCAGUAACCUGCAAAACAAACUAGUCUUAUCAGGUUUUGUUAAUAAGUGCCAGAGGAGGACAACCUUCAAUUCUGGACGUUAUCGGUUAACCGUUUAUAAUAAACGGUUCACCGUUAAGUUCCAGUUGCCUUUCCAUCCUUGGUGUUUUCCAUUUUUCAUAAACGGUUAGAGCUUAAGCAAUAUGUUGCUUUCUGGUGUUAAUCGGUUAAUUGUUUUAAAUAAACGGUUCACCGUUAAGUUCCAGUAACCUUCCCAUCUUUUGUGUUUUCCGUUUUUCAUAAACGGUUCAAGGUUUAGAAAAUAUGUUGCUCUCUGGAUGUUAUCGGUUAACCGUUUAAAUAACCGGUUCACCGUUAAGUUCUAGUAGCCUUCCCAUCUUUUGUGUUUUUCGUUUUUCAUAAACGGUUCAAGGUUUAGAAAAUAUGUUGCUCUCUGGAUGUUAUCGGUUAACCGUUUAAAGGAAACGGUUUACCGUUUAUUUCCAGAAUCACACUUUAAAACAGAUUUUACAGAGAAUCAUUUUUGAAUUUGAAGGACCCUUUUAUGAAACAAUAAAUGGAAUGAUUAUUAAGGCUUUCAUUUAUUAAGGAAUAGCUCCAACAUUUUUAUCAAAAAUCAUUUAAAGUUUGUUAUCAUCAAAAUCAAUAUUAUUAACAUAUUCAUAUUAACAAAUUAUUCCCGUUCAAAGCCCAACCCCAAUUUCAUGAACCUAAAUAAUAAACCAAACAAAAGAGAAUAUUCUCUCAAUUUAUCUAGAAUUAUCUUGGGUAAUAAUAUCCUGAAUAAUUGGCGCUGUGGCAGUUUUAAAAAUUUGGUGAUUGUUAAGAAAUUAAUGACAAUAAGUUUAGGAUGUCGUUACUUGUUAGGACCUGCAUUUAAAAUCUUAAAUAUUCGUAAUUAAUUAUAAAGAUCUUGGUUCACAUGCAAGCUACAACAAUUAGCCAACAAAUAUAUGGUCUUUUUGACAAAACUAUGCAAAAAGAAAGAGAAUAUAAUCAAUGAAACUGAUUUGGACAAUACCACACGAUUUUAUUUUUAUUGACAAACCAACCUAAAUAACAUAUUAACGUAAAUAACGCAUCCACAUAUAAUUGUUUUAUUUAAUUAUUAAGAAAGAUGAAGUACAUGGACAUUGGAAACUAAAAAAUAUAAUCUCUUAUAUAUCAAGAGAUUUUAGAGAUUAAACUGAACCAAACUAGCACUCGCAUGAUUAGUUGACAGAUAAUAACAAUACCCAUCCUUUUAUUAACUAUAAUAUAAAAAAGUAAUACUUUAGGUAUGUAUGUAUUUAUUAACCAGUGUGGUCGGGAUUUCUUCUAUAUUGAGAGACAACAAUAAGAUUAAGAUUGUCAAAUGUCACUUCCAUAUCAUCAGCAAUACCAUAUACAGGUACUGGAGUACUCUCUGACCGCUCACUCUUACAUGAAAGUUUAAUAUUAGAAAAUGAAUUCAUAAAUGCAUAUAUUAAAAUAUGAAUUGUAAAUGAUAUCUAUUCAGCUGAAAUUGGCUUGAAACCUGCGCAAGGAGGAGUUUCUAUGUUCUUAUCUCUGCUUUGACUGAUACAUAUAGAUUCAAGAAGCCGACGUUGCCAACGUGUGGGCAAUUGUGACCUAGCAAAACAUCUAAUAGUUAGUUAAAUUCCACCUGCGACACGUGGGAGCAUGGGUCCACAAAACAAAUAAUUGGAACUAAUUAGAACAGAAAUCGAUUCGGUAACCCGCCGCCGCAUGCACUUUCUAAAAGUUUUAAAUUUAUGAAUUGAAACUACCGACGCCUUUUUAUGUUUGGUUAAUUAUACAUAUAGUUCGAGCUGAGGGAUACAUACAGUAGUAGAGUCUUUAAAAUGGUACAAUACCUAAUCAACGUUGAUAUAUACUAAGUUACAGGGGCCAUCGAUGACAUACGUAGAUAAUUUUCUGUAAUUGUUGCUUGAUUCCCAUAUAUAUAUAUAUAGUUCUUUUCUAAAGGAUGUUAUUAAAUUAUAAAAAACGCAUAUUUCAAUACACUAAAAAUUAUAUAUUUUUUUAUUUAUUAGUAUAUUGAAAUUUAUGUUUUUAUUUUUUACUGACAUCCCUAACAUCCUCACUUUUACCCUCAUUAGAGAAUUACAAUAGUGGUAUAUCUAGGACAGCUAUUUGAGAGUUUGAUUAUUUGAGCAAGUAAUUUUAAUUUUUGUUGACUGGAUUUAGAGUAGUAUGUUAUUAGAGUCUUUCCAUUUGUAUUUUAGGUAGAAUUUUACUUCUAUGUUUGAGUGUACAUUGUCUAGUAUAUUUACUCGGUUAUAAAUUGGGUGGUUAUGUAAUAUGUUUGAAAAUCUUUAAUUAAUAAAAUUUUUAUUUUAUUUUUUUCAUGAAAUUAUUUAUCUAAAUCUCUCUUAUAAAAUCGUUUACAUUAGAGCAUUAAUUAAUCUUAUAACUUUGAUGUAUUAUUUGCCUUGGACUUUUAUUUUGGUCUAUCACUAUAUUAUUUACCUUUGGCUGUCUCACCAUUUUCGUGUAAUAUUAUCUGCAUUGAGUCAUAUUUUUGUAUAGAGUGGUGAUAUUUAUCUCAUCAGUUUUUAUAUUAAUUUCUAUUUUGCCGUUGUAUUAAAUUAUUUGCUUUGGUGAAUUGCUAUAUUGUUUGCCUUGGGCCGUCUCACCAUUUUGGUGUGUAAUCUGCCUUGGGUCAUUCAUUUUUGUAUAGAGUGGUGAUGUGAUCUCAUCAGCUUUUAUAUUAAUUUCUGUUUUGCCAUGGUAUGAAAUUAUUAAAAAGGAUAUUGAAGAGUUUCUUGCCACAAAUCGAACCUGCAUCUCUGUUAAGCAUUACUCUUGCAUUUCCACGGAAAAGGCAGUAAGUCAAUGGCCUAAAUUCAUGGUUCAUUUCAUAUUAUGAAGUUUCUUUCUUCAGGAUGAUUUCGUCUGGAAUUCUCCUAAUUUGCUUCCAAAAAUCCACUUGCCACAUAGCCUUUGCAGCUGGUAGUGGCUUGUAUGCUUGUUGGAUUAGUCAGAAAAAUCAAUUGGCAUUGGUCACAAUUUUUUUAUUCGAGCUGAGGGAUACAUACAGUAGUAGACGUCGUGUACUAUGUAUGUUCUCUUUCUCAUAUAUAUAAAUAUAGUAAGAGAUAUAUAUGGCUUUUAUUUAAUUCUCAAUAUCAUAGGCGGUAAACAUGGACUCUUGGCUUAAAGACAAUAUGAACAUGAAACCAUUUCACGUGGGUGAUCAAUUAUAUAACUUUCAUCCUUCUUACGGAAGUCAGAAGAGGUGUGUACCUACCACAUCAACCGUGUCAAGCGAAGAUAUUGGACAUUUAAUAAUGAAAAAAUUAGGAAUUUUCAUGGACACACCAGUAGGUUCCGUAAAUAUAUAGAAUCAAUUGAUUCUAGGUACCUUACAAUGUGACUUUUUUUUUUUUUUGUCCCUGAAGAUCCGGACUAUUUUUGAGGAUACUGGCCGUUGAGGCUUUGUUUGUAAUUGUGCAAGAAAAUGGAAAAGAAUGGGCUAAAGCGCAAAAAGUAAAGCUAACAGUUGUUUAAUUUAAUUUUUUAAGAUUGUUUUGAUGUGGAAUUUGAUUUGGGAACUUUUUUGUAAUUACAAGAAACAGCCACACAGGGUGACAAUUAUGGCAUUCUUUCGUCAAUUGGAUAUUAAUAGUACAAUGAGGAUGGCUAAAUGCAUAAUCACCCUAUUAAUCUUGCAGUCCAAAGCAAAAGCAAAAUAGCAUUACAAACAGUAGAACUCUCAGAUUGAUUCACUGUAUCUAAACGAUAGGUCAUCUCAUUACUAAACUAUCUGACGUAACUGAUUCAGAAAUUUAAUUUAGAGAGGGCUUGGUACAAAUAAAAUAAUUCACGAGGCGCGUUCGAUGGUGCAAGUGAUCGGCGGCAACAACAAGCAAGUAAGGUAAUGAUGAUGUAUAUGUUGGAAAUAUGAAUUCAUAUUGUUUAUUAAAAGUUCAAAACAUGAAUAAUAGUUGUUGCUACUGUUCACUUCACUGUUUAUUAAUACUAUUAAUCAUACUGUUCACUUAGCAACAAUUGUAAAUUUGUCAAGGCGUGUUCGAACUGUCCUUAAAACAAAUUUCAGCUCUUCUAGAAAGAUUUCUCGAUGCAAAAAGGAUAUAAAUAAAAUGGAUUGAGCUCCAUGAUACAAUGAUAUUGUUGCCAGGUUGCACUCCAAGUACAAUAGUUUAGAAAAGAAAAAUUAAUGAAGAAACUAUGAGAUAGAAGGAGAGGAUAUAGUGGCUGUGCCUUGAAGACUUUGUAUUUUAAAAUACCAAUAAAACUCGAAGAAUAAACUUAAAUAAUUUGGAUCAAGAUUGCACUUUAAGAUGAAACACUAAUUAGUGGCCUUUAUGUAUAACUUAAUAAUUUGAUAAAUAACUUCGCACUAGCAAAGCCAAGAGUUUCAUUUAAACCCCUAAGAUUCAAAUAUUCUUUCCCCCUUUACUACUGGCAAAAUUUGGCAAUCGAUAUUUCGGAAGACAUCACACAUGUCAAAAAAAAAAAAAAAUAGCUAGUCCCAUCAAAAUCACCAAAUGCAAUCCAAUAACAUGCUCCACUUAAGUAUAGACUUUCAUGAGAAUCGACGGAAAAAAUAAAUAAUAAUAACUUCAUUUAGUUAAGCAAAUAACAAUUUGUGAUUGUUCGUUAAUCUUAUUAAUAAUCUAAUUCUUAGUUUCUUACUAUUGUUCUUUUACUUGAUUAUAUUGUCGAAUCUUUCUGAAAAAGAUUGUUUUUGUAAUUGACAUGUUUAAAGUUUAAACAAAAAAAAAAAAGAACUAAAUCCAAAUCAAAUAUAAAUACAAAUCCAGGUUCUAAAAAAAUCAAGUACAAAUACAAAAUCUAAAUUCUAAAACUUAAAGUUUCAAAGCGAACAUCAAGGAAUCAACAUCCCACGAAGCAACACGAACGGCGAAGGCGAGCUAGUUCAACCUGUAUCGGGGCUGGUUACUGGUCGCGAUAGCAGCUAGUGAUGAUGAACAUUGAACACAGCCACGAUCACGAUUAGCGAAGGUGGCGUUCAACUCGUAUCACAACUUGUUACUGGUUGUGACAGAGAAGAAGAAAUGAUGGCUGAUGAUGAUGAUGAGAUUAACACAACCGCAAAGAUAGUGAAGCGAUGACGACGAUGAUUUAAUUUGAUGAAGAAAAGACCUGAAAAGAGACAGACAGGAAAUGUUUGGCCUUGGCAGCCGCAGCUAUGAAUGCAAGUAGGGCACUUGGGCUUUUUUUGUAUUUUUCUAAUUGUAUUAUAUAAUCUAAAAAAAUUAAUAUUAAAAUAAAAGCUUCCGGGUCUAGAUUCUGUAUCUAUGGGUUAACAUAAACCCAGACCCGGACCUGGAUACGUCUGGGUUCAUUAAAUUGCAUCCGAAUUCCAUAUAAAAUUUGCUCCAGUAUGGGUUGAAGCCAGCCUAUUCUCUGGGUUCAUCUAGGUUUGGGCGGGGAUCGGAUUAAAUUGGCAUCGCUUUUAUGUCCAAAUUAUCAAUAAGAUCCUUUGGUGUUAGUAAAUUCCUUUAUCACGUAAAUGGUUUCAAUUUUGAACAUAUUAGUCCUAUUCCAAUUUUCAACCGUUCCCAAUUUUAUAACUCCAUUUAUUAAUAACAUUGUCUUAAAAGUUCAUCAUUGCACGGCACUAGAAUGAUUAUAAGGUUUAAUAUUUUUGAAUUAUGAAGCUCGUUCUCAGUAAGACAAGGCUAUUUGCACUCUAAAACUUAGUCUAAACAAUCUGUCACCUUGGAUACUCAUGUACUAAAUUUAAAAAGAUUAAGUUUUAUUUUCUUCACACUUUAAAAUACCUAAAAAGACCUUAUUGAAACUCGCUAAAUUAAUUUACUCAAAACACCAAUCAAACUAUUUAGCACAUCCAAAAUGAAUUAGUAAUAAUUUAGAAUACACUGCAAUGGAAUCAAAGUAUGUUCUAAAGAAAUUUUUUUAACAUAAGUUUUAUUUAUUAGCUUUUGUUUAUUAAAGAAUAUGUUCAGCAUUGGUUUUUAAACCCCAAACUUUUAACCCAACAAUUGGAAAAAAUGGUUAUUUGGCCCAAAAAGGGAAAAAAAGAAAGAAAGAAAGAAAGAAAGAAAGCAAGAAAGAAGAAAAGAACACAAAGAAGAAGGAGAAGACUGCAAAAAAUAUUUUUAAAAAACUAAAAAGCAUAAAUAUGUUCAAAAUAUAUUAAAAGUAUUCAUUUGCUCCUAGCUCCUAGUUUAACUAAAUAUUGUUUAAGAGAUUGGAAAUAAAAUUUCUAGGGCUUAUGCCAAAAGAAUUAUAUAUUCAAUAACAAGUGUGCUAUAUGAGUAUUUAGAGUAAUUAUAUAAUGUUAAUUUAUAAGAAAGAGUCCUUAUUAGUAAUUCAUAUGAUGUGUAUUUUUGUAAUAGAAUAAUUUAUUAAAAUAAAAAUGUGCAGAAUAUUUUUUGUAUUGUAAAUAUGUAAAUAUUCUCACCCUUCUCAAUAUAUUGACUUGAGUGAUAAUUUUAAAUUGCAUCAGAAUGAGCUAAAAGAAGAGGAAUUGUCGAAAUUCAGCUUAUGGCAAUUGAACAAUUAAUGGUUAAGAAAUACAGUAAAUCAAUAAUACUAAAACAUAAACAUAAUAAUUAAAGACUACCAUUAAAAUCUUUUUAGGAAUUUAUCUUGCAAACCAUCUAUUAGACGUCAAAAAUAUAAUUAGCCACCAAAAAUUUAAGAUAAUAGCUCUGCACUGUUGAGUGUUAGAAAAUGUAUAUUUAUAAAGGAGAAAAUCGUCAUUUUACACUUCCAAGUUUUACUAACACUUAUACUUUUAUGUAUUUUAGUCUCUUGUAAUUUAAUUAUGUGUAUUUGAUUUUAAUUAUGUAUUUUAUGCAUUUUAGGAGUUUCAUGGUCAUUUCACAAUGAACGAGAGCGGCAAAACGACAAAACGGACAUCACUUUUGAUGAAACUUAUUUUAAGCAGAUAGUGGGAAGUCUCAUGUACCUCACCACCACUAGACUUGAUAUGAUGUUCAUUGUGAGUUUAAUUAGUCGUUACAUGUCUAAGCCUAUAGAGCUACAUCUGCAAGUACCUGAAAUAGCUCUUAGGUACUUGAAUGGCACAAUAAACUAUGAGAUACUUUACAAGAAGGGUGGAGCUGAAGAGCUUCUUGCAUUCACUGACAGUGAUUACGUCAGGGAUGUCGAGGAUAGGAGAAGCACCUCAGGAUAUGUUUUUUUAAUGAAUUCUGGAGUUGUGUCCUGAUUGUCAAGGAAGCAACCACUAGUCACUUUUAGAGAUGGCCAACAGGCCGUGCCGUGCCGGCCCAGACCCAUCCAAGGAAGCCCACACGUGCUGGUGCUCGUGUUGUGCCUAAUUUUUGUUGCUUAGGCCUGGCUCAGCACCACUGAUACCGUGCCCACACGUGUCGUGCCGUGCCGUGCCCAGGAAAAAAAGCCCACUAAGUUUUUUUCAUUUUUUAUUUUUUUAAAAGCGUAUGCCAAGUUGUUGUCUUAUUUUUUUUAAGCCUAUGUACUUUUUUGGAUCCAUGUGCCUUUAUUCAAAUUUAAUAGAAUCAAAAAUUCAAAACUCAAGUCUAUAUUCAAUAAUAAUAAAUUAAUAAUAAUAAGAGAAUGUAAUAUUAGUUACUAAAUUUGACGUUGUGGUAUUAGAAUUCUUUUUUAGUACCUAACAACAACAAUAAUAAUUUUUUUAAGGGUUAACUUAAUUGUUAAUUUAGAAUUAUGUACAAUCAUAUAUCAUAGUUUAUAAUAAUAUUAAUACAUAUUUAUAAAAUCAUGAUAUCAAUUAUUUAAUUAAUAAAUUAUAAACAUAAAUCAAUUAUAAUUUUUUUGAAACUAAGAAUUAAAUAAAUUUAAAAAACUUGAGCUAAUAAAAUAUAUUAAAAGAUUCAAUUUCAAGUUAUUUAUAAAAUCAUAAAAUUUUAAGUUUACUUUCAUUAAAAAAUGAAACGUACUUAUUGCGUGCUUUUUCGCGUACCGUGUUUUUAAGGCCCAUGUGCUUAAAAUUCUAAGCCCGGCCCAACCCACGUGCGUGCUGUGCCAUAUCGUGUGCUCUACGGAAACGUGCUCAUGCCAUACCAUAUUGUACGGACACGUACCGUGCCUCGUGCCAUCCAGCCCAUUAGCCACGUCUAGUCACAUUAUCAAUCACUGAGGCUGAAUUUGCGGCAGCUGUAGCCUAUGCUUGUCAGGCUGUUUGGAUGAGAAGAAUACUACAGUAGGAUUAUUUGCUGGAAUAAAUCCCUAACUUUUAGGGUGUUAGUUGCAUUGUUUGACAUUUUCUUUGUUACUUGUACCACAAUGCUUUAGUUGUGCAUUAGUGGGCUAUUAUUUCUCUUUUUCUGUUACUUUGUAAAGCUAUUUAAGCCAAGUUCAUCUAUUCAAUAAAGUAAGCAAUUUUCAAAUUGUUUAGAGUUCUUGAUUUGCAAUUUCUUCUGCGAUCAUUAAUUUCCUACGCCAGCAACUAGCUGUUAUUUGGCAGUUUUAGUUAUGGGUUUGGAAGAUAUAGCUUUUGGAACUAAUUUUUUUAAAAUUGAUUUUGGAACGUCAGUUUUGUUUACGUUUCACGACUCACACGUGUUGUGGAGGUAAAGUUAAAUUAAAUUUUGUAUUUUUCUUUUGUUGAAUUGAAAUUGUUAAUUUUAAUUUUCUAAUCAACAAAUGAUUUUAAUUUUUUUUGGAAUUACCAUUGUUAAUUAUAGAAAUGUUUAUUCAUGAUGAAAAUUUUCAUCUCAGACUCAUUAUGGUAUAAUUGUACUGGUCUCUACACCCAAUCUAUGUUAGGUAAUAGUCGUUUUUUGUACUCUCAUUAAUGAGAUAAUUUGACAACACUAAUGAUUUGAAUAAUACAUAAAGUGUCGCAUCAUUUGAGAUAAUUUUUAACCAUAUAUAUUGUUAUUCUAUAAAAAAAAAAGUGUUGGAAAAAUAGGAUAAUGAGUUGCUAUUUAAAAACAUAAUUUUGAGUGGUAUACACUUAGUGUGAGUAGAAAGUCAAUAAUAAUUCGAAAUCUCCUCCAUGAGUACUCCAAAAUGAUGUAUUUGUAUACUGAAUAUGAUGUUGGUUAAAUAGGAAAUUGAUCCUCAAAAUAAAGCAAGAGUUACAGAGAUUGUAAUGGCUAGUUAAAUUCAAAAUUAACUAUGCAAUCCAUUCCAAGAAUUUAUUAUUUGUAACUGCUAAUUAAAUGUAGAAUUUAUUAUGAGAUUAUAAUGGUCAAUUAAAUUUAGAUUUUGAUAUAAAAUUAAAUCCAAAAUUUAAUAUAUGAUUAAUGAGGCAGCGAUUACAUUUUGAAUUUAAUUUAAAGAUUUAAUAAGCAGCGCUUUUAAUGGAUAUUAAAACCAACGGUUAAAAGUGUGUUUAAUAAGAUAUUAAAUUGCAUCUGAAGAAAACUUAAAGCAAUCAAAUUUGUCACCAAAAUGCCGUGAUAUAAUUCUAUAAAUUGGCAUAUUCUUCUACCGCAUUUGUAGAGACACGAGAUAGUGUAAGUGGUGGAAAAUAAUGAGAAUACAAGUGAAGAUAGAUUGAAGAGUAGGAAUAGAUGAUCUGCAAUUCAUUCUUUGUCAUAUAUCCAUUUUGAUAGAGUUUUAAACACAAUUGAAAUUCGCUGCGAAAUAACCUAUUGCCGCACCAAAGCUAUCCAUCACCAUUGUAUCCUGAAAACAGAUGCCAUUCGAAUCCUAAGACACCCAAAGUAGGAAGCAAAGCUUUUUAAACAAACUAUGCUAUCACAUAAGCCUCCAUUUGCAUUCUAUUCUUUGGUUUUACUUUAUGUUAUUAUUUCAUUGUAGUAAUUAUUAUUUCUGCACUUAUUAUUCUAUAAAGUCACAAUUUAUGAUUUGUAAUUUUAGAAUCUGUUCAUCCUAUAUCAGUUGUAUAUAAUGUGUUUUUCUCUUGCAAAAAUUUGAUGAAAUCUUAAUCCAUUUUGAUUUCUAAAAAGGGGAGAAAAAAAAUAAAAUAGAUUAGUAAUGCGUCAGCUUUCCAACGGCUCAUUUGUGACUUUUUUUAUUUUUAGUCUUUUAAUCACUAACCCUCUCAUGAACACUAGAUAGCUAUCAUGUUCAUGCAAUACAAGUCACUUUCAAGAAGCCUUGCUAUUGAAAUGGUAGACAUGCAACACUCAAAAUCUCAUGCUCAAGAGCAUGGCGGUUCGAGUCCUCUUCAAGGCAUAAUAUUGAGAAUGCUCGUUGAAUGAGCAAUUCAAUAAGAGAUCUCGGAUUGAACUAAUAUAUUGAUUCAAAUUUGAGUGACUAAUUAAAUAAAACUGCUUGAAAACUACACCUGCAUAAGUCCACGUGGGUUCUCAAGUUCUAUGUUAACUAUUAUUCUUCUCGGCAAGUAUCAAUUCUUCUAUUGCAGAUGCCAUUGUUGCAGAAUAGAAGUCAGUUGAAGCUCUUAAUAUUAUGAUUGAAGUUUAUGCAAGUGCAGAUUGCAGACAGCAGAUAUCGACUUGAAGCCUCAUGUAUGGAAAUAAAGAUUGGUUUUCAACCAAAUAUGACGACUGGGACAAUGUCGGGUGGUUAAGGAAGAUGCAAUGGUCGUCUCAAAAAAUUGGGUUUCAUUGGCCAGAUAGGACUGCGAUGUCAACUUUUUUUUUUCUUUAAUAUGAUUAAGAAUGAAAGAGUAAUUUUGACACAUUGACUUGGGCUUGUGAUUGUUAAUAAAUUUAUUACUUCUUUUCAUUAAUUUGACCUGCAUAACAAUUAAUUGAGUGAUUUUUAUUUUUCAAGAUACUUGCUACCCUCCCGAGUUCGAAUCUUCGGUUGAAAAUUUUGAUUUAAACUUAGUCUUCAUCUCUCAUUUAUAAAUAAUAAAUUAAUUAAUUAAUACAUAAAUAAAUAAAACCUACGUGAAUGUAGAAAUGAAUCAGAUGAAAAGUAAAUAUUGUAUAAAUACCCGCAUAAUGUGGUUCAGCUGCUUUGAAUAUUAUGCCAAGAAUAUGCAAAUCUGUUGGUUAGUGUUGACUUUGAACUACCUGAAGUACACAAGGGACUUUAACAUAGACUUAAUAACCAGAGGAAUUUCUGGCAAUUUAAGAAAAAAAGGGAACUAAGAUUCAUUUGAUUAUUCUUCCUCCCUGAACCUUAACAAAGAAAUUAAUUACAAAAAUAGUUUUUUGAAGUCUUUAAAAGUAAACCUUUCAGGAUCUCUUCAGAGAGCCGAAGAAAUGAAACAUGAGAAAACUUUGAAGUGCAAAGUAAUUUGGAGCUUACACAUCUUGAAACUCUUAAUCGGUGAAGCAACUGUGAUGUAACCUAACAGAAUGAUUAGAAUUUUCUGACUAUAUAUGUUAACCCAUCCAUCAUAUUAUCUAUAUGUGUAUUCAGCACAAACCUUUUAAUCUUGUAAAAACUCAAAAUGGAGAACUGUUUUUCGUUCAAUACUUGCAGCCUUUAGAAGCUCAUCAUGUCCUUCACAAGUCCCAUUGUCCAGUGUCGCAAGAGUUUGUUAAAAUCAUGAAUCAGUAUUGUGAAUUGGGUUAGUUAUAUUCUAUUAAGUUCGUUGCUAUUUCUCAAAAAAAAAAAAAAAAGAAAGUUCGUUGCUGAGGUGGGUUGAUGAGCUGGCGUUUGUGGGACCCUUAGUGGUUAAGUUGUUACAACAGUCCUACAAGUUUUUGGAAUUAAAUAUAAAAGAAAGCAAUGCUGGCCGGUGCAGCACCUAACGAAAAGAUCUUGACUAGCUUUGAGAUAGAUUUUGUUAAUUCUUCAUUGAAGGGAUUUAUUCUCUGUGAUCUCAAGAAUUGUAGUAAUCAAUAUCUUAAUAAAAGCUUAUUAUCAGCCAUGGAUAUAGGUACUAUGGUACCAAACCACGUAAUAUUACAAUGUUCUUUUUCUCUGCUUUUUUAGUUUCUUUGUCAUCUUUGUUCUUUGUUCUUUGAUCUAGUGUCAUUAAUUCUUUGCGCCAUUAAUUGGACUGGUUAAUUGGCUAGUCUGAUUAAGAGCUGAAAGAGAAGAAAAGGCCUUGAUUCAUAACAAAUUGGUGUCAGAGCCUUGGAGCUCUUUGCUCUUGAUCUUCAAAUGGCAAAGUAUCAGAUUUGAUCUCAAAAAAUUCAAUGGUGAAAAUAAUUUCUACUUGUGGAGUCUCACAAUGCGUGCAAUUCUAUUUCAAGAAGGGCUUGAUAGUGCUCUUGAUGAUGAUGAAUAUCCAAAGGAUAAGAAAGAGAAUGAAGAAGGUUCAUCAAGUUCCGGAGGAGACAUGGGGUCCAUUAACAAUAAGGCUCACAACAACAUCAUCUUACAUCUUUCAAGUGAAGUCCUGAGAGAAGUGGGAAAAGAAGAGACUGCUUCUGGUCUAUGAGCAAAACUUGAAGAGCUAUUCUUGAAGAAAUCUUUGGCCAAGAGCCUCUGUAUGAAGAUGAAGAUGUACACAUUUUCAAUAAAGGAGGGGACAACUAUGAAAGAUCAUUUGGAUGAGUUCAACAAGCUGAUAUUGGAUCUUAAGAAUGUUAACAUUGUUCUUGAAAAUGAGGAUAAAAUUCUUAUCUUGCUAAGCUCACUUCUAGAUUCAUAUAAGCAUUUUAUGGGUACUUUGCUGUAUGGAAGACAAUCACUCACUUUGAAGAAUGUGAAAAAUGCAUUGGAAUCUAAAGAUUUAAAGAAAAGAACAGAAAUAAGGGAUUAAAAUCUUAGAGAGGGCCAUAGUUGUCAGAUUCAGAUUAGAGAAGAAAGCCAAUAAAGAGAAAAAGAAUAAUAAUCAGAGGGAUAAAGUUGAUAACAAGAAGAAAAAAAAUGCUACUUAUAUCAUAAAGAAAGACAUUAUAUUAAGGAUUGCUUUGAGAAGAAAAAGCUUAAGAGGCUGUAAAAGGAACCAAAUGGGAAGGCUGCCAUUGUAUUUGAAGAUGAGGGAGAUUCAGAAGGAGCAGAUGUCCUUAUUACACUGAAAAAUAACUUACUGGUGAGUGGAUACUGGACAAUGUAUGUUUUUUUUUUUCAUAUGUGCCUAAAUAGAGAUUUGUUCAAGACCUUUGAAAGCAUUGAUGGGGGCAAAGUCUUGCUUGGAAACAAUCUUUCUUGUAAGGUUGCUGGAAUUAGAACCAUUAGUAUCAAGAUGUUUGAUGGGGUAACUAAGGAUCUAAAACCAGUGAGAUUGAAAACUUUUCUAUAUUUCUCUAUAUCGUAAAAGGUAACACAAAUUCCUCUUAUAGAAGAGAAUACAUAAAAUUGGGAAACUGACAAUAAAUUAGCUAUCUAGUUGUACUAACUAUUUCAUAAUUUACACCAUUGACCUAUUCUUAUUUACAGCUAACAAUCCUCUCUAACUACAAAUAUUUCUUUCCUUUUCUACACUCCCCCUCAAGCUGGUUUGAAGCUAUCCUCCAUAGCCAGCUUGCCAAUUAGCUCGUUGAAUUUCCGAGUAGGAAGCCCCUUAGUAAGUACAUCUGCAACUUGCUGAGUAGUGGGAAUGUAAGGCAUACAUAUUAACCAUUUCUCAAGUUUUUCCUUGAUGAAAUGACAUCUUUAUUGUCACAAUACACUUUCAUAGGUAGUGAAUUAGAAACUUUCAAUUCUUCUAAGAGUCUUUUAAUCCACAACACCUCACAAAUCCCGAAAGCAGUUGAUCUAAACUCAGCUUCUAUGCUGCUUCUUGCCACCACAUUCUGUUUCUUACUUCGCCAUGUAAAAAGAUUGCCACCAAUAAACGUGCAAUAGCCAGAAGUUGAUCGUUUAUCAACAACACUUCCAAUCCAAUCCGCAUCAAUAUAGACUUCAACUUGCAAGUGCCUACGAUUAUUUAAUAACAAACCGCAUCCAGAAGUCCCCUUCAAAUACCUGAGAAUUCUAUAGACUGCAUUGAAGUGUUCUUGUCUAGGGGAAUGCAUAAACUGGCUAACCAUGCUCACUACAAACGCUAUAUCUAGACGAGUAUGCGAUAAGUAAAUCAGUAUUCCAACAAGUCUUUGGUAUUGUUCUAUGUCCAAGACUUCUUCAGGUUUAAGAGGCUAUAAUUUAAGGUUGAGCUCAAUAAGUGUUUCUGCUGGUUUACACUCUAGCAAGCCCAUUUCAUUAAGCAAAUCAAGGACAUAUUUACGUUGAUUCACAAAUAUACCUUCUUUGGAUCUAGCAAACUCCAUUCUGAGAAAGUAUUUCAAUGUCCCUAAAUCCUUGAUCUCAAAGUCAGCUGCAAGUCUCUUCUUCAAUUUUUCUAGUUCUUCACUGUUAUGAUAUGUCAUGACUAUAUCAUCCAUAUAAACAAUUAGUAUAGCAACUCUACCUUCUCUACCAUGUUUAUAGAACAUAGUAUGAUCAGCUAGGCUUUGACAAUACCCACAAUUCUUUACAUAUUUCCCAAAUCUCUCAAACCAAGCUCUAGGGGACGCUUGAGGCCAUACAACAACGUUUUUAGUCUAUAGACUUUCAUUGAUCCCAAAUUCUUCUCAAAACUAGGUGGUAGACUUAUAACAAUCUCUUCCUUAAGAUCACCAUUCAAAAAGACAUUUUUUUUACAUCCAAUUGGUGUAGUGGCUAGUUCAGAUUUACAGCCAAAGAUAAUAGAAUUCUAAUUGAGUUUAUCUUGGCUACCGGAGCAAAGGUCUCCUGACAAUCAAUCUCAUAGGUUUGAGUGAAUCCCUUAGCUACUAAUCUUGCCUUAUACAUUUCUAUGCUACUAUUCGCUUUACACUUGACAGUAAAGACCUAUUUGCAAGCUACAGUCUUCUUCUCUUUAGGCAAAUCGACUAAUCUCUCAAGUACCAUUUCUCCUAAGAACAUUCAUCUCUUUUAUCACUGCCAAUUUCCAAUUUGGAUUACCAAGAGCUUCCUGAAUGUUUCUUGGGAUAAAAAAGUGUGAGAUUUUUUAGGUAAAUGCCCUAUCAGUAUGAGAAAGUUUGUCAUAAGAAAGAUAUUGAGCAAUGGGAUAUCUAGGAUUCUUAGUGAGAUUUCGGAUUCCUUUUCUAAUGGCAACAUGAAUAUUAAGGUUUGAUGAUUCUUUGCUAGGGAAAAGCAUGGGAAUUGAAGAUGAGUUAGGAUUGAAAAUACAUGUGAUAUUUGUAGGUCCAAUCCCCAAGGGUUGUGAUUGAUCGUUACCAAGAGUAACUGGCAGCCUUUGAGUUUUUUUUAUGAUGUUUUCUUUGAGUAUAAACCAAAAGCUCAGUUGUUAGAAUCAUUUUGAUACGACAGUAGUAGUGAUUCUCCCCCUAUUUCAGAUACAAUAAUGUUUGGCAUUAUAUUACCAGAACUUCCCUCAUUGUUCUCAGUGUUUUUAUCAUCACGUUGUUCUUGACUUUGAAGGCCAGAAAUGGUAGGAUGAGAGGAAUGAGGUAUAGUAGUCAAAAUUAUUUUUGGUAAAGAGUUAGAAGAUAUAUCCCAAAACGUUUCUUCCAUUACCUCAUACUCCCCCUAAAUAGAAUUUUUUUGAAAGUAGGAUUUUUUUUUUCAAAAACCGAGAUAUCUAUACUCACAUAAAAUUUCCUUGUUUGGGGAUUAUAGCACUCAUAUCCCUUUUAUUGGAGGCAUGCCCUAUGAACACAUAUUUUUCUGCCCUUGGAUCAAGUUUGUACUGAGUGUUAUUAGGUAUACGAACAAAGAUAGUAUAGCAAAAAACUUUAGACGUAAAUCUGAGUACAUUCUAGAUAGGGGAAAGCAUUUUUUAAAACAUUCUAGAGGUGUACUAUAUUUUAAAACACAUGUAGGCAUCCUAUUAAUUAAAUAAGUUGAUUUUAAAACAGCUUCUCCCCAAGAUAUUUUGGAAUAUUCAUCGAAAACAUUAUAACACGUGUUACUUCAAAUAAAUGUUUAUUUUUUCUUUCAGUAGUCCCAUUUUGCUGAGGCAUAUCUACACACGUGGACUGGUGAUAAAUACAUUUUUCUUUAAAAUUUUUUCCAAAAUACCUUUAUAGUACUCGGUUCCAUUAUCAUUGUGAAGAACCCUAAUUUUCUUUUGAAAUUGAGUUUCAACCAUUGUGUAAAAGUCUUUAAAAUUUUUUCCAACUUCAGAUUUUUCACUCAUUAAGUAAACCCAACAUAGACGGGUGUGAUAAUCUAUAUUAAGUAAACCCAACAUAGACGGGUGUGAUCAUCUAUGAAUGUGACAAGCCAUUUUUUCUUUGAAAUAGUAAUAACUCUUGAAGGUCCCCAAACAUCACUACGUAUUAAAUAAAAUGGUUUUGAAGGAAUAUAAGGUUUUGGCAAAUAAGUAGUACGAUGAAUCUUAGAUAAGCAACAACUUUCACAGUAAAAUGAUGAAAAAUCCAAACCCUUAAAUAAAGUAGAAAACAAAUGUUUAAGAUAUUGAAAGCUAGAAUGUCCCAAUUUUAAAUGCCAAAGCAUUAUUUGUUCAUAAACAGAGUUAGAACUAACACUACUAAAGCCCUAAGAAAUCAUCAUCAAAGUAGUAAAGGCCACCAAUCAACUUAGCACUGCCAAUCUUCUUCCUCGAGGUUUGGUCCUGAAAUUCAUAGUAAGAAUCACAAAAAAUCACUCGGCAAUUAGAAUCUUUAGUUAUUUUACUCAUGGUUAAAAGAUUACAAGCUAACUUGGGAACACGAAGAAUAGAAUUAAGGUUUAAUUUUUUGGAUAAUUUAAUCAAACCUUUCCCUACUAUUGGUAACAAAGUACUAUCUGCAAUUCUUAUUUUGUCAAGACCAAAAGAUGGUGAGUAAGUGCAAAACAAAUUUGAAAGGUUGGUCAUAUGAUCAUAAGCUCUUGAAUUUAUAAUCCAAGGAGCAUAAUUUGACAUGAAGAAAGAGCAUUGGGUGUGCUACCUAUUUGUGCAAGAGAAACAGUAGGAAUACUACUUGGUGAGUAAUUGGGUUUUAGCAACUGCAGAAGGUAAUCCAUUUGCUCCUUGGUGAAAGGGCCUGUCUCGGCUUUAUUUGCAGUAGAAAUCAACCAGGUAUUUUUAUCACCAGGCUUGCUGCUCUUUUAAUUUGCUAGUUUUUCUUGGAUUUUCCAGCAUGUUUCUCAAGUAUGACGUGGUUUGUUGCAAUAGUCACACCAUACCCGUAGAUUCUCUUCAGUUUUAUGCUGAAAUCUAGCUGUUUUGUUAAAAACAACCAAUGCACUAAGAAGGGCAGAACUUUCAGUAGGCUCGUCAGUUGUCUUCUUUCCUAGCAUUACAUGUCUACGACUUUCUUCUCUUCGAACCUCAAUAAACACCUCGCCAAUUAGAGAAAGUGGCUUCCUGCCAAUGAUCCACCCCUGAACCUUAUCGAACUCAACGUUGACUCCUAUAAGAAACUUGUAAAUACGAGAAGCCUCAACAAUAUUGUUCUAAUAUUUGGCAUCUUCUGUGAAUUUCCAUUCAUAAUCGUUGAACAUAUCUAAAUCUUGCCGAACAGAUUAAGACUACCUUAAAUAAUUUUCACCAUUAAGGAAAAUAAUGGUAAUUUGAAUUAGAUAAGUAUCAGUAUUGGGAGUUUGGGUUUGUGUUGGAGAAUUGGUUGAAGCAGAUAUAAUCGAUUGAUUAUGAUGGCUCUGAUACCAUGAAAACUUUUCUGUAUUUCUCUAUAUCGUAAAAUGUUACACAAAUUCCUCUUAUAGAGGAGAAUACAUAAAAUUAGGAAACUGAAAAAAAAAUUAGCUAUCUAACUGUACUAGCUAUUUCCUAAUUUACACAAUUGACUUAUUCUUAUUUACAACUAACAAUCCUCUCUAAUUACAAAUAUUUCUUCUCUUUUCUAUAGAGAUAUAUGCCAGACCUUACAAGAAAUCUCAUAUAUCAAUGGAUGAUUGAUCAACUGGGCUGUAGCAUUAAGGUAGAAUAUGGUCAAAUACAAGUUAUAAAUAAGGGUGCUGUUAUUAUGAAGGGAAUUAAAAGGAAUGGUUUGUGUGUUCUGGUUGGGUCAUUACCUCAGUUAGGGGUAAAUGCUAGUGUAAGUAGUGACAAAACCAAACUUUGGCAUAUGAAGAUAGGACAUAUAAGUGAAAAAGGUUUGAAAGAACUAAGAAAGCAAGAGUUAUUUGGUCAUAAUCAAAUUUCCUCACUAGAGACAAAAGUUCAAGAGAAGAAGACAUGAAACAAAUAGACAUUGGAUUAUGUUUAUUCAGGUUCCAUCUCAUGGUGGAGCUAGGUACUUUAUUACCUUCAUGGAUGACUUCUCAAGGAAUCUUUGGGUUUAUGUGUUGAAACAUUAAAGUGAAGCCCAAAAAAAAUUCAAGGAAUGGACAGCCCUAAUGAAGAACUAAAUUGGAAGAAAAGUGAAGAGAUAAAGAACAGACAAUGGCCUGGAGUACUGCAACAGUGAGUUUGAUGAGUUUUGUAAGAAGCAUGGCAUUAUGAGGCAUAAGACAGUAAAACAUACACCACAGCAAAAUGACCUUGUUGAAAGAAUGAACAAAACCUUAAUUGAGAAAGUCAGAUGAUAUUAUUUAGUUUUAAUCUCUUUAACCAUUUUUGGGCUGAAGCAAAUUGCUGCAUAUCUUAUCAACAAAAAUCCCCCAUCAGCUUUGGAGUUUAAAACUCCACAAGAAGUCUAGUCUGGCAAACCACUUGAUCUAAGUAACCUAAGAAUCUUUUGUUGCCCAGCUUAUGCACAUAUAAGUUUGGGAAAGCUAAAACCAAGGGCUGUUAAAGGUUAUUUUAUAGGAUAUUCUGAAGGAAUUAAAGGAUAUAAGAUUUAAAGUAUUGAUGGGAAGCCUAUUAGAACCUUUAUUAGUAUAGAUGUUGUGUUUAAUGAGGAGGUAUUGAUACAGACAAAAGUUAAAAUAGAGAUCUUUACUAAUUUUAAAGGAAAUUCACAUAUGAUGGUGGAGUCAAUAGAUACUCAGAGAUCCAGAGAAGAGAGAGAAUAAAGAGUGCACAAACAUUCAGAAUUAGAAGGAUAUCAUCUUGUAAGAAAUAGAGAAAGAAGAGUUACUGUAAGGCCUAAAAGAUAUGGUAUUGUUGUUUUAAUCUCAUAUGCAUUUAUGGUUAUUGAUGAUGUAAGUGGUUGAGAACUUAUCAGCUACAAAAAGGCCGUGAGUAGUAAGGAGAAGUCAAAAUGGCUUGUAGCAAUAAAAGAAAAAAUUGCCUCUUUCAAGAAAAAUAAUACGUAGAUCCUAGUUGACAAACUUUUAAACAAGAAACUGGCUAGCUAUAAAUGGGUUUUCAAGCUCAGAAAGUGAUCAUGGGCAACCUAAAUAUAAGGCUAGACUUGUAGCAAAAAGGUUUACACAAAGGGGAGGAAGCAUUUUCACCAUUAGUUAAACAUAGCUCUAUAAGGGUUUUAUUGGCUAUCACUGCAUUCUUAUAUCUAGAAUUAGAUCAAAUGGAUGUCAAAAUAACCUUUUUGCAUGGUAACUUAGAUGAAGAAAUUCUAAUGGACUAAUCAGAAGGAUUCAUUAAAGAAGGAACUAAAGAUAUGGUUUGCUUAUUACAUGGCUCGAAAUAAUCCUUAAGACUAUGGUAUUUAAGGUUCGAUGAAUUUAUGAUCACUCACGGAUACUUUAGAAGUCAAUAUGAUAGUUAUGUGUACUGCAAACUUUGCCUUUUAGAGGUACUAUAUAUCUUCUUUUAUAUGUUGGUGACAUGCUUAUUGCAUGAAAACAAAGAGAAGAAAUAGAGAGGCUUAAAGAUGAACUAAGUUCUGAGUUUAAGAUAAAGAACUUAAGCCCUACAACAAGGAUUUUAGGAAUGCAGAUCAUAAGAGAAAGAAGUGAAAAAACUUUGUUCCUUUUCACAUGCUGAUUAUGUCAGAAAGGUGCUUAACAGAUUUGGUAUGCUUAGUUCUAAACUUGUUACUAUACCUUCUUGCACAUUUCAAACUGUCUAAACAACAAGAACCAACUGAAGGAGCAGAUGUUGAGCACAUGAUGAAAAUACCUUAUUCUAGUGUAAUGGGGAGCAUCGUGUAUGCUAUGGUUAGUCUAGAUCCGAUGUUUGCAUAUGGAAUAAGAGUUUUCAGCAAGUUUAUAAGAAAUCCAGGGAAAAAACAUUGAGAGGUUGUUAAGUGGAUACUUAGAUACCUUAAUGGUACAACUAAUAAUGGUAUUUUAUUUGGAGGAAUUAAUAAUACACAAGUAAAAUCUUAGGCUAUGUGGACUUAGAUUUUGCUGGCAACUUGGAAAAGAAUGCCAGUUACUGGAUUUGUCUUCACAUUGUAUGGAGGUGCAAUGAGUUGGAAAGAAUCACUGUAAUCAGUUGUUGCUUUAUCUAGAACUGAAGUUGAAUAUGUUGCACUCAUAGAGGCUACGAAGGAAACAAAAUGGCUCAGAGGCUUGGCAUCAGAAUUAGGAUUGAGGCAAGAGUCGAUUUCCAUUAGUUGUCAUAGUUCUACUGCAAUACAAUUGAGCAAAAAUCCAAAAGAACAUGAAAGAACAAAGCAUAUUGAUGUUAGGCUACAUUUUAUCAGAGAAGAAAUUGGUUUUGGUGUGGUGAAUAUUAUCAGAGAAGAAAUUGGUUCUGGUGUGGUGAAUAUUAUCAAAAUCCCCUUAGUAAUCAAUCCUACUGAUAAUCUAACAAAACUUUUGCUUGUAGUCAAGUUCAUGGGCUCUUUGAACUUGAUUAGGGUUGUUAGCUUGUAAGUCAAGCUAUGUGUUGCUGAUACAGAGUUUGGGUGAAGCUUGAAAAUAAUAUAAAUGAAGAGGAGAUUUGUGAAUUGGGUUAGUUAUAUUCUAUUAAGUUAGUUGCUGAGGUGGCUUGAUGAGCUGCUGUGUGGGACCCUUGUAGUUAAGUUGUUACACGGUCCUACAAGCUUCUGGAAUUAAAUAUAGAAGAAAGCAAUGCUGGCUGGUGCAACACCCGGAGAAAAGAUCUUGACUAGCUUUGAGAUAGAUUUUGUUAAUUCUUCAUUGAAGGGAUUUGUUCUUGUGAUCUCAAGAAUUGUUCUAAUCAAUAUCUUAAUAAAAACUUCAGGCCCAAAGGGGUAAUAUCAGCCGUGGAUGUGAAUACUUUUGUAGCAAACCACGUAAUAUGGCAGUGUUCUUUUUCUCUGCUUUCUUAGUUUCAUUGCCGUAUUUAUUCUUUGUUCUUUGAUCUAGUGUCAUUAAUUCUUUGUGCCAUUAAUUAGAUUGGUUAAUUGGCUAGUCUGAUAAAGAAUCGAAAGAGAAGAAAAUGCCUUGAUUUCAUAACAAGUAUUCUGUCCUUAAAGGCUUUAAGUCAAUUAUUUUCUUAAACAAUUUAAGAGAAACUUUAAUUGCUUCAGUCUUCACUCUUCAACGUAUAUGAGUCUCUAUGAUAAGAGUUUUCUCCAAAUUCAAAUCCAACUUUAGCACCCAAAUUUUUGGCCUAAAGGGAAAAAAAAAAAUUAAAGGCUUUACGUACUGGAUACUGAGGUACACACUUCACAUAUUAAUGUAAAAACUAAAAAGUUAACAUAUAUAUCAAAGGCUUUAUGAACUGGAUAAGAGUCUUGACAUUUUUAUGUAAAAAUUAACAUAUCAAAGGCCUUAUGAACUGGAUAAGAGUCGAUCAUUUACCCCCAUUGGGGACUGAUACAAAGUUAUUCCAGUUGGCGCACAAUGUCUUGCAAAGCAAGCAAACGUUCCCCUCACUAGAUGUAAUUGAACAAACAAUAAUCACAAUUUUUUUUUUUUGGAAAAGUAAUUAAUUCAUUGAUUAGUACCAAAAAAUCAUUGAAAUUUAAUCAAAUUAUACGGAGUUGCAUACCAUUUUUGCUCUUUGUUAAGAAUUGAUAGUCUCUUAAUAAGAUUAUAAUUGAAAGAAUUAGAAAUGGAAUGAGGAAGAUCUUUGGGUGAUGAUAAUGUAAACCACAAGUUUUUAAUAGGGGACACUAAAACUUUUUUUUUAAUAUAAUACCCUUUAUAAAUAGCAACUAAAAAAUUGACCUUAAAAAUUUUAAUAAAUAAAAUAUAAUUUAAAUAGUUUAAUUUUUCUAAUAGACUAAUAAUAUUAGAAUAUUUUUAAUAUAAAAAUAAUUUUAAAACUAUAAAUGAUUAUAUUUAUUUUAAUAAUGUAUUUAUAUUUAUUCUAGAAUUUUUUAAUAAAUAUCUAGGUUAAAUAAAUUUUUCUAAUAGACUAAUAACACAAUGCUCGCAACAUGGUAAGUUUACCGAUUUGAGCCCUGGAAGCAAUUUUCGCUCAGAGAGAAUUUUCAAAUCUUGUUUUGACAUAUGACCGAGUUUGAGGUGCCACAUCAUCGUUGAUUCUUCUCCAUUUGACGCAACGCACGCAUCAGUUUCCUAUAGUGUUUCUCUUUCAAGCACGAACAGAUUAGAACCGAUCUUUUCUACCUUCAUCAAUAUAAGCGCACCUUUAACAAUCUUCAUAAUCCCACUUUCAACAUGGGUUUUACACCCAUGACAAUAUAUUGUCCCAAAGACAAAAGAUUUUUCUUCAGGCCUUUGACAUGUCGUACCUCUUCAAUUGUAUGAACCGUACCAUCAAAUAUUUUUAUUUUGAUAGUACCAAUACCAGCGAUCUCCAAGGCAUGAUCAUCUCCCAUGUAUACAGAUCCUCCUGAGGUUUAUAUGUGUGAAACCAUUCUCUUUGAGAGGUCAUGUGCCAGGUAGCUCCUGAGUCUAUGAGCCAAAUGUCAGAUAGCCAUUUUCUGCCUUAUGAAAUAGUUGUUGCCUCACUGUAGAGAAUUUCGCCAUCAUCUGAGGUACUUGCCAUACACCCUUGAGCAUUUGAUGACUCGGAUUUAUUGUCUCCACUCUGCUUGUUUUUCCAACACUCUUUCUUGAAAUGCCCUUUCUUGCCACAAUUGUAGCAUUUGACAUUUUUCUUACUUCUUGAUUUUGAUCUACCAUAAUUGUGACUCCUACUGGGGCCACAUUCUAUUGAUUUCUCUCUCGUUAUUGAUAGUGCUUCUGCUUGCUGCGAACUUACUUGUUUGUCUUCCUUACUUUUUCGCCUACUCUCCUCAUUUAAUACGGAGGCUGCAACAUCAUCGAAAACUAGAUUGUCCGCUGGGUUGUUGUUUGUCAGGUUGAUGAUGAGUUGAUCGUAUGAAUCUGGUAGACUUUGAAGUAUAAGCUCUGCAUGUUCAUUUUCCUCUAUUUUAUGACCCAACGUUGUAAGUUGUGAAAAUAGAGUCUUUAAGGUGUUGAUGUGGUCGGUCACCGAUGUACAUUCUGCCAUUUGAAGAGUAUAGAGUCUCAUUUUUAAGAAGAUCUUGUUGUGCAGUGAUUUGGUCUUGUACAAUUUUGUGAGAGUAUCUCAUAUUUCCUUUGCUGUCUUUUUCUCUGCCACAUUGGAUAAUACUUCAUCCUCAAGUGCCAAGUAUAGAUCAGAAAUGGUGUUACCGUCUAUCUCGUUCUACUUGUCAUCAAUUAACUCUAUAGGCUUUUCUCCAAUUGCUGUCAAGCAAUUAUUUUUCCUCAAUACAACUUUUAUCUUCAUUUUCCACAACGAAAAUUUAUUUCCGUUGAAUUUCUCAAUUUCGUAUUUUACCGCCAUCGCUUUUCACCAAAAGCUAACUUUGCUAAUAUUGACUCCCACCGCUUCACGUGAACAGUAACCGUAUAAGUGAAUAGUAACCAUAUAAGUGAUAGCCGUAUACGUGAACAAUACUUUUAUGUGAACAGUACCAUGACUCCAAAAAAAAAUACAACAAGUAGCUCUAAUACCACUGUUAGGAAAUUAAUGGGUGAAACAAGGCCACAACUAAAAUGAAAUUGGAAGAAAAUUUAUAAGUAUUGUAAUACUUUGUCUCACUACCCAAAACCUUCUCACUCAAUAUACUCACAAGAGCUUUAUAAUUUUAACCUCUUAAAAUCACUCAAGAUCUUAGCUUUUUCUCUCACCAAAAUUGGAUGCCUAAAACAAAAUGGAGAGCUCCCUUUAUAUAGCCAAAAUUGGCUAUUAAAAAAAUUAUUAUUAUUUUGUCCGCCUUUGAUUUCUUCAUUCUUCUAUUUUCUUCUUUCUUCUUUCUACUUCGGUGGUGCCAAACCCUUCAACAUUUGCUGCUUCCAAAUUCUAUUUUUCUUUCCUUGGGCAGCACCUCCUUGGACUUCAAUUUGGGCAGCUUAUACAGCUUCUAGAUCUUCAAAAUAUGCUACUUCUUGAAGCCUUUUCGUGACACAUUGCCUAGUAGAUUUACUCAAUCACAAAUUGGGUGGUUACAUAAUAUGUUUGAAAACCUUUAAUUAAUAAAAUUCUUAUCUAUUUUCUUUCGUAAUACGAUUUACCUAAGUCUCUCUUAUGAAAUCAUUUGCAUUAAAGCGUAAAUAAUCUCAUUACUUUGGGGUAUUAUUUGUCUUGGACUUCUUCUUUGAUCUAUCACUAUAUUACUUACCUUGGGCUGUCUCACUAUUCUCGUGUAAUAUUAUCUGCCUUGAGUCAUUCAUUUUUGUAUUGAGUGGUGAUAUUAUCUCAUCAGUUUUUAUAUUAAUUUCUAUUUUGCCGUUGUAUGAAAUUACUUAUUUUUUUGAAUUACUAUAUUAUUUGCCUUGGGCCGCCUCACCAUUUUGUUGCAUAAUCUGCCUUGGGUCAUUCAUUUUUGUAUUGAAUGGAGAUACUAAAGAAAUGUGUUUUUAUUUCUUGAAAUAAAACAUUAUACACUGAGAGUUAUUUAUAGAUGCAGAUGCUAUAUUUUUUCAAAGAUUACAUAUGUGAAUACGGAAGGAAAUGUGUCAAUCCGUUCGGCGCGGAUCGUGUCUUUGAAAAAUGCAGAUUAUCCCUUUGACAAGUGCGGAUUAUGUCUUUGAAAACUUUCUCCAAUGCCAUUUUAUUCAACACUCCCCCUCAAGCUGGUGCAUAGAUGUCUUGCAUACCCAGCUUGUCUAGGAAUUUUGUAAAUGCCCUGCUUGAAAUGGCCUUCGUUAAAAUAUCUACAAGUUGAUCUUCUGAUCGAAUUUUCGGCAGUUCUAAGAUUUUUUCAUCUAAUUUCUCCUUGAUGAAAAAUCUAUCUACCUCGACAUGUUUUGUUCGAUCGUGUUGAACUGUGUUAUGAGCAAUAUCUCGUGCAGCUUUGUUGUCACAGUAUAGUUGUAUUGGUUGUUAUAAUGGAUAACCCAAAUCGUUUAAGAUAAAGCUUAUCCAUAGCCCUUCACAUACCCCAAGGGCCAUGCCUCGAUAUUCUGUUUCAGCGCUCGAACGGGCAACGACAUGUUGUUUCUUGCUUCUCCAUGUGACAAGGUUGCCUCCCACAAAGGUAAAGUAUCAUGAAGUAGAGCAUCUAUCACUAACUGACCCGGCCCAAUCUGCAUCAGUAUAAACUUCUAUGUUGUUGUAAUCUUCAUUUUUUGAAAAUAGGAUUCCUUUCCCUGGAUUUGUCUUCAGGUACCUCAGGAUCGGCAUUACUGCUUUCAUGUGUUGUUCUUCGGGAUUAUGCAUAAAUUGACUUACAAUACUCAAUGCAUAAGCAAGAUUUGGCCUUGUGUGGGACAAGUACAUCAAUCUUCCAAUCAGUCUUUGAUAUCUUCCUUUGUUUACUGGAACUUGGUCUGAGGUAAUACAAAACUUCAGUCCUUCUUCUAUUGGGGUGUCAAUAGGCUGACAAGCUGUUAUUCCUGUUUCGUGCAAUAGAUCUAAGGCAUAUUUCCUUUGAGAUAAAAAGAUUCCUCCCUUAGAUCGAGAAACCUCAAUUCCAAGAAAGUAUUUUAAGGCUCCUAAAUCCUUCAUCUCAAACUCUCUCGACAAGUACUUCUGAAGAGCCUCUCUUUCUUCCUCGUCGUUGCCUGUAACUACCAUAUCAUCUACAUAGACAAUAAGGGCAGUGAUUUUCCCUUGUCGUUUUUUAAUAAACAAGGUAUGAUAUGAAUUGCUUUGGUUAUGCCCAAAAAGAACCAUAACCUUUGUGAAUUUCCCGAACCAUGCUCUUGGGGAUUGCUUCAACCCGUACAAUGAUUUCUUCAAUUUGCAUACUUUCUGAUUGAGUCGUUCUGAUCCACUGCAUCCUGGUGGCAGAUCCAUAUAUAUUUCUUCAGACAGGUCUCCAUGGAGGAAAGCAUUCUUUACAUCGAACUGUUGCACUGGCCAAUCCAAGUUGACUGCUAAUGAUAACAAGAUACGAAUAGUAUUAUUUUUUGCUACCGAUGCAAACGUAUCGGUAUAAUCUAUCCCGUAGGUUUGGGUGUAACCCUUAGCUACAAGUCUUGCUUUGUAUCGUUCAAUAGAGCCAUCUGCUUUGUACUUUAUAGUGUAGAUCCAUCGGCAACCCACUAGUUUCUUUCCUGGUGGAAGAUCAACUAGUUCCCAUAUUUGAUUUUUUUGAAGAGAUCUCAUUUCGUCAUUCAUAGCCACUUUCCACUUUGGGUCUUUUAAGGCUUCCUGCACACUGUUAGGAAUAGAUACAAUAGAUAAUUGAUUCACAAAUGACUGAUUUGCUUCUGACAAGCGAUGGUUAGACACAAAAUGACUCAUAGGGUAUUUGACUCUACUAGAGAGGUUGGGCUCAUAUGUGGGUUUAGCGAUACCUCUAUUUUGACGUUGGGGAAGAAUUCUUCUGAUUGGACUUGUGGUAGGAACAUCCUCUGCAGACGAUUGGUUAGGUAUUUCUUCAUGUGACUCAUUCUCGAUUGCAGUUGUGUCUAAGUUAUUGUGCUCCCCAAAUGUGUCUUUACUUAUCUUAGCCUGAGAAUCAUCACCAUUUUCUUUUCCAGUAUCUUGAAGGUUUACUACCUCAAUGGAAGAUUGACCUUCUUCAGGUGGAAGAUACGUAAGAGUAUGAUUUUCCUCUUCAUUAUACUCCCCCUGAAAUUCAGGCUCUGACAAGUAGUACAUGAUAUCUUCAUGAAAGACGACAUCCAUGGUGAUGUAUAUUUUUCUUGAUGGUGGAUGAUAGCAUCGGUAUCCCUUUUGAUGUAAGGCAUACCCUACAAACACACAACGUAGUGCUCAAGGAGAUAAUUUGUAUUGUUGCAGCAAAUGUACGAAGGCAACACAGCCAAACACAUGUGGGGGUGAAUUUGGCACAUUUGGUGACAUAAUUGUAUCAUUCAGAACCUGGAAAGGAGUCUGGAAUCCAAGGGAGCUUGAAGGUGUUCGAUUGAUUAAGUAUACUGCGGAUGCCAGUGCUUCUCCCCAAUAAGAUAGUGGCAUGUGGGCUUGGAUUAAUGAUGCUCGAACAACUUCUAGUAAAUGUCUAUUUUUUCGUUCAGCAACGCCAUUUUGUUAGGGUGUCCCCACACAAGUGGUUUGAUGGACAAUUCCUCAUGAUUUCAUAAAUUGUUGAAUUGCUGUGCUUAUAUACUCGCCUCCAUUAUCAGUAUGUAGAACUCGAAUUUGUGUCUGAAAUUGAGUCGUCGCCAUCUUAUGAAAUCUUUGAAAUAAAGAGUUUACUUCGUCUUUCGAUUUCAUCAGAAAAAUCCAUGUCAUUCUGCUACAAUCAUCAAUAAAUGUAAGAAACCAACGAGCACCUCCAAUUGUAGAAACUUUAGAUGGCCCCCAUACAUAAGAAUAUACUACCAUGAAAGGAACUGGAUUCUUAUUUAAGGACAAUGGAAAAGUAGUUCGAUGGCUUUUUGAAAGUUCACAAACAUCACAUUUAAAGUUACAAACAUCAAGUUUCAGAAACAAACUAGGAAAUAAUUUUUUUAAGUAACCAAAUGACACAUGCCCUAAAUGUCUAUGCCAUAACCAAAUUUCUGAUUUCCCUUUUUUUAUGGUAUUAUCUGCGACUAGUGUGGGGCUUAGCUUUCCAGUGUUUGUUGAUGACAUCUCCAAGUAGUACAAGUUGCCUCGUCUAAUACCAUAACCAAUCGUUUGCUUCGUUUGGAUGUCCUUAAACACACAAUGAUCAGGCCAAAAAAUUACAACUGUUAGAGUGCAAUUUAAGCACUAGUUUUGCAUUGUUUACUUCCCUUAAUAUCGAUGUUUUGCACUUAAUAAUAGUGAUUUACUUGUGUUUUACUUUUGUAGGUGCAAUUCUAUUGAUUGGUGACAAAAUUAAGCUACAAGAUUAUAUUUAAUGAUGAUUGUUCUCUUGGAGAAAUUAUGAGCGUCAGAAGAACUUUAUUGAUAAGGCGUGGGCACAUGCUGUCAACUACGAACCUGCAGUUUUUAGUUUAAACGUGUUUUGUAUUUUUGGUUAUUUUUGUAAUUACGAAUUUAAUAUUUCAGAUAUUAGUAUUUUAUUUUAAAUAGAAUUCUAGAGGAGAAGAGAGGGAGAGUAUUUAAGGGAGGAAUCUAUUGUGAUAAGGGAGAUGUAUGUUUUAUUAUUGUCAACGAAACCCCCAUUUUAUGUUUUACGUUUUAAAAGGAUUUAAAUAAUUACCGAUCUCUGUGGACACGACCUUGCUCAAUCACUAUACACAAUUUAUUUAGAGUAUGUAUUUAUUUUUGCUGGCUUCGACAACCAUCAAAUUUUGGUGCCGUUGCCGGGGAUUGGUGUGAUUUAUUUAAUCCUUUUUACGUUUUACUUGGUGUAUGGUUCGUUCUUCUCGUACAGGUACACUUUCGUUUGAUCCUGAAAUUGAGAAGACAGCUCGCCAGCUGAGACAGCAGACGAAGUGAGCUAAGCAACGAUCCUCGUCGCCUUUGCUUUCUGAAACAGAUACGGUGCCUGAUUUAGUUGAAUCAUCUAGCGAUUCGGAAGAACAAGUGAUGGAUAGAGCUGCACUUGUAGAAAGAACUCUUAGAGAGUUAGCUGAACCAGACUUGAAUCAGCAACCACUCUGCAUUCAAUAUGUAGACUUGGAGGUAAAUUUUGAAUUAAAGUCUGGUCUUAUUCAUUUAUUACCCAAGUUUCAUGGUUUUGUAGGUGAAGAUCCUCAUAAACAUCUCAAGGAGUUUCAUGUUGUGUGUUCAAGUAUGAGGCCACAAGGCGUGACUGAAGAGCAGAUUAAGCUGCGUGCUUUUCCGUUCUCUGUAGAUGGGCUAGCUAAAGACUGGUUGUACUACUUGCCUCCUGGAUCGAUUACAACGUGGAAUGGUUUGAAGAAGCAGUUCCUCGAGAAGUACUUUCCUGCUUCAAGAGCUGCCAAUAUCAGAAAAGAUAUUUGUGGGAUCAGACAACUUCCUAGGGAGACUUUGUAUGAGUAUUGGGAGCGAUUCAAACAAUUGUGUGCCAGCUGUCCUCAGCAUCAGAUUUCUGAUCAACUUCUUAUUCAAUAUUUUUACGAAGGACUGUCAUUAAUGGAUAAGAGUAUGAUAGAUGCUGCUAGUGGAGGUGUGUUGGUGAACAAGACCCCUACUCAAGCAAGGGAGUUGAUCUCAAAUAUGGCUGCCAAUGCACAACAAUUUGGCAGCAGGCAAGAUGCCACUUCAAGAACGGUGAAUGAGGUAAAUAUUUCUUCUGUUGAACAACGUUUAGAUAAACUUACUUCUCUUGUGGAAAAGUUUGUUGUAGGUAAUGUGCAACAGGUAAAGACUUAUGGCAUUUGUUCCAAUAUGGGUCAUUCAACUGAUAUGUGUCCUACACUUCAAGAAGAACCCAUUGAAUAAGCCAAUGUAGUUAGAGGAUUUCCAAGCAUGCCUCAGAUGAGGUAUAAUCCUUAUGCACAAACAUACAAUCCGGGAUGAAAGGAUCAUCCCAACUUAAGCUAUGGAGUUAGGCCGUCAGGAUUCCUACAACAGUAUCCACCAAGACAACCAGCACUUCCACAGUUAAACUCCAAGUCAGGUAUAUCUCUUGAAGAAAUUGUUAAAUCACUUGCGACUAUCACUCAACAAUUUCAACAGGCAGCUACAGCAAGCAUUCAGAAUUUGGAGAAUCAAAUGAGUCAAUUGGCGACUACAGUGAGCUGUCUGAAGUCUCAAGUAUUAGGGAGGUUGCCUUCACAAUCUGAAGUGAAUCCAAAGCAAAACAUUAGUGCUGUCAUCCUUAGAAGUGGGAAGGAGUUAUAAGAGCCUAGUAAGAAAGUGACAAAGCAUGUAGAAGAUGAGCUUGAGAAGAAUGAAUUGAUGCCUAAAUCUCAAGAUGCGCAACCUACCAGAGCGAAACCCCUACCUAUUAUGAUACCUCCUCCUUUUCCAAGCCAGUUUGCAAAACCCAAGAAAGAAGAACAAGAGAAAGACAUCCUUGAGACAUUUCGCAAGGUUGAGGUAAAUAUUCCUUUAUUAGAUGCUAUAAAACAAAUACCUCGAUAUGCUAAAGUCCUUAAGGAACUGUGCACCUCCAAGAGAAAAUUAAGAGGAGAUGGAAAAGUUCACAUGAGGGAGAAUGUUUCAGCAGUUCUCUAAAAGAAACUACCUCCUAAGUGCAAGGAUCUAGGUAUGUUUACUAUCCCUUGUAAAAUUGGUAGUGUUAGAGUUGAAAAGACUAUGUUAGAUCUAGGAGCUUCUAUUAAUGUCAUGCCUCGUUCCAUUUAUUCAUCUUUGAAUGUUGGUCCAUUAAAAGAAACUGGCGUGAUCAUUCGACUAGCUGAUAGGUCUAAUGCAUAUCCUGAUGGGAUAUUAGAAGAUGUCUUAGUACAAGUUAAUGAGUUGGUUUUUCCUGCUGAUUUUUAUGUACUUGAUAUGGAAGAGGAUAACUCCUCUAAUUAUGUCCCAAUUUUGCUAGGAAGACCUUUUCUUAAGACUGUUAGGACUAAAAUGGAUGUACAUAAAGGGACUCUCACUAUGGAGUUUGAUGGAGAGGUUAUAGAAUUCAAUAUGAAUGAUGCCAUGAAAUAUCCUAGUGAGGAACAUUCGGUAUUUUCUGUGGAUGUUAUUAACCUUAUAGUGCAGGAAGUUUUUUACAAGGAAAAGACGAAGACAUUUCAUGAUAGAAUGAUUUUGAGAAAGGAGUUCUCUAUUGGUCAAAAAGUUCUUCUUUUUCAUUCUAAGCUUAAACUUUUUCCGGGUAAAUUACGUUCUUGUUAGGUUGGACCUUUAAUUGUUACUAAUAUUUUUCCUCAUGGUGCAGUUGAGAUUCGGAGUCCGACCUCUGACAAAGUUUUUAAGGUUAAUGGUCAUCGCUUAAAACCUUUUUAUGAAGGUUUUUCAGUGAAUAUUGUGGAGGAUGUGGCUCUCGAGAGUCCCAAUUAUGGAGAUUGAUGCAUAAAUGUGUCUAGCCAAAGACAUAAAACAAAUGCAUUUUUUGGGAGGCAACCCAAAUGAUUUAUUUAUUUUGGUUUUUGUUAUAUCUUCUUUUAAUUUUGAUUCAGAUUUUUUUUAAAAAAAAAAUUAAUGUGUUUGCUUAUUUUGGUCAGAAGAAAAUUUUUAAUAAGGCGUGCCCACGUGCUUAUUAGAAAUGUACUUCUGAAAUUUUUAGUGUCUCAAAGUGAUUCAUCACUAAAAAGAAAAAAGAAAAAAAAGAGUUUUUUCCCAUAUUUUCUUUCUUAUAUAUAUAUUUUUUAUUUAUUUAUAAAAAAAUGACAAAAAAAGUUUUUUUCCUUCUUUUCUUUCUUAUAUAUAUAUAUAUAUAUAUUUAUUUAUUUAUUAAAAAAAACACAAAAAAACAAAAAUCACAAAUCACUGUUCACAAAUCCCUAAUUCAAAAAAAUUCACUGUUGAUUAUCGUUUUCCCGCAGCAACCCUUAGCUCCAGCGUGCAGAACCAGCAGCAGCCGCAUCAGUCCCACCUGCAACGCAACCAGCCUACGCCAUGUAUUUCAGCCGGGUAAAUCGAAAUCCGUGAGUGCAAUUAUUGUAACAAUGCCGAAGAGGAAAGCAUCAACUUCCAAGUCAUCUAAAAAGACACCCAUCGCAAAGAAAUCCAAGAUUGCCGCUCCCACUACGAUUCCAUGGAACACAAUUUCAUAUUCACGCCAAGCCGUGAGACAAAGAUCGAAACAUGGAAAAGGCAUGAGUGUUUUGCCACUUGCGGAAUCCAAUCUCGGAGGAUGCCUCGCAUUCGCGACUCAACAAGAGAAAGAGAGGUACAAAGAUAUUUCCAUGCGCAAAAUACUUCCAGCUAAGUAUAUUCAUUACCCGACUCUUGAAAAAUUGAAUGUUAAGGAUAAUUUUGAUUCUUUGAUAGAUAAGAUUGGGUUGCGUAAGUUUGUUAAUGUUGAUUGUUUGGGUUAUAUUGAGUUGAUUAGGGAGUUUUAUGUUACUUUUCAAUUUAAUAUGCCGAAUGAUUUUACUUUGCAUACCCUGGAUGUCAUAAAGUUUAGGUUAAUGGGACAAAAUUUUUCACACUCUAUCACCGAUUUUAACCUAGCUUUAGGAUUCAUUGAUGAUGAUUAUUCUUCUAGUGAUGUAUAUUUAGGAACAACUUGUGACUUUAGCGAAAAUUUUGAGCCUUAUGAUCUUUGGCGUAAUUUAUCUGUUGAUCACAAUACCUAUGACCCGAGUAAAUCAAAGAGUUAUUUCUUACGUGAUCCUGUUUUGAAAUGUGUGCAUCGAUUCUUAGCAUAUAAUUUUGUAGGCAAGAAAGAUCACUCAGGAGUUUUCUCUAAAACUGAAUUUUAUUUUAUCUGGUGCAUGUUAAAUGAUGUGAGGCCUAAUUUAGGUUUUUGGUUAGCGGAUCAAUUUCAAAGUGUGCUUAAAUGGUAUAGGACUUUAUUUCUUGGUCCAUACAUUACUCUGUUAGCUAUAAACCUAUGUGCGCUUGAUCCUGACAAUAAUGAUUUGCAUUCUGCUUGCAAAAAGGAAUUUUUGGAUAUGUCUGUGUUUGAAAGAACAGGUGUGGUCGAAUUCAAGGAGGGAGAUUUCAGUUUACUGAACCAGGACCCACUCAACCUCCAAAGAAGCUUUAUCCUAGGAGUGGUGCUACCUCUGAUAACGAGUUUGACGACGACACUGCUGCCCCGCCAACUAUUCCUUCUACAUCCGCACCACCUUUGAGCAUUCAGUUAGAGAAAAUGGAGCACAAGCUGAACAUGAUGGAGCAGAAUUUGGCCGCAUACUUCGAGAGUGUGAGAUUUAUCCCACCAUUUCCGCCAAGCCCAUAAACGUUAUGUGGAUCAAAGCUCACAAUUCAGGGAAGUUUUUGCCUUUAAUCUUUUAUCCUUACGCUUUAAUUUUUAUGUGAGCUUUGAUUAUCUUACAUUGGGGACAAUGUAAGUUCUUGGUGUGGGGGAGGGAUUUUUGUAUUAUUGAUGUCUGGAAAUAUUAUUUUCACUCUACUCAUCUAUUUUCACUUUACUCAUCCUUAAAUAAUUUUGGAGUUAGUAUGCUUCAUAUAUUAUUAAUUUUCUUUUCCUUUCUCUCUCACUACUCUUUUCCCAUCUAUCUCAAAUUAUUUACAUCUAUUUUUUUUUCUAUCAUACUCUUUCAUCACUCACAUUUUAUCUUUCAUUUUUUUUACUACAUACAUCUUUCUCGCUUAUUAUCCUUUUUACCUUUCCUUUUAUAUCUCACUCAUACCUUCUUCUCAUUCUACACCACUAUUGAUGGUUGAUUCAUUUGAAGAGUGUACAUGAUUUGAUGGCAAAUUUACCAACUUUGUGAGGAUUUAAGCCUAUGAGCAACCACUUUGCUCUAAUUAUUUUUGUUAUGUGAAUAUCAAUCUUAGUUUGUAUAUUCUAGAACUUGCUUUGUUAUGCAUGUUGAAGCCACAUUACGGGAUUUUAUGCAUUAAAAUGAUAAGGGCAAACCAUUUACCAUUUUUAUAUUCUUGCAUUUUGUUUUUUCUCUACCCGAAGACAUUUAUUUGCUACCUUUGUUUGAGCCUUAACCAUUACCCAUCUAAUUCUCUCCGUCUACUUAACCAUUUUUCUUCUUUUUGAGCCUCAAUUUAAGGAGAUUUUUGGACUCAUUGUGUGGAUAUAUUUUGUUGCUUUUUCUACCUUGUAUUAAAGUUUCUCAAUUAGAUCAACAAGCAUUAUGCUUGAAUUAAAUUGUGCAAGGUUUGUUUCUUUUGUUUGAUUCAAAAAAAAAAAAAAACAACAACAAAAAAAAGGAAAAAGAAAAAAAAGAGAAAAAGAAAAAUCGAAAAAAAAAUUGAAAAAAAAGUUUACAUUCCUCAGUGACUUGAGUAGAAAUAAGCAUUUUGAUAUCAUAAGUUCAUUCAAUGAGUUCAUUAUUCUCAUUUUGAUCUCUUUUUCUUUCAUAGACCUUUCUUUUUCAUUUAACCUAUUUAACCCCAUUACAACCCUUUUAAGACCCUUAGAUUUUUGCAUUUUAUUAAUGUUUUGUGGAUUGAGAUGUGAUAUAUGAGCAAGCUUAUGGUAAUAGCAUUCUUUGAUUUGAUUUGAGUGAAUAAAUGACACCCUAAACACUUUGAGUGCAUGGAGUGAAGUCAAUGAGAGGGCUAUUAAAUCUUGUUGCACUUGAAUUUUGAAUGGAUCUUCUUGGUGGUUGAAUGUUCUUAUUCUAUCUUAUGAGAUUCUAUGCUUUAAAAUCCUUAUCUCUCGAAUGUUGAUCGACUUAAUUUUUUAGUUUAAACGUGUUUUGUAUUUUUGGUUAUUUUUGUAAUUACGAAUUUAAUAUUUCAGAUAUUAGUAUUUUAUUUUAAAUAGAAUUCUAGAGGAGAAGAGAGUGAGAGUAUUUAAGGGAGGAAUCUAUUGUGAAAAGGGAGAUUGGAGAAAAAGAAAGAAACCCUAGAUCUAAAUUUUUCUCUUCUCUCUAUGAAGAACUAAACCUAUUUUUUUGGUUGAAGGUUAAUGAAGCUUUGAUUCAUCACUACUGUGAGAUCUUUCUUAUGCUUUAAUUGUUUUAUUGCUUUUUUGGGUAUUUGUUUAUUCUCUGAAUUAUUUUCAUGAUUAUGUUUGUUAAUUAAGUAAUUGGCCACUAUUUAAUUAUCAACUUAAUCUAUUGUCAAUUAAAGGAUUCAUCGUAUGAAGAUUUUAAUGUUUGUGACAAAUAACAUAGCAGAGAGUUGUGUUAUGAGAAUAAACAAUCUAAUUUAAAUUAAACAUCGUAUGUGUUGAUUAUGAUUUGAGUCUCUCUGGUUUUUCAGGCUGUCAAUUGAUUAAAUCAUAUGAUCGUAUCUAGGGUUGUCUAUUGAUUAGGGAAAUAACCAACGGUCGUACCUUAGUUAUCGACUAGUUAAGGAGAAAUUGGCUAUUAGAGGGUCUCAGUAGUUAUAACCAGUCUAUUCAUAAGUAGCAAUAAUUUAUAUUUGAAUCAAUGAUCAGUAGCCGAAUUAAGCUGAGUUAAUUCCUUCAACCAGAGCUUUCUCCAAUUUGAAUUACAACUUUAAUUUGCAUUCUUGUUAUUUUAAUUUGAUUUUUUAUUAUUGUCAACGAAACCCCCAUUUUAUGUUUUACGUUUUAAAAAGAUUUAAAUAAUUACCGAUCUUUGUGGACACGACCCUGCUCAAUCACUAUACACAAUUUAUUUAGAGUAGGUAUUUAUUUUUGCUGGCUUCGACAACCAUCAACAACACAUGAUAAGUAAGUGGUUAAUUGAGACACAAAUAAAAGAUUAUAAUCUAAAGAUUGAACAAUUAACACUGAUUCUAAAUUUAAUUCAUCUGUGAGUCGUAAAGAUCCUUCCCCAAUAACUGAGGUUGUGGUUCCAUUUGCAGUGGAAAUAUGUUUUUGUGAAGAUGGUUUCAAUUGAGAAACUUGUCGAGAAUCAAAAGUCAUAUGAUCAAUUGCCCCAGAAUCAAUUAUCCAUGUACUAUUAAUAACAGGUGUAAGAGUUUUAAGGGCCUUACCUGGACUGACAGAGGUUGCGAUUUGCACUGAAGAAUCUUUUCUAAGAUCUGUAGUGGAUGUGGAUUCAGCUACUGCAGUUUUUGAUCCCUGCUUGGUGUUCUUCUUUCGAGUAUCCCACCAGUCAGGAUAUCCAAUGAUUUCAAAACAUUGUUCUUUUGUAUGACCAUUCUUCCUACAAUGAGUGCAAUGGAGUGAUGACUUGUCAACAAGCUUCCUUUGAGGCUGUUGUCGUGCUAUCAUAGCAGACGUUUAUGAGUCGACCUUCUUGUUUAGUUUGUUUUGCCAUACAUCUUAUCUCCGGAUAAGAGAAUAACAUUCUUCUAAGUCUGGGAUAAUAUCUUUUCAUAGAAUUUCUCUACGAACUUGGUCAAAUUCUUCAUCUAGCCCAGCAAGAAAAAUGUGCACUCUCAAUCUUUCAACAGACCUUCUGUAUAUUACAACAUCUUCUGGAUCUUUCAUGACCACUUUAUCUCGAUGAUCAAGUUCUCGAAAUAUUUCGAUCAAUUCUCCGUAGAAUUUAGAGAGUGGUUGUCCAUUUUGCUUGGUAGAGAACGCCUUCUGGUUUAGAGUGAAAACUUGUAAUUCAUCGCUUCCAUCAUAGAAGGCUUUUGAUAAUGCAUCCCAAAUUUCGUAGGCUGUAGGAAUUCGUAAAUAUCACUUCAUGAUCUCCGGAGACAUGAGUAACCAUCGUUUUACUUUUUGGUUCUCACUAUACCAUUUCUCAUAUUCUUUUGAAGAUUCCUCAUAUAGCUUUGUGUUGCUACGAAUACAUGAGAGUUUUUCUCUUUCUGCGAGAUGCAUCUCCAUUAUUUGAGACCAAACAUCGUAGUUUGUCUCAGUGAGGAUAAUUCCAGCAUUAAAUAUUCCAUCAGAUUGAACAGAUUGAAUGACUAUUGUGCAAAUUUAUUGAACUCGCAAGUGCACGAAUUUAUUGUAGUAUAGAUCAAUGGUGAUGAGUGUCGAUCCCACGAGGAGGUGGAUUUUAAUUAUAUGUAGAAUUAAUUUUGUAUGAGGGUGGUUGGAUUUGUGGUGAAAAUGAUUUGGAUUAUCCUAAAAUUCGAAUUAAAAUGGCAAGAAUAAAUUGAAGUGAAAAUCUAUUAAAUUGACGUACUUGGGUAUCUGGAUCCGUAUCAACAUGCACCAUGGGCUAAAUAUUCCUUAUUAAUGCCAAUUGAAUCAUGAGGGUGGAAUCCACACCUCAUGAACCACACUCUAAUCAAUAUGGUGCUAAGGGCUUAUCAUGCCAAAUAAUAAUAACCUUGUACUAAGGAGCCGGUGUAACCAAUGCGGUAUCUAGACAAGAUUAUUAUUAUUUGUCGACGAAAAGUCAAAUCAUCCACAAAAAUUAGAGGGGAAAAGAAAAUAAAUUUACCAAAUAAAGCCCAUGACACAUGUUGAGACUUCACCUUCAACCCAAGCUUGAAAGAAAAUUAGCUACUUAUAAUUGAACUAGGGGCAAAAUGAAAAUUUAUUAAAAUACGUAGAAAAUACAAGAUGGAGAAGAAAUUACAGAAAAUGGAUCCCAAAAAUGGAUUCAGAGAUAUCAAAUUAGGGGGGGGGGGGAGGCCCCUUUUUUAUAGAUACAUUGAGUAAAUCGUGGCCAUCGGAUUAAAAACAGUUUGGACGCUCAGGAUUUUGCCACGUCAUCAGUCAACAGUACGCGGUUUGACCACGUGGGUGAACAGUAACACGGUUUGACCCGGGUUGAACAAUGAUGCGGUUUGGUUGAAAAUAAUCCUGUGUAAUGCAUGUACCGUACGCGACAUUUUUGGUCCACUGAUAUGCUGCCACGUCAUCGAUCAACAGUGCAUAAGAAUUUUAGUCCAACAGGAUUGUGACACCUCAUCAGUCAAUGCCACAUCAUCGGUCAAUGCAACGUCAUCAAUCCGUCUAUGUGAACAGUGUCGUGAACAGUAACGUAGACAGUAUCAUAUAAGUGAAUAGUACCAUACAUGUGAACAGUGCCAUUUUUCCUUUUAUGCUCCUCCUAAGGUUUUCGACCGUCCUGAGUUCAAAAGUGAUGUCCGUUUUGCCAUCUGAUCUCUCGUUCAUUGUGAAAUGACUAUAAUGCCCCUAAAAUACAUAAAAUACUUAAUUAAAAUAAAACACACAUAAUUAAAUGACAAGAAGUUUAAAUACAUAAAAGUAAGGGUGUUAGUAAAACUUAAAGUGUAAAAUGACGAUUUUCUCCUUUAUAACUAUACAUUUUCUAACACUCAACAAUGACAACAGGAGCAGAUUCAGUUGGAGUUUUCUCCAUUUUUUGUUGUUUUUUUUUUCUCUUUUUCCUUUUUUUUCUCUUUUUUUUUCCUUUUUUUUUUGGCGCCUAGAUUGAAAUAAGGGAAAAUAACCUUUUUAGAUCAAAGAACGACAAGUCAUUUGGCCUCUGCUUGACGAAACGACAUGUCGGUUCUGAUGGAAUAUAAACGACAUGUCGUUUGACGACUGCUGCACUUCUGGAGAUUGAACGUGACGUCGUUUUAUCUCUAAUUUACAACCGACAUGUCUGUUGUAAUGUAAUAAAAAAUGACACGUCAUUGUAUUACCAGCUGCACUCUUGAGAUAAAAAUAAAAUGUCGGUUGAUGUCUUCUUCAACCUCUCGAGCGCGUGAAUAUGACAGAGGCGCAUGGUUGACUGGCCGUGGCUUCCGGUGGCACGUGGGAGCGCGUGGAAAUGUGUUUAAAUGCCAAAGUUUUACAGUUUUCUUACUGGAAACUGAGAAAUAUGAUGGUAUUCUUGGUUUUUUAGGAACACACUCUUGGAAAAUUAAUGGGAUUGCUGAUAAAUUUGUAAACUCAAGUUUUUUACGUAUGGGUGGCUUGUUUCUUGAUCGGCAUGGAUUUCGGUAAUGGUAGGAAUGGGUUUAAGGAAGAAAAUGGUGGGAAAAAAAUGGUUGUGGGAGGAAUUUGGUUUCCUCUGUUUUUAUUACGAACAGAGCUGCGAAACUUGAAGAAACUUGAAGAAACUUGAGCGUAUUCAUGGCUCUGAUACCAUGAAGAAACAUGUUUUUAUUUCUUGAAAUAAAACAUUAUACACUGAGAGUUAUUUAUAGAUGCAGAUGCUACAUUUUUUCAAAGAUUACAUAUGUGAAUAUGGAAGGAAAUGUGUCAAUCCGUUCGGCGUGGAUCGUGUCUUUGACAAAUGCAGAUUAUCCCUUUGACAAGUGCGGAUUAUGUCUUUGAAAACUUUCUCCAAUGCCAUUUUAUUCAACAAAUACGAUCUCAUCAGCUAUUAUAUUAAUUUCUAUUUUGCCAUUGCAUGAAAUUAUGAAAAAAGGAUAUUGAAGAGUUUCUUGCCACAAAUUGAACCUGCAUCUCUGUAAGCAUUACUCUUGCAUUUUCGCGGAAAAGGGAGUAAGUGAAUGGCCUAAAUUCAUGGUUCAUUUCAUAUUAUGGAGUUUCUUUCUUCAGGAUGAUUUCGGCUGGAAUUCUCAUAAUUUGCGUCCAAAAAUCCACUAUUGAUAGGCUUAGUGCUUGCCAUUUUGCCUUUACAGCUGGUAGUGGUUGUAUGCUUGUUGGAUUAGUCAAAAAAAUCAAUUGGCAUUGGUCACAAAUUUUUUAUUCAAUUUUUUAUUCGAGCUGAGGGAUACAUACAGUAGUAGACGUCGUGUUCUAUGUUCUCUUUCCCAUAUAUAUAACUAUAGUAAGAGAUAUAUAUGGCUUUUAUAUAAUUCUCAAUAUCAUAGGCGGUAAACAUGGACUCUUGGCUAAAAGACAAUAUGAACAUGAAACCAUUUCACGUGGGUGAUCAAUUAAUAACUUUCAUUUUUUUUACUUCUUAUAGAAGUCAGAAGAGAGUGUACCUGCGACCAGUGGCGGUGCCAAAAAUUAUUUUUAGCGCGGGCUACGUUCACAUAAUAGUUUAAUUCAAGAAAGUAAUCAAUAAAUAACAUAUAUCAAAAUAAAAUUUCAUUAAAAUAUUUAAUUCAACACACUUAUAAUUGUCUUCGACGAGGUUUCAUAUGUUGAAAACGUUGAAGAAUAACUUCAUUGUCAAGACUACAAAAUAUAUCAUUUUUUAUGAAUACAACAAGGUUAUCAUUCAACCAUUGAUCUCUCAUCCGAUUUCGCAGACGGUUUUUCACAAAAUUCAUAGCCGAAAAUGCCCUUUCUAUUGUAACUACGGCAACUGGUAAAAUCAAUGCUAAUGUCACCAAUAAAUAAACUAAUGAAUAUAAUUGAUCCUUUUUAGUCUCAACCAAUUUUCUUGCUAGCUCACCAAUCCCUUUCAAUCUGAAAAUUUGUUGUUAGAACCGACAUCCAUAAUAUAAACAUCAAAUUGAGUUUCAAGUGCCACAAGAUCCAUUAGAGAAAAAUCAUUUGGAUAAAACUCAGCAAGGUGAAGUAGUUUCUAUUUAUCAAAAGCUGCAAAUGAGUCAUUGGGGCAUAGACAUGCCACACAAAGAAGUAGGGGUGGGCAUCGGAUCGGAUUCGGAUUUGAAGGCAAAUCCGAUUGGAUGAAGUCUGUGCGAUCUGAUCGGAUUUGGUUCGGAUCGGAUCGAAUUCGGAUCAAUCCGAAUCAUCCGAUCGGAUCUGCACUAUAAACUAAAAAAAAGAAAAUUAAAUAAAUAAGCGAAAGUACUAAAAAAAUAAGUUUAACUCAUGUUCGGAUUCGGACUUCGGACUUCGGAUCACUAGUGCAGUCAGUCAGUCACCACUCACCAGUUCACACUUCACAUUGUUCAUCUCACUCUUAGAUCUUACGUCUCAGUCACAGACUCACAGUACCAACUCAAACUGACAUUAACAAAAGACACAGGACUCAGCGAGCACGAGCAGCAGAGCAAAAGCAAAAUGCCAAAUCCAGCUUCAUCUCGUCAUCCGUCUUGAACCCAUUAACGAGUAACGACCACGCCAAAACUCAGCUGCCGCCGGCCCGCUGACACCAAUCGACUGGAAGCUAGCCGAUUUCAACUGAAACCCAGGCGAACGAAACCAAAUUAAUCGACCUAAACCCAGCUGAAACCCAGCUGACAGCUGCCUCUUCAACCACCGAACUGAUCACGUCCAGCGCCGGCCAGUUGCCACGCCAAACGCCGAUAAUCCACUUCCACUAUUCCCAAGCACCUAGCAACUUUAUUCAUGGUAAGCAAUUAAACCAGACCCAUGACAAUUGAAAGUUAACACAACUCAGAAUUUCAUGCUUCUUUUCGACUUUUAGGGUUUUUUUAGUUGUAUUACUGCUUGGAAAAUGAAAAACCGAAAAUGCCACCAAAUGGUUUGGGCCAAACCCGAGAGCAAGCGGCUAGCUCCCAAACCCGAGAGCAAGACAUGAAUUGUUCUGUUUUUUCCUUUUAUUUUUUCUAAUGUAUGAUUAUUCAUUUGUAAUAUUAGUUGAGAAAGACAUGAAUAUGUAUUGAUGUAAAAUUCAAAUUUAUUAAUUAUUAAAUAAUCAUCAUUAUUUAAUGCAUGAUUAUUCAUUUAUAACAUUAGUUUAUUAAUUAUUAAUAAACUAAGGAACAAUAUCAAUUCUUUAAAAUUAAAAAUUCAACUUCAUACCGUACAUUGUGGUAGUAGAAUUAUUUUAUGAUAAGUUAAUGUCAUUAAUUGCUUUAUUUCCAAAUAAUAAUUUGAUGAAUGAAUUUGUAUAGCUAGUAAGCUAGGCUGAAGAGAUUAUAUAUAGUCAAAAGUUAUAUUUAUUUUUUAGUUGAAAAUUCAUAAACGAAAGUUACAGAACAAUGAUGAUUGAUAUGAUUUUUUUAUUUUCAGAUGACUGGACAUUCAAAAUCAAAUUCCAAUGAUGAAGAUGAAGUUGAAAGUGUACAAGUACCCACAGAAAAGACAAAUACAAAGCGGAAGAAUCCAACUCAGAGACGACCAAUAAAGAAAAGAUCUGAGACAUGGAAUCAUUACACUGUACUUGAGGACAAUCAAUAUAAAGCAAAGUGCAACUAUUGUGGCAAGAUAUAUCAGUGCCAUCCUAGGUUUGAUGGGAUUAGCAAUAUGGGAACUCAUUUAAAAGUAUGUGAAGCAUACUUGAACGUGAAGCGAGAGCAAGAUGAAAGACUACAAAAAUUGGCAGCCGAGAGUGGUGAAGGAAAUGCAAGUAAUAUGGUUUUGGCUAAAGGAUGGAGUCAAGAAGCUUGUAGAAGGACAGUUAGUAAAAUGAUUAUCUUGGGCAAGUUGCCGCUUAAUUUUGUUGACAACAAAGGGUUUAUGCAUUUUUGCAAUGUAGUUGUUCCUCAGUUUAUUAUGCCAUCUUGGAGAACUAUUAGUAGAGAUGUUAUGGAUAUGUUCUUGGAAGAAAAGGGAAUUUUGAAGAGUUUGAUAUGCAAGAAUAAGCAUAGAGUGUCUCUUACAACUGACAUAUGGACUUCAGUUCAGAACAUGAGUUAUAUGGUAAUCACAGCUCACUUUAUUGAUAGUGAUUGGUGUUUACAUAGGAAGAUUAUUAGUUUUAGCGUGAUUGAAGACCAUAAAGGGAAGUCCAUUGGCAAAAAGAUUUAGUCUUGUUUGCUUGAAUGGGGAAUAGAGAGGGUGUGUGCAAUAACUGUUGAUAAUGCGUCGGGCAAUGAUGUUGUUAUUGAUUAUGUGAAGAACCAAAUGCUUAUGUGGAAGAAUGUUGAUGCACUUGUGUUGCGGGGUGAUUACAUGCAUGUGCGUUGUUGUGCACAUAUCUUAAAUUUGAUUGUCACUAGGGGGUUAAAAGAGUUGCAUGCCUCAGUUGCCGGUAUUCGGAAUGCUGUGAAGUAUGUUAGAUCAUCCACUUCGAGAUUAAAAGCAUUUAAACAGUGUGUAGAUCAUGUGAAAGGCCCUAAUGGAACUGUGGUUUUGGAUUGUAUCACUAGGUGGAAUUCCACCUAUUUGAUGUUGAUGACUGCUUUGAAAUUUGGGGAGGCAUUUGAGAGGAUGGCAGAAGUGGAUAAACCGUAUGAAGCAUACUUUAGAGAGGAAGAAAACGAGAAAAAAAAGGGUAGGGCCACCUGAGCUUGAAGAUUGGGAACAUGCCGAAAGAAUUGUGAGGUUUUUAAAGAUCUUUAUGAUGCUACAUUGACUUUUUCAGCCUCUUUGAGUGUCACUUCUAAUCUUUGUUGCGAUACAAUUGGCUUAAUCGAGAAUCCAUUGAGUGCAUUAGAAAAAAGCAAAGAUGUUUAUGUGCAUUUGAUGGCUUCUAGUAUGAGGGAAAAAUAUGACAAAUAUUAGGAGUGCACAGAGAAAAUCAACAAAAUCAACAAAAUCUUGAUUAUUGCCUCAAUACUUUAUCCGCAUUGCAAAAUGGAUUUUACUAAACAUAUUUUUAGUAUGAUAUUUUCCGAUGAUAGUGCAAAGAUUGAAGAAAUGGUCGCGGUGAUGAAAGGCUUGUUAAAUUCACUUUUUGAUGCAUAUAGUGGAUGGAACUCCUCACCACCAUUGUCUAGUGAGAGUUUUCGUAGUGGCAGUGCCAGUGGUGGCGGUGGCGGUUCUAGUUCUUCUCCGCACCUUAUAGAUGACACGGAUCGGCAACAAGGGUACAUAAUGGAACAUGGUGAUGAUACUUUACGAGUUGCUCGCCCUUUUCUUGGAUAUGCUAAGAAAGUUUUAAUUCAAAACGAGGGCAAGCUUAUGACGACCGAGGUGGAAAGAUACUUACUUAACCCGAUUGAAGAUCCUAGUAAUGAUAAACUAAAUUUUUUAUUAUGGUGGAAGGUGAACAGGUCGAAGUAUCCGAUAUUGCAGAAAAUAGCAAGGGAUAUCCUUGCAAUUUCGGUAUCCACUGUGGCUUCGGAGUCCGCCUUCAGCACUGGGGGUCGUAUCAUGACGAAUAUAGGAGUUCUUUAACUCCCACUAUGAUUGAAGCAUUGAUUUGCACUGAAAAUUUGUUGCAGUCUAAACUUUUUUGCCACUCCUAUCUACGACCUUAAUCAAGAGUUGAAAGAUCAUAUAUAUCAAAUGGAGUUACAAGAGGGUAACUUUUUUAUAUUACAUUUUAUAUAGAAUACCUUUUAAAUUUAUUAUAACACAUUUUUUAUAUUACUCGUGCACUAAUUAUAAGUUAUUAUGUUUUUUUUUUCAUUUUAAAGAGUAUGUACAAUCACAAGCUUCAACAAUUACAAGUUACAACGAUGGGUGCUAGUAUUCGUCAUGAUAUUUGAAUAGGUAAGGUAACUCUUAAAUUUAAUAAAUCUUUUGGUUUCAAGGUAUUAUAUUUAUAAUUGUUUUACUUUUGGUUUUAAGUCAAUUGUAACAUGAUAAUUGUUUGUGAUCUUAUGUUAGGAAAAUUGAAGUUGGUAGUUGGAAAGCAAAAGUUAAGGAUUCAUCAAAGUGUGUUGUGAGUUUAAUUUGAUAUUAUUGUACUUUUGGUUUGAGGAACUUGUAGUCUAUCUAAAUGUUUUGGGAUGAUAAUUUUUAUUUUGGUUUAUUUUAUUGUUGGAUGAUAUAAUGAUAAUAUUUAUUUUGUGAUUUUGUGUUGUUUAUUUAUUUGGAGACUUGGAGUAAUGUUUAAUUGUUUAUUUUGUGUUGUUUGUUGGGAGACUUGGAGUAAUGUUUAUUUUGUGUUGUUUACUUGGAGACUUAGAGUUGGAGCAAAGUUUAUUUUGUGUUGUUUAUUUAGAGGCUUGGAGCAAUGUUUAUUUUAUGUUGCUUAUUUGGAGGCUUGGACUUGGAGUAAUGUUUAUGCACCUAACUUGUAAGAGCAUUAGUGCAUUACUAAUUAAAUGAAAUGGGAGUGCUUGUUUUCUUGGUAUAUGUCAAUGCCAUAUUGUCAAGGAGACAAUACAAUAUAGAUUGUCAUUUGUUAGCUUGUUUUCAUUUUCUUUUUUUUUUUAAUGGUUAGUAAGUUUUCAUUACUUAUAGAUUUCAUAAUUUUUUUGUGAGAAUUGUGAAAAAGGUCCAAAUCCGAUUUCAAUCCGAAUUAAUCCGAAUCCAAAAUAUAAUCCGAAUCCGAAAAUUAAUCCAAAAUCCAAACUCAUCCGAUCCAAUCCGAAUCCGAAUUCAAUCCAAAUUUUCAUCCGAUCUAAAUCCGAUCCGAAUAAUUCGGAUCGGAUGAAAAUUCGGAUUGAAUUCGGAUGAAUUUUUUUUCAAUCCGAAUUAUCCGAAAUCCGAUCGAAUUCAUCCGAAUCCGAAAUUGCCCACCCCUACAAAGAAGCAACUCAGUAUUCGUCUUAUUGAAACGAUUGCUUAAUUCUUUAAGUUGCAUGUCCAAAAUUGCAUAAAAUAAUUCAACACGAAAACAAUGCAAAUUUGUGAUCUUUUGAGCCUUGCGUUGUGAUCUUUCUUGAGUUCGAAACAAAUCAUCCAUAUUCGGAACAUCAAUAUCAUGCUUUACACAAUAAGAAAAAGUUUCACCAAAUAAAGAGUCUCAUCCAUUUUCUCCAGUCUUUUGCAAGUUUCUCUUAUACACUUCAAUUAAUUUCAUAGCAUUCACAAUGUCUUGAUCCUUUUUUUGUAAUGCUUGUGAUAACUCAUGUGCAAAUCCAAGAAUAUUUUUCAUUAACAGCAGGCUAAACACAAAAUCAAAUGAUUGCAUUGACUUCAAUAACAUUCUAGCUUGAAAUCUUUGUUCAGAAUUUCCCUCAUUUGAAAUUAUCUCAAGCAUGUCAAUAAUAGAUGGAAACAUGGUGAUUAUACUCAAUAACGUACCAUAAUGUGAGCCCCAACGUGUAUCAGCAGAUCGCUUUAAAGUAACCUCUUGAUUUAAACCUCGUCCACUUGAAAGUUCACCAUCAUCAAGUGUUUUAAUAACUGCUUGAGCAUGUUUCUCUUGAAGAAUAUCACGACGUUUUGUUGAAGCACCAACAACAUUAACUAACAUUGUAAGAGAAUUAAUUAUGAGAAUUUAAAGAGAAACUGAAAACAAUUCCCAUGUCAAAAUGUAAAAACAAAUACAAAAAUACAAAAUAUUAAUUUAAUAAACUAACUACCCGAUUAAAUCCUCAACCACUAAGUUACUAAUCCAUCAUAGCAUCACGCCAUCACCAAUGGCAUUGUUAUUCUAUUAUUUAUAAUGAGUAAAGUUAAAAGCAUUGCCACUUUAUCAAGAAGCAUCGCCACUUUAUCAAGAAACAUGCCACAAUUAUUCUAUUCAAAAAGUAUAAACAAAUUCAAGAAUUGUAAUAUUAAAUUAUAAAGUGACAAAGAUGUUUAAUUAUUAAAAUAAUUUAGCCACUCGGCCUUUGGCCGAGUGGUCAGGGCAGCAAUUCGAACCCCCACAAAAGCAUUGUGGGGGUAUUUCCUUCCUCAAUUAAAAAUUGAGUGAAGGUAGUCUUCUUUUUUACCCAUGAGUGAGGAGUGGACAUCCCUCGAAUAUUUGUGAGGGUUAAAAUCUGGGCAGAGCUCCAUUAGUAUUGAUGUAAGUUGGUCCCAGUAAUAGUCUGAUUUGUAAAUAUCAGUUAUACUCUCAUGUAAUAUGAGUUGUAAUAUGAGCAAUAGUCUCAUGUAAUCAAAAAAAAAAUUAUCAAAAUAAUUUAAUCAAUUCUUAAUAAUUAAUCUAAAAGCUGCAAAGGUAUGACAGUAGUACCUGAAAAAAUGCAAAGAUGCAGACCAUGCGGUGGUGCAGGGCUCCGAGUGCCAACUGCAAGUUGUAGCAUAUAUGGCAUGAAAGCAAAGAGGUGUGAUGGCAUGAGAGUUUGACAGAGAUAGACGACAGGCUGAUCACUGAUGGUAGCCGAUGGAGUUUUUCUUUGGCAAAGGAUCGAUGGUGGUGGUUAGGGAUUUGAUUUUGAGUUUUUUUUUUUAAUUUCUAAUCGUUGUUUUAAAUAUUAGUCUUUUAGUUAUUUCAAAAAAAAAUUCAGGGACUUUAUUGUAAAUUCACUAAAAAAAGAUAAAUUUAAUUGUUUUUAAAAUUCUAGGGGGGCCUUCAGCCCCCAGCUCUCAAGUGGCGCCGCCUCUGCCUGCAACGUCAAUCGUAUCAAGCAAAGAUAUAGGACAUUUAAUAAUGAAAAAAUUAGGAAUUUUCAUGGACACACCAGUCGGUUCCGUAAAUAUAUAGAAUCAACUGAUUCUAGGUACCUUACAAUGUGAUUUUUUUCCCCUUGAAGAUAAGGACUAUUUUUUAGGAUACUGGCCGUUGAGGCUUUGUUUGUAUUUUUGCAAGAAAAUGGAAAAGGGUGGGCUAAAUCGCAAAAAAUAAAGCUAAUAGCUGCUAAAUUGAAUUUUUUAAGAGUGUUUUAAUGUGGAAUUUGAUUUGGGAACUUUUUUGUAGUUACAAGAAACAGCCACACCGGGUAACAAUUAGGGCAUUCUUUCAUAAAUUGGAUAUCAAUAGUAUCGAGUACGAAUGAGGAUGGUUAAAUGCCUAAUCACCCUAUUAAUCUUACAGUCGACAAAAAGCAAAAGCAAAAGCAAAAGCAAUAGCAUUACAAAUAGUAUAACUAUCAAAUUGAUUCACUAUGUCUAAACGACAAGUCAUCUAAAUAAUUUGUCAUCUAAUUACUAAAUUAUUUGACGCAACGACUGAUUUAGAAUUUUAAUUUAGAGGGGGCUUGGUACAAAUACUGUGAUUCACAGUAGCGCGUUCGAUGGUGCGAGUGAUCAACAACAACGACAGACAAGUGAGGCAAUGAUGAUGUAUAUGUUGGAAAUAUGAAUUCAUAUUGUUUUUUGAAAGUACACAAUAUGAAUAGUAGCUGUUGGUACUGUUACUUCACUAUUUACUAAUACUAUUGAUCUUACUGUUCACUCAACAACAAUCGUAAAUUUGUCAAGGUGUGUUCGAAGUGUCCUUAAGACUAAUUUUUGCUUCUCUAGAAAGAUUUUCCGAUACAAAAAAUAUAUAUAUAUAAAACGAAUUGAUCCCUAGGAUAUAAUGACAUUAUUGUGAGCUUGCACUCCAAGCACAAUAGUUUAGAAUAACAAAAGAAAAAUUAAUGAAAAAAAUAUAAGAUAGAAGAAUAGGUUACAAUGGUUGUGCCUUGAAGAUUUUGUAUUUUGAAAUACCAAUAAAACUCUAAGAAUAAGCUUAAAUAAUUUGAUCAAAAUUGCACUUUAAGAUGAAACACUAAUUAAUGGCCUUUCAAGACUUGAAUUGGGUUAAAUAGUUUAUGUACGAAAAUUGAAUUAUUGACAUCCCUAUCUCCUUUUAUAUAUUGUUGGUAAUAAAUCUAAUAACUUUAUGUGGUUGUGAUUCUUAAUGUAGUUUUUUUUAAUCGUUAGCUGUGUACGUGUCAUUAUUAGCAAUGUGUCAUUUUCAUUACUGUGUCAUUGUUGGCAGUGUGUCAUUUUCAUUACUGUGUCAUUUGUAGUAUUUAGAAUCAUUGGCCAAUAAUUUUGUAACAAGACCAACAUAUAGGGGUAAAUGACAAAUUCACGAGUGGGGGACAUACACCUGUUUAUAAUAUUGUAAAUGCAUUUUUUCAUGAGUUUACAGUGUUCAAAAGUAUUUUCUUCAUUCUAAGUGUGGACAUGCCAAUUUUGCAUAAUAGUCAUAUCCCAGAACAAAAGUCACAUUAAAAUUUUAUUCAUUUAUUCAGGUUUUUUUCCUGCAUUAACGAAUUCAUUGUGUAGGAUUUCAUUUUUAUGUAAACCAAUUCAGUUACGAGAAUCAACUACUAAUUUUUUUCCCGUUAAUUGGCUACGUUUACGUUAAUUAACUGAUAAAUAACUUUGCAUUAGCAAAGCCAAGAGAUUAAUUUAAACCCCUAAGAUUCAAAUAUUCUUUCACUAGUACUACUGGACAAAUUUGGCAAUCGAUAUUUCGGAAGACAUCAUCACACGUGUCAAACAAAAGUUAAAAAAAUAGCCAGUCCCAUUAAAAUCACCAAAUGCAAUCCAAUAACAUGCUCCAUUAUGUAUUGACUUUCAUGAGAAUUAGCAGGAAAAAAAAAAGUUCAUUUAGUUAAGCAAAUAGCAACCUUUGAUUGUUCUUUAACAUUACUAAAAAUCUAAUUCUUACUUUACUUGAUUGUAUUGUCGAAUCUUUCUGAAAAGGUAGAAGAUAAAUCCCAUUUAUUGGAAUUGUAUGUAGGACGUGUUUUGUUCAAAAUCAGUAAUUUGACAGUUAAGAAAUGAACAGAAAGUUGUUGAAGGUAGUGCAUGACGUCUCAUGCGCUUUAAAUUUCAAAAAUUUAUAUCUUUUUGACAUGGAAACUACUCAGCAAGGAAAUGGUGGCUCAACAACAUUAUAUAUAUAGAGCUCUCUAGGUGAAUUGAAGAUGAGAAUGAGGGAUUGCAUAAGCUACAAGAAUGAACGGUCAUUUGUAAAGUACAGCGAAUAGGGUCCAUUAGAUCAAAUCAAGUAGAGUAGAAGAAAAUGAAUACACUUAUGCUACAAUCAGUUUCAAUUUCUUUCAUCUGGUAACCGUCUAUAAACAAGAUACAAGCUCUAAGCCACCAAUGGGCUAUAAACAGAGCUUCAUUCAAGAGAGUUAAAGGUAUCCCAAGUUCUGAAAAUUGAGAGCAUGUACAAGUGAGCUUUUACAGAGAUUUUUCAGAGAAUGUUUUCUUAACUAUUCUAGAGGGAUUUAUAUUGGGUGUAUUUAGGUUAUCGGAUUUUGAGAAUUGUUCCCAUUCAAAGCCCAACCCCAAUUCAUGAGCCUAAAUAAUAAACCAAACAAAAGAGAAUAUUCUCUCAAUUUAUCUAGAAUUACUUUGCUAAAAAUAUCAUGAAUCAUUGGCGUUGUGGCAGUUUUAAAAUUUGGUGAUUCCUAAGAAAUUAAUGGUAAUAAGUUUAGAAUGUCGUUAUUUGUUAGGACCUGCAUUUAAAAUCUUAAAUAUUCGUAAUUAAUUAUAAAGAUCUCGGUUCACCUGCAAGCUACAACAAUUAGCUAACUGAUAUAUGGUAUUUUUUACAAAACUAUUCAAAAAGAAAGGGUAUAAUUAAUCAAACUGAUUUGGACAAUACCACACGAUUUUUUUUUUAUUGACAAACCAACAUAAACAACAUAUUAACGUAAAUAACGCAUUCACAUAUAAUUGUUUUAUUUAGUUAUUAAGAAAGACGAAGUACAUGGACGGUGGACACUAAGAAAUAUAAUCUCUUGUAUAUCAAGAGAUUUUAGAGGUUGAAAUGAACUAAACUGACCCUCACACAAUUAAUUGACAGUAAUUGACAGGUAAGAACAGUACCCAUCCUUUUAUUAACCAUAAUGGAAAAGAGUAAUACUGCGUGCGUGCGUGCGCUUAUUAACCAGUGUGGUCGGGAUUUCUUCCAUAUUGAGGGACAGCAAUAAGAUCAAGAUUGUCAACUGUCCCGUCCUUAUCAUCAGCAAUACCAUAUACAGGUACUGGAGUACCCUCCAACCAUUCAUUCUUACCUGAAAGUUUAACAUUAGAAAAUGGAUUCAUAAAUGCUUAUAUUAAUAUAUGAAUUGUAAAUGAUAUCCAUUCAGCUGAAAUUGGCUAAAAAACCUGCGCAAGGAAAAGGAGUUUCCAUAUUCUUCAAAUCAGAAAAGAUCUCCAGGUGAAGCGUAAUCAAAACUCAAAAAUAAGUAGAGCUUGAGCGUGUUCUUAGUUCUGGUUUGAUCUGAUAUAUAUAGAUUCAAGAAGCCGAUGUUGCCGAGGUGUGGGUGAUUGUGACGUAGCAAAACAUAUAAUAGUUAUUUAAGAUUAACGGCCAUGGCUAAACUGCACGUCGAAACGUGUUAGCAUGGUUCCAUAAAAUAAUAGUUAUUUAAGAUUAACGGCCAUGACUAAACUGCACGUCGAAACGUGUUAGCAUGGUUCCAUAAAAUAAUAGUUAUUUAAGAUUAACGGCCAUGGCUAAACUGCACGUCGAAACGUGUUAGCAUGGUUCCAUAAAAUAAUAGUUAUUUAAGAUUAACGGCCAUGGCUAAACUGCACGUCGAAACGUGUUAGCAUGGGUCCAUAAAAUAAAUAAUUUUAUCUAAUUAGGAGAGAAAUCGAUUCAGUAAUAAGCUGCUGCUUGCACUUCCUAGAAAUUUUAAAUUUAUGAAUUGAAAUUACUCACGCCUUUUCUUGUGUAGUUAAUUAUGCAUACAGUUCAAGCUGAGGGAUACUGAUGUGAAGUGUAGGGACAUGGAUAUAUACUAUCGUUUACAUUAUUUUACAGCCUUGAUGUAUUAUUUUAUUUGGCAAUCAUAUAGUCAUUGUCUGCACUACACUUUGUCUUCCCUACACUUGUCUCCACUUGAGUAUUCUUGAGUGGUAGCUGAGUCACAAGUCACCUUCUCAUGUCCGCUGGGCUUGCCUGUCGUGCUUGAUUUACUUUGUUCUAACACCCCGGCUCAAUCUCAGUUUUCUUAGCAUACUCUUAGGUCAUGUUUGGUUUGUAAAAAAUGAAGGAGAGGAAAAGAGUGGAAUGGAGAGGAAGAGAAAAGAAAGGAAUGGAGAAAAGUAGUAGUGAAAUCACAUUUUGUUGUUUGGUUUGAUAUAAAAUUUAAUAAGGAAAUGAAUUAUAAUUUUUUUCUUUAGACUAAUUUACAAUUUACCUCAAAUAUUUAAUUAUUUAUACUAGUAAUAAUAUAUAUAUAUAUAUAUAUAUAUAUAUAUAUAUAUAUAUAUAUAUAUAUAUAUAUAAAUAAAAUGACGGUCCGGUGGCCGGCGGUGAAGGUCCGGCUACUUUUCGGCGAACGUCCGGCAUCUUUUCGGCGAACGUCUGGCAGGAUUCCGGCGAAGUUCGGUGGGAUUCCUGCGAGGUCCGGCGGCUUUCCGGCAACGUCCGGCGACUUUCCGGCGGUGAUCCAUUUAUGAUAUUAAAUCAAUAAAAUAAAAUUAUAAAUACUAAUUAUUAAUGAUAUUAAACAAAUUAAAAAGUUGAAAGGUAAUUUUAGAAACUUUAGUUUCUAACAUAAGAGGAAUUUAAAUUCUUCACUACUUGGUGUGGAAUUCAAAUUUUACAUUAUGAUGGAUAUUAAAUUUUAAUAGAAAUUAAAUUCUUAUAUAUUUUGUCAAACCAAACAAUGAAAAUGAAAAGAGAAUUUAAAUUACUUUUCUCUUCUCCAUUCUCUCCUCCCAACCAAACACCACCUUAAUUUAUUUGUAUGAAAUUCAAAUAGCUCAUGUCCCAAUGCCUUUGUCAUAAUGUCUGCCACUUGCCUUUUACUCAGCACAUAUUUAAGAAUUAUUUCUCUUUUCCCGAUUUUUCAGUGUAAAUAAAUUAAGCCAAUAUCUUGAGAAUCCAAGCGAUACAUACAGUAGAAUUUGAAAUGGUGCAAGACCUAAUCAAGUUUGAUAUAUACUAAGUUACAGAGGCCAUUGAUGACAUACGUAGGAAAUUAUCUAUAAUUGUUGCUUGACUCCCACGUAUGUGUGUAUAUAUAGUUCUUUUCAAGUGAGGGCAUCCUCAUUUUGUUAAAGUGAGGAUGCCCUCACUAGAAAAUUACAGUAGUGAUAUCGCUGUUGGAUUUUUUAAUCUAGUAUUGUUGGAUCCUUAAUCCAAUACUGAGUUUUUAUGUGAAAAAUUUAUAUAUUACAGACCGUCAUAUAAGAUUAAGUACAAUUAAAAGUGAACUAUUUAGGUUUUCGGUGUUAUGGACUUUAAUGUGUCUAAUAGGGUGUGAGCUUUAAUGUGUAGAGAUUCAAUGAUAUUUUAAUUUUAUGAUGGACAUAAUUAGAAAUAUCCAGUGACAAUAAGAAAAUGUUGUCUAUAUAAGUGGUUAUGGUUCCAAAAUCACACGUAUGUUUCUAUUCUAUAUUGACAUCUCAUCAUCAGAGAGAGAGAGAGCGCAUAGAGAAUUAAAGGACUUUCUAUUCUCUUUUUAAGUGAGGAUACGCUCACUAGAAAAUUACAAUAGUGAUAUCGCUAAAACAACUAUUUUAGAGUUUGAUUAUUUGAACAAGUAAUUUUAAUUAUGGUUGGCUAGAAUUAGAGUAGUAUGUUAUUAGUCUUUCUAUUUAUAUUUAGGUAGAAUUCUAUUUCUAUGUUUGAGUGUACAUUGCCUGGUAGAUUUACUCAAUUACAAAUCACGUGGUUACAUAAUAUGUUUGAAAACCUCUACUUAACAAAAUUCUUAUUUUAUUUUCUUUCGUAAUAUGAUUUACCUAAGUCUCUCUUAUAAAAUCAUUUGCAUUAAAGCAUCAAUUAAUCUCAUUACUAUGAUGUAUUAUUUGUCUUGGACUUCUUAUUUUGGUCUAUCACUAUAUUACUUACCUUGAGCUGUCUCACUAUUUUCGCAUAAUAUUAUCUGCCUUGAGUCAUUCAUUUUUGUAUAGAGUGGUUAUAUUAUCUCAUCAGUUUUUAUAUUAAUUUCUAUUUUGCCGCUGUAUGAAAUUACUUGUUUUGGUGAAUUACUAUAUUAUUUCCCUUGGGCCGCCUCACCAUUUUGUUGCAUAAUCUGCCCUGGGUCAUUCAUUUUUGUAUAGAGUGGAGAUAUGAUCUCAUCAGCUUUUAUAUUAAUUUCUGUUUUGCCAUUGUAUGAAAUUAUGAAAAAUGGAUAUUGAAGAGUUUCUUGCCACAAAUUGAACCUGCAUCUCUGGUAAGCAUUACUCAUGCACUUUCGCGAAAAAGGCAGUAAGUGAAUGACCUAAACUCAUGGUUCAUUUCAUAUUAUGGAGUUUCUUAAUUUCUUCAGGAUUAUUUCGCCUGGAAUUCUCCUAAUUUGCUUCCAAAAAUCCACUGCUGAUAGGGUUGGUGCUUGCCACAUUGCCUUUGCGGCUGGUAGUGGCUUGUAUGCUUGUUGGAUUAGUCAGAAAAUCCAAUUGGCAUUGGUCACAAAUUUGUUUAUUCAAAUUUUUAUUCGAGCUGAGGGAUACAUAUAGUAGUAGACUUCAUAUACUAUGGGUGCGUUUUUGGGAUUGAGGUUGGGUAGCUGUGACUUUUAAGUUACAGCACUAAAGUGUUUGGUAAACACUAGCUGUUGUACCUUUUAAACUAUAUUAAUAUGAUUUUUUAUUUGUAUAAUGAAAAAUUUAUUAUAUCUUUAAUAAUUUGUCAUAAUUAUUAUUUAAAAUUUAUAUUUACUAUAUAUUAUUAACUUUUGUUUGAUAGUUACUGUUUUUUUUUCCAUAACAACUGUAGUUUUUAAGUUACAGCACCUCAAUUCCAAACAGAACCUAUGUUGUCUUUCUCAUAUAUAUAAAAUAUAGUAAGAGAUAUAUAUUGCUUUCAUAUAAUUCUCAAUAUCAUAGGCGGUAAACCUGGACUCUUGGCCUAAAGACAAUAUGAGCAUGAAACCAUUUCGCGUGGGUGAUCAGUUAAGCCACCAAUGGGCUAUAAACAGAGCUUCAUUCAAGAGAGUUAAAGGUAUCCCAAGUUCUGAAAAUUGAGAGCAUGUGCAAGUGAACUUUUGCAGAGAAUUUUGAGAGUGUUUUCUUAACUAUUCUAGCGGGUAUUAUAUUGGGUGUAUUUAGGUUAUCGAGUUUUGAGAAUUAUUCCCGUUCAAAGCCCAACCCCAAUUUCAUGAACCUAAAUAAUAAACCAAACAAAAGAGAAUAUUCUCUCAAUUUAUCUAGAAUUAUCUUGGGUAAUAAUAUCCUGAAUAAUUGGCGCUGUGGCAGUUUUAAAAAUUUGGUGAUUGUUAAGAAAUUAAUGACAAUAAGUUUAGGAUGUCGUUACUUGUUAGGACCUGCAUUUAAAAUCUUAAAUAUUCGUAAUUAAUUAUAAAGAUCUUGGUUCACAUGCAAGCUACAACAAUUAGCCAACAAAUAUAUAGUCUUUUUGACAAAACUAUGCAAAAAGAAAGAGAAUAUAAUCAAUGAAACUGAUUUGGACAAUACCACACGAUUUUAUUUUUAUUGACAAACCAACCUAAAUAACAUAUUAACGUAAAUAACGCAUCCACAUAUAAUAGUUUUAUUUAAUUAUUAAGAAAGAUGAAGUACAUGGACAUUGGACACUAAAACAAUUAUAAUCUCUUAUAUAUCAAGAGAUUUUAGAGAUUAAACUGAACCAAACUGACACUCGCAUGAUUAGUUGACAGAUAAUAACAAUACCCAUCCUUUUAUUAACUAUAAUAUAAAAAAGUAAUACUGUGGCUAUGUAUGUAUUAUUAACCAGUGUGGUCGGGAUUUCUUCUAAAAAGAGAGACAACAAUAAGAUUAAGAUUGUCAAAUGUCACUUCCAUAUCAUCAGCAAUACCAUAUACAGGUACUGGAGUAC
This 117452-nucleotide long non-coding RNA is filed under the name Citrus maxima (pomelo). RNAcentral describes it as "long non-coding RNA (CMAX_LNC003910)". Lineage: Eukaryota; Viridiplantae; Streptophyta; Magnoliopsida; Sapindales; Rutaceae. The record is from RNAcentral.